RNAcentral lists this long non-coding RNA (105443 nucleotides) under Vitis vinifera (wine grape). Its description in RNAcentral is "long non-coding RNA (VVIN_LNC001762)". The record is from RNAcentral. Lineage: Eukaryota; Viridiplantae; Streptophyta; Magnoliopsida; Vitales; Vitaceae.
CUUCUUUUUGUCCCUUAGCUUUGCUCCAUCCUCUGAGGAAACUUGUGGUUUUUUGAAGGAAUCUUGUGCAGGAAAGUCUUUAACUUCGCCAUUGUUGCAUACCAUCUGAGAAGGCUGAUCAGAGACCCUCCUGUUGGUAUUCUCCUUCCCAAUUGGGACAUUCUUUCUAGCAUCGCCAUCUUCCUUAUCCUUCUUCUCAGACACACGCUGUCUUCUAGUGUUCUUGUUUCCACAUCUCUCUCUGGUUCUCUGCCUCAAUCCUCCAGAACCCAUCUCGCAUUUCCUCUCUUUCUGUCUCAAUUUCUUGGUUUCACCUUCAUUCCCGAAGCUGAGCAACAAGUACUCCUCAUUUUCCAUCUCAAAGAACACUGGUGUCUCUCGAAACGACAAUGAGGACUUGACCCGACGAUGCUUUCCCUGCAUUGCCUCAGAGUCUGGCCAGCAAUCCAUAGAAUUCAUGGAUCUGCUUCGCACAAUUGAAUUGCCUUUUAUCUGACUGCAAACCAAGUUGAUCUCUGGCAUCGAAUCCAACCCCAUUAGCCUUGCUACUAUCCCGGGCGUGGCUACACCCUCCAUCUUCUCCCCAGCCUUCAAAUUUUCGUCCUUACCAAACACUACUAAGCCAGAAUCUCUAAUGUGAUCAGAAGGGUGUGUAGGGAGACUACCAGAGCAAAGAAGCCGCCGCAAGACGCUGGCAAAGCACCCGGCAGUGGCAUUCCUUGAAUUGCACAUAUUUGCAUUGAAAGAGGCAGUGGAAGAAGAGGAGGAAGAGGAGGAAGACGAUAAGAACUUCAUACCAAACACCAAAAAAGAGGGACAGUAAGGGUUGUGAAAGAGAAAAAUAUAAGUUGGGUUUGCUGAAUUUCAACAAAAGAACAGUGCUGUCACCAAAAAAGGAAUGGCGAAAAGGGUAAGAUUUGAAUUGUACAGAGAGAGAGAGAGAGAGGUGGCGGGCUUUGUGUUUGAAUGGUAAUGAGGGUGACACAGAGAAAAGGGUAUGCUCCCACUGGCUUUGUAGAGUCAAUUUUCGGCAAAAAAUGUUGUCUCCAGCCAAAAAAAUAAAUAAAGAAAGAAAGAAAGGCUAGGAUUUUGGUUUUGGCCUCAUUUGAGUUUUCCUUAGGCAGUGUCUGCAGGGAGUGCACCACCGAUUGAGAGAGUCUUUUGCAGACUGUAAUGUAUCAGCCAAUAGCCAUAGACAUGGGGCUCUGUGGGUUGUGUCAGGACUGGGGUGAGGCUGAGCUGACCAUAUUCUUUUGCUGUACCAUUCUUCUUCUCUGGGUUGCAGCUGCAGUUGCUGACUCUAGGUUGUUCAAACUGGGCCACUGAUGUCAAAAGGGAUAAUAGUGUGUUUGGCUCUGCUGGUUUAUGCAUUGCUCCCCACCGACCACCUCUGAACUUGUGUUUCAUCUACUUUGUGGUUGGAAACCACCACCCCCCCUCCCCCCCCCCCCCCAAAAAAAAAAUUGAAGGGCUUUAUAUAUUCUUAUGCUUGCUCCUUUGCUUUUGAAUCAAACAUGUCAGAUCUCCACUUGNNNNNNNNNNNNNNNNNNNNNNNNNNNNNNNNNNNNNNNNNNNNNNNNNNNNNNNNNNNNNNNNNNNNNNNNNNNNNNNNNNNNNNNNNNNNNNNNNNNNGGUGGCAGCCGCGGUUGCUGACUUUGGGUUGUUCAAACGGGGCCACUGAUGUCAAAAGGGAAAAUAGUGUGUUGGGUUCUGUGGGUUUAUGCAUGGCUCCCCACGGCCCACUUUGGAACUUGUGUUUAAUUUACUUGGGGGUGGGAAACCCCCCCCCCCCCUCCCCCCCCCCCCCCAAAAAAAAAAUACAAGGGCUUUAUAUAUUCUUAUAUAUUUUACAUACAAUUUGGCAUAUACACUUUUUUCCAAGCUACACGUGGUGUCAACAAAUAGCUCCAUUUGAUUAAUGUGUUCAUUUUUUGAACUUCUUUGGCCCCUUUAAAGGACAAACAUUAAAGGGCCUAGGCUCCAUCCAUCUUGACCAUCUACUUUACGAUAGAAUAAGAAAGUUGAGUGUGAAUUUCUAGUGGGGUUAGGACAUGCCCUUACUGAGUCUAGUUACUCUGAAUUUUCAAAUGGAGUGGCUGCACUUCGAAUAUUUCUCUUUUUGUGGGGGGGAUUAAUGACUCUGUGCCAUAACAUGUUGCUAGCUUGUUAAAUAUAGGGCGUUAUGGAGAAUUUUUGGUGAAGUUGACAGCCAACUCUAGGCAGUGGUGCCUUUGUUGCAAGACCUACUGUCAUGGUACCCAACUUAUAUGUACUAGGUCUCAAUUCAUUGUUCAUAUGAUAAGUAAUUCAUUCACUCAUGGAGAUAUAGUACUCAUAAUUGAUUGCAUUGCUAGCUGAAGUUCCAAAUGCAUUUGAGAGAACAUUCUACAAUCAUCAAACUCGGGUUAUCAUCCCUUUAUCCCCUGUAAUUCUAGUAGGGACCCUUAUUGCAGAGAACAAGCCUUUGAAAAUGCUAUUACAGAUUAUACUAAUUUUCAGUAGUAAUAGUGGAAUGAAACAGCUGCAAGAUGGUUUCAUCUCUUGGUGUUGAGCUCUCUAAACUUCAGUUGGACUUGUAAUGAGAGGAUGGAUACAGCUCAGGAUCAGUCUGAUAGUACAAAAUGUCUCCAGUAUCACUAACAUAGUGGUCUUCCUUCAUGCUUUUGAUUAGAGUCUUGACCAAGUGAGCUGGAAUGGGCCCAGAUUUUUUAGGUUCUCUGUAGUAUUUUCCAAGCACUGGCUUUGCAGCCUCUGUCUGCAGGCAAGAACAUCAAACAGUUAGAAUAAGCUCUUGAAGUUAAGAGUGUUUUCCACUGGGAAUUUCAUUAAUGGAGUUGGUACCGCUUCUAUUAAGUGAUAGUGUGGGAUUUGGGGGAAGAGAUGGUGUAUAACAUGCGUGCCAGUGUUAUGUUGGAUGCUAUUAAACCAUCCAUAGUCACGAUCAACCGUCGUUAGCCCUCCCCUCAAAUAGCUCCAUUCCUGUUCCACACAAAGACAUCCAUUCUAGUUGCAGUUAAACAAGAAAAAUCCAAGUAGAAUUUAAGGCUUUUUGUCGAGCAGGGGAUGCAAUUAUCAGUACCUUGCCACGGUACCAGGGAAGUUUUUGCUCAUAGCCAUGGUGCUGCAGAUAAGUGACAAAGUCCAACCACAUGAUGAAAACCUGCAAAUAGAGGUGGAAUCAAGAGGACAGUAAAUGAGAUCGACUAAUUCAAGAAGUUCAUCGACAUGAAAGGGAUAAAUUUUGCAUACCCAAUAGGGGACACCAUAGAGCUUAAGCACUUGGACAGGACCGGCAACAAAGGAUAGAACAAGAAGCAGAGCAACCAUUAUAGACCAGCAUACAGUUGAAGUGAGCACGGCCUUUCUUUCACUGAUUGGGAACAUAUCACUGUAAGGAUUGAAGUGGGAGCCUUCCUUUCCAGGGCUUCUAUACCACUGCAAUGAAAGCAUCCAAUUGUUGUAAGAAUAAUUCUUAAGUAUAUAAGACAUGGAUCUGAUUAACGAAAGAGGGGCAUUCUCACCAAGUAGAGAGGAUAUGCAAACAUGGGGAAAGGCAAUGUGAAUCUUAGAGUUCGGGUUUUAGCAUCCAAGCUCCGGUAUAAUUUCUCAGGGAACUGAACAUAAGUUUAUGACAUUAGAAAUAUGGAAAAGAGUCUAUGAUAUUGAAAUGGCCAAAUGAAGAGAAUAAACCAUCUUACUGGAACCCAUGAUUCAUCAUUUUCAACAUGACCUUGGUUCUGAUGGUGAGUUCUGUGGCUGAUUCUCCUGUAUCAUCAUUCAUUGAUAAUUGAGACAUACAUCAAACAUCUGGGUCGUCUUGAAAAUGAAACAAUUUGAGUUUGUCAGUGACCUACCAUCCAUUGUAGGGAACAAGGAUUGUUGAAUGUAAGAGGUGCCCCACCAUACUAUUCAGCAUAGGGUUAUCAGAAAAGCUUCCAUGUCCACUUCAAAAAAUAAAAAUCAAGAAAGGACAUUCAAGUUCAUUGCCAAAAGCACUCAACAAAAGAAGCAAAGUAAAAUUAUAUUACGUUACUGAAAGAAACUGAAGAAGUAGGAUUUCAAGUUUUGCUUUCUUUUCUUUUACUACCAUUUCUCAGCAACCAAGCAGAAAGUGUAAAGACCAUGUGAUUACCAGUCAUGUCCAAGAACAAACAGGGCCCAGAACAUUGUUCCCUGGGCAGCCCAGUAGAGUGGCCAAACCACCCAUCUGUCCAAGUAUAUAGCUGCUAUAGCCAGUCCAAAAAUCACAAUGAAAUCCCUGAAAACAUAACUCAUAGACUUCCAUGGAUCCUUAACCCAGCAAUGCUUGGGAAUAACAGCUCUGACCUCAGCCAACCGGAAUGGAGGGGGAGCACUGGGGUCAAAUUCAUCAUCCUCAUCAACUCCAUCAAUGGCUUUUCCUUCUCCUCUCUCCCCAUUGAUAGAUGAGGCCUUCAGUUGAGAGCUUGCUUCAAGUCCCAGGUGUUCCUUGCCUGCAAGGCCAAGAAAGAUGGUUAUAGAUAUAUAGCACUCUGAAAGGAUGAAGAGAGAACCAGAACUCCAUGCAUUGCUCCUUUGCCUUUGAAUCAAACAUGUCAGAUCUCCACUUGCUUAUUCCAUUAUUUAAGAUCAACCAGAAACAUCUCAACUACUAGACAUAACUUCUUAACAAUACAUAUUGUAAUCUUAAGAAAUUGACCCAAAAGCUUAAAAUUGCAAGCUAAAUUGGAAACUUCAUAUAAUAUCAAAGCCUUUGAAGUGUGAGGAGUGUCAAAACUUUAGCUUAAAUCAACUUGAUAUUCUGGCCCUUUAGCUAACAAUUUAUCCUUUUAUUAUUUUGGCAUAGCUGUCUAAUAAGAUUGUUUCAGUUGUGCUGUUCAAACUUCAAAAAUUAAGCCAUCUGUAGAACUUGAUGAAAAACCAAAUGACUGAAAUGAUAUUUAUCUUUCUCCAGUAUAUGGUGUGUAGUGCACUUAAAUUAUGUGUUCACUUGGUGAUCACACAUCAUUGUGGGCCCCAAACAAACCCAAUUAAUUCCUAGGUCUCUCUUUUUCUUGUUGGCCAAACAAUAGAAGAAAGCUUAACCCAUCACAACACUACAAUGUCACAAUCCAAGAGUCACUUUUGGUCCUACUCUGUACUGUCUGUUUGAGAUGUAAAAAUCCUAGGAUCCAAUUCACCUAAUAGGUUAUAGCUAAUUGUUUGUAUUUCCCCAUCAGCAUCACACUGAGGUUUUAUAGUUUUUCUGUUUUCUUCAAGGUGGAAAGCAAAAACGAAAAAGAAAACCCAAAAAAGGAAAGAGCAAAUAUCCUGCAUUCCAUGUUUUUCCUAAAGAUACUUUUAGAAAAACCUGACUUGAAAUACACGCACCCUUUUACACAAACAAUAAGGGAAAGUCUCAAGCAGAAAAAAUAGCCGCAGAGCCCAUAUACAUCACACAUGUCUAUGCUGUUUGUAGAGACACAUAGAGUAUGUACCUUGGCUCAUCUUUUAAGUUGCUCUUGGGUGGCCUCACUUCAGUGACCCUGACUACUUGACACUCUUCUUUGUGAAUCAGUUUGGAUUACCAAUCUUCAUUUAUAGGCUCAAUCCUGGAUCUGAAUGUGAUUUUCGCUCCCUAGAAUUCACAUCAUAGUCAGAUUGAAUUUCAUUUCCUGCCACCCAGACUAUUGAUGUCAAGACUUUCACGCCCUAGAAUACACAUUAAAGACAGAUAAGACAAUAAUUUUUUUGCAUAAUUUGUUCCUCCUUUUUUUGAAUAUUCUUGAUUUCAAGAUUUUUUUCUCCCUAGACUUCGCCUUAAAUACAGGUAUGUUCAUCCCUUUUCAUGGAAUUUACACCGACCUGGGCCUAAAGUUGGCUACCUGAUUUAUUACUGGUCUUCCCUGCAUAUGAUGUACUCAAGUGGACAAUCACAACUAAGCAGGAGCCAGUAUUUUUUCCAUUCCUGGAGACGUUAAUUCUCCUUCUUGGGUUGUUCCCAAACAAGAAGAAGAUGCAUGCAUUAUUAUAAAUUCUCAGUAUCCAAACAUGAUAAAACAUUGAUUGGAGACUCAGCUGGGAAAAUUUUGAUUGCCAUAAAAAUUCAAGUAGCCUCAUGGAAAGCUGGGCAUAGCAUACUCAAAACUGCCCUAUCUAGAGUAUCUUCUACCGUAUUUCACACCAAUACCAUAUAAAAAAGAAUUCCUUUCUCCUCCAGAAAAUUGAAUAAUCUAGAUUUCCCUUUUUUUUUUUUGUUAAACUUAAAAUUCAGAAUAAGAAAGCUUCACAAAAUGACAAGAUUAAGAAAAGGUAUCCAAGAUAAUUUGGUAUAAGCAAUAUAACCCAUGAAGAAUGCCUGGACUUUUUUCAUAAAAUGACAAGAUUAAGAAAAGGUGUCCAAGAUAGUUUGGUAUAAGCAAUAUAACUCAUGAGGAAUGCAUGGAUUGAGUGUUAUGGACUUUCCAUCCAAGGCAUUGAUCUCCCUAUCUAUAAGGAAAAGUCUCAACUCCAUUGAUAUUUGUUAGGACUUUCUUGUUACUAUUGUUGUUUCUACUCAUAAACACUAUUGAAUGACCAAUUCCACCUUGGCUCUAUUUCCCAAAAAUAAUUUCAAUGGGUGUCUUAGCACUUGAAUACAUAAAGAAAAUUCCAUGUCAAUUACUUCUUCUCCUUCUUGGUUUUGCUUAUUACUUUUUGUUCAUCAUACACCAUUAAUAGAAAUAUUUUUUUGCUUAAAUUGCCUCUUACAUAGCUGGCCAAUCUGCUGUUUUCAAUGAAAGUAAGCAGGUGGUUCAUGCACAAGUGAAUCUUUUUGAAGUUAAGUUCUGAUCUUCUUCUCUUUUGAGCAUUCUUAUUCUUCUCACGAAGGAGAAAGUGAUCAUUUAAGAAAGAAAAAGGUGAAAGAGUGGACUGAUUUUUUCUUAGUCCUAUCAUCACCUGCAACCCAUAAAGAUGGUAAAGAAGAUGGGUGGAGUUGAUUGAAGAUUAAGUAGCUUCUAUGCCAACUUUCACCUUACAUACUAGGUUCUCAAGGAUAUGGAAAUGGGCUGCACCUGAGUGUAAUUCUUGUACCUAGUAGACAAAUACCAUCACAACCAUAAGCCAGAAUGCAGUGAAAUACACGGAGGCACUGUUACAUCAACUAGAACUAAGAUGAUUCUCGAAAAAUUCUGGGGGUCCUCAUCUGUAAGAAGGUCCACCAAGGAUCCAAUGGAAUUGCUCUUAGGCAAAACACAACUGGGAAUCUUCUUCAUUCUGUGCUGCACAUAGAGGGGUUCUGAUAGUUUGUCUUUAAAACAAGGGAAGAUUGUUAGCAGGUUUUGAGCUGUAUUAGCUAAAUCUAGGUCAAACCUUCCAAAGGGUACGCUAGUAAGCCUGAAAGCAUAAAUUCUGGCAACUCUACAAUAGGUUAAGCAAAUUUCCUAUGAAUUUCUCAUGGGGCUGCAGCCAUGCCCUUAAACAGAGACAAAUCUUAAGUUCAUUGCUCUUAGCACCAUAGGAUAAUCACUCUAAAUUCAUAUGAUGGGUGUGGCAACAUUUUUUGUUUUUUUGCAUGUGGUUCAGUUAACCUUCUAUUAUAGUGUGUUGCUGAUGUUGGGACGUCAUUUGUUUUGAGUAUAUUUGGCUCUGUGAUGCCCAUGAUUGGCACAGAGCCAAAUAUACUCGAAACAAAUGACGUCCCAACAGUUGAUUUGCUAAAUUUUUCAACAUUCGUUUCAUUUAUGUGGAAAAAACUUAUGUGGGAAAUUAUUAUAAAUUACUUAAUUUUAAUUCUUGUGUGUUUUUUAAAAUAAUUAAAUAUAAAUUUAUAAAUAAAAUUAUCUAAAAUAAAAAAUACUUAUACAUGCAAUAUCAUCUCUUUUAUGUUACUGAAUACAUUCAAAUUAGAUAAAUAUCUAUAAAAUAUAUUUUAAAAUUUUAAAUAUUAUUAUUGAAUGUCAUAAAUUAUAUCAUACAUAUACUAAUUUCUUUAAUAAAACAAUAUCAAAUUUUCUAUUAUUACUUUUUAUACCAUUUAUAUCAAUAAUAUUUCAUUAAUUUCUUUAUAAAAUGCACAAUAAAAAGUAGUUAAAAAUUAAAAUGUUAAAAGUGAAAACUAUUAUGAAUUAAAAAAAAUGUAAAUAUUGUAUGAAACAAAAAAAAUCAUAAAAUUGGUUUUUCACUUGUUAGAUCAUAUUUAUCAUAUAAUUAUGAUGAAAAGAUUUUAUAUUCAAAAGACAACAAUUAUUUUUGAAACAAAUUGAGUAUUUGCAAUGGUUUAAAUUUAUCCCAAUGAUAUUUUUGUUGACGGAUAUUUGUUGUUGCAAUUAUUGUCAGUAAAUAAUUACAUAUAAACGACAAAUAAUUCAAUUUGCAACGUAAUAUGCAUGUUAGAAAUUUACAAUAGCUUAAAUCUAUCACGAGAGUAAAUAUUAGUGAGUUGACAAUACUUAAUUUUUUGGUAGUAUAUAUAUAGAAGCAGUUUUUGAAUAGUUUCAAUUCCCAAAAACUGUUCCCACUCCAUCUCUUUUUUUCUUUUUCUUUUUUGGAUCAGGUCGGGUCAGCCCCGCUUAGGACCCAAACCCAACUCCAACAGUUAACAUAUCUACUGUAUGCCCCCCAAAAAGUGUAUUAAGGCCUAGCCGGAGUUGUUCUAUAUAAUUUGAUUCCACACACAACAUAAUACUCAUGAUUGAUAAGCAUCUCAGUAUCCCUUUCUGCUUGAAGAGGGAUGGGAUUCACAUAUUGAAAUCAGUAAGACACUGAUGCAAUGUUGAGAAUUAACAUAAUGAAAAGUACUCUUCAAGACUCUCUGUUUGCAUUGCAAUUUACUUCUAUUCCUGUAACUGAUACCUGAUAUUAUGUUUGAUGAACAUCACAUCUAUACUUUAUUCAGAUGUGAAAGCAUAUCAGAAACUAAGAGUUCCAAUCCCAUUGUUAAGACUUAAUAGAACAUCCCAUGAUCAUCAUCCUGGUAUCAUUCCUUUAUGCCCUGUGGCAGGAGAGUGUAUUGAACAUAACUUUAUUGCAGAAAAUAGAAGUACAUGCUAAUACAGUCUACUUCCGUUUUCUCAAGAGUGAGGCUACUAAAUAGUUUUUCCAGGCUACUGAAUGGUUUCACCUGUUUCUUCUGAGUUUUUGUAGUUUAUUUGGAUUUGUCAUGAAAAAAUUGGUAUAGGUGAGGGUCAGUCUGAUAGUACACAACAUCUCCAGUGUCACUAACAUAAUGGUCUUGUUUGAUGCUUCUUGUUAGAUUCUUGAGUAAAUGUAUUGGAAUAGGCCCAGACUUCUUGGGUUCUCGGUAAUACUUUCCAAGCACUGGCCUGGCUGCCUUUGUCUGCAAGCAGGAAUAUCAAACAGUUAGAGAGUAAGCUCUUAACAUGGAGUUUAAUCCUCAGGAUUUUCCAAUUGGGGAUUGGUUAUUUUCAUCAAUGGAGGUCGUACCGCUUCUAUUAAGUGAUAGUGUGGGAUUUGAGGGAAGAGAUGAUGUAUAACAUGGGUGCCAAUGUCAUGGUGGAUGUUGUUAAACCAGCCAUAGUCACGAUCAACCGUUGUUAGCCCUCCUCGUAGAUAGCUCCAUUCCUGUUCCAUACCAACAUAAUGACAACUAAAGCAUUAGGCUCUAUCCAUUCUACAUAAAAUGUACUUCUCAGCAAGGUUGGACCCCUGAAAUCUAUUUUGGUUGCAGGCUGCAGCUAACCAUCAAGUUAAGAAUCCAAGAACUCAAAUUAGUGUUCUGACCAUAUCUUUGUUUAUCAGUACCUUGCCCCGAUACCAUGGAAGUUUUUGCUCAUAGCCAUGGUGAUGCAAGUAAGUAACAAAGUCCAGCCACAUAACGAAAACCUGCAACAGAGGUGGAAUCAUACUAUUAGUCUUUUUCAAAUAAGGCAAAAUACUUGAAAUUCCAGCAGUUCAUCAAUAUGAGAUGACUAAAUUUUACCCACCAGAUAUGGGACCCCAUAGAGCUUAAGCACUUGGGGAAGACCCACUACAAAGGAUACGCAAACAAGCAGAGCAACCAUCAUACACCAACACAGAGUUGAAGUGAGCACAGCUUUCCUUUCACUGGUUGGGAACAGAUCACUGUUAGGAUUGAAGUGGGAGCCCUUCUUCCCUGGGCUUCUAUGCCACUGCAGUGAAAGUAUGAAAUUAUCAUAAGAAAAAUUCUCAAUGACAAGACAUGGGGUGUGAUUAAUCAAAGAGAAGCAUUCUCACCAAGUACAUAGGGUAUGCAAAGAUGGGGAAAGGCACUGUAAAUCUGAAAAUUCGGGUGCUGUUGUCCAAGUUCUUGUACAUUUUCUCAGGCAACUGAGAGAGAGUAAAGUAUUAGAAGGCUAAAAAGGAUACAUAGAAACGAAGAAUUUAUCAUGGAUGACAAGAAUAAGCCAUUUACCGGGACCCAUGAUUCAUCAUUUUCAACAUGACCAUGGUUUUGAUGGUGAGUUCUGUGGCUGAUUCUCCUAUAUUAUUCAUUGGUAAUGGAAAAUGAUUAUAAAUCAAACAUGUGGGAUACUAGUUCCUAAGAAUUAAAGAAAAAAAUUGAGUAUCAGGGCCUACCAUCCAUGGUAGGGAACAAGAAUCCAAGAGUGCAGGAGAUGCCCCACUAUACUAUUCAGCUUAGGAUUGUCUGAAAAGCUUCCAUGGCCACUUGAAAUCAAAAACCAAACACAAGACAUUCAUGUGAAAUCAGGGAAAAGACAUUCAAAUUCCAAAUCAAGAAUACUCAACAAAGUAUAAAACUUAGUUCGGUUUUGAUUUUUAAGAGAACCAAGGAAAAGGAAAGCUAAUAAAGUUUUUGAGUGUGACAUUUUAGCUAGAUUAAAACUAAUCUCAAAUCAGCCAAGUAGAACUGUUUUAUGUUAUUAAAAGAAACUUGAAAAAGUAGAGGUAAGAGUUUUACUUUCUUUUAUUUUACCACCAUUUCUUAGCAACCAAACAGAAAUAAUGGCUAAAAUUAAGUGAUUACCAGUCAUGUCCAAGAACAAACAAUGCCCAGAACAUUGUCCCCUGGGCAGCCCAGUACAGUGGCCAAACCAACCAGCUGUCCGAGUAAAUGGCAGCCACUGCCAACCCAAACACCACAACAACAUCCCUGAGGACAUAACUCAUAGACUUCCAUGGAUCCUUGACCCAGCAAUGCUUGGGAAUCGCAGCUCGAAUAUCAGCAAUCCGGAAAGGAGGUGGCGCACUGGGAUCAAAUCCAUCCCUUCCACCAACCCCAUCAGUAGCUUUACUUCCUGCCCUCUCCCCACUGAAAGAGUUCUCUUUGUCUGCAAGACCAAGAAAGAAGAUUAUUGUGUCACAUUGCAAUCUCAAAAGAUCGAAACUCAGGCAUUUAAGACCAUAUCCGGAGAGAAACAGACCUCUCUCAAACUUCCAUGCAUGUCAAAACCUUUAAAGAUCUAAUGUAACCUUUUUAUACUUACUGUAUAUCAGAUCACAUAGUUUAAUCUCCAUAGAUUCAUGUCAUAAUCUAUGAAUUCUGGGGCCCUAAAGGCCACAAACUUUUGAACCCAAUGGCAGUUUGCCACGUAUAGACUUAAACUUCAACUGGGUAUUCCCAGGAUCCUCCCACAAAUCUUGGAGAAGAACCCACUCGUCCAAUAAGAUUGCUUCAAUCAAACAAACCUCAAAAUAUUUCCAAUGAAGAGCAGCAAAUGAUAAAACUAAUCGAUUAGCGUAAGCUAAAUUAAAAAUUGAAACAUAGAACUUACCCCCAGCCAUUGAUGAUGGAUGUGGAGUCACCAAGAACUAGUGCUUUUUCUCUUUUCUUCUAUCCUCAGGAGAGAGCUCUUUGAGCAGCAAAGGCCAGAACUCUAUUAUUUAUAGCCAUGAAUGGGCCACUCAUAGCAUCCAGAUGUGACUUCUCUUGCUCGGAGCCAUGGCGUGUGAGAUGCACAAAUCUAUAAUUUUGGAACAUGCCCACAUAAUAAACGAGUUAUAUAUUUAUAAUUACUUGUCCAAAAGAAACACCUAUUACAAUGUUCCAACAGGCAAGUUUAGGAGGCNNNNNNNNNNNNNNNNNNNNNNNNNNNNNNNNNNNNNNNNNNNNNNNNNNNNNNNNNNNNNNNNNNNNNNNNNNNNNNNNNNNNNNNNNNNNNNNNNNNNGAUGCUCUGGGAGGAAUGCAUCGAAGAGGAGUGCCAGUGUCAUCGCCAAGUGGGGAAGCAUGAGACUUUAUUUGCCCUUUCAAGGUACCUAAAGUCCUAACAACCCAAUUAACUUUUACCAUGGAAGAAACUUUGUGUCUAUAAAGUUCAUUUUGGUGUGAAACUCCGGGUGAGAAGCAGAGAAAUGCACGACUCUCUGCCAUACAAAUUCCUUGAGAAAGAAAAAGAGAUUGUACUAUAUAUCAGGGACACCACCUUGUGGGCCAAACUUUUGUCAGGACCAUGUUCAAUGCACCAGUGAAUCAUGUGGACCAAUGAAUUUCCGCCCUUCUUUCUUGGUUGCCAAACAAUAUAACAGUGAGUCCUUUACUUGGUACCGUUAUGAUCUCAGCUUCAGAUCAUUAAAGCUACUAUUUUAUGGGUGAGAAAUUUACUCUGUAAUUUAAAACAAAAAAGGCUUGGAGACAUCAUCACUGCUUUCCAUGCUCCUACUCAUGCCACCACCAUCACUAUUACCACUAGUGUUGGUGUCCCCCAUCACCUACCACAGUAGGGUUUCAGGCUUUUACCUUUUUUGGGAGUUCCAAACCGAAAGAGAAGACAAAACCCAGAAAGAAAAAGUGAAUAUGUUGCAUGCCAUGUUUUUUCAAAGUAUACCCAACAUGAGAAGAAAUUUUCAAGCAGUGAUUUUUAGUGAUUUUUUGAACCCUAGAAUUGCCUCGAAGAUAUGUAAGGAUCAUGGUUUUCAUGGAAUUCAAGGCAAGGUGGGCCCAAAUUAGUUGGCAGGUUCGUACAGUAAUAUAAUUAUAUUUAUUGAAUCUGAUGUCCUGCAACCACAACCACAAGUGGGACAGGAGCCCAGAAUCAUUUUUCCAUUGCUCCCAGACAAGGAGAAGAUGCAGGCAUUAUGAAUCUGCAGAGUCCUAACAUGGUGAAGACAUCAGUUGGGAAAUUUUUUUAUUGCAAUAAAUGUUUGAGCAACCUCAUGAAGAUACUGCAUAGCAUGGUAAAAGCUGCUUUCCCCACCAGAAAAUAGCUUUUGUGCAGUGCAGAUGAGAAUUGAGUUUCUAUUUUAUCAAAUUUCAGAUAAGGAAUUAAAACAUCUUUUUUUUGUUCUUAAGACUGAAAGCAGUUUGCCAACAAUUCUAGCAAUUUUUGGAUUGAAAACAUUUAUUAAAUUUAUUAUUACUUUUAAAAUAUUUUUCACACCAAUCGACUAAGAUUCCACGUAUGAUAAAUCUUACAAACUCAUCACUUUUCAUGAUGGUGAGUUUACAUGUCUCUUUCAACAAUCAUUUAACGGAUUCGUAUUGUGUUUAGAUAAGAAAUAAUAAAAAAUAUAAUAAACACAGAUAUCUGUCUUAAUAAACACAGAUAUCUGUCUUAAUAAACACAGAUAUCUGUCAUUUUUGAGUUGUUUUUGUUACUUCUACCCUUCCUAUACUUAAUAUGUAGGUAGAGAGGUGGGUUGCUAUGGGUGGUAGUCAUAUUUCAAUAUACAUAGUAAUAUGGAUGAAAAUUUUACCGAAAUUUCGUAUAUCGAUAAUCAGUGAUACAAAACAGGCGAAAUUUUGGAUCUUUUUCGGCCCGUUAAUGCCUAAUCAAAGGUUCAAAAAUAUGAUGGGUGGUAGUCAUAUUUCAAUACACAUAGUAACAUAGAUGAAAAUUUUGCCAAAAUUUCGUAUAUCGAUGAUCAGUGAUACAAAAUAUUUUUCACACCAAUCGACUAGGAUUCCACGUAUGAUAAGUCUUACAAUUUCAUCACUUUUCAUGAUGGUGAGUUUACACAUAUCUCUUUCAACAAUCAUUUAAUGGAUUCGUAUCGUGUUUAGAUAAGAAAUAAUAAAAAAUAUAAUAAACACAAAUAUCUGUCAUAAUAAACACAGAUAUCUAUCAUUUUCGAGUUGUUUUUGUUACUUCUACACUUCUUAUACUUAGUAUGUGAGUAGAGAGGUGGGUUGCUAUGGGUGGUAGUCAUAUUUCAAUAUACAUAGUAAUAUGGAUGAAAAUUUGCUGAAAUUUCGUAUAUCGACGAUAAGUGAUAUGAAAUAGGUGAAAUUUUGGAUAUUUUUUUACCCGAUUAACACCCAAUCAAAGGUUCAAAAAUAUGAUGGGUGGUAGUCAUAUUUCAAUACACAUAGUAACAUAGAUGAAAAUUUUGCCGAAAUUUCGUAUAUCGAUGAUCAGUGAUAUGAAAAAAUUUCGAAUCUUUUUCGGCCCAAUCAACGCCUAAUCAAAUGUUUGAAAAUAUGAAACUGGGCAAACAUUAGGACUCAACCCCGCCCAAACCCAAAAUAAACACAUCCUCACCUUGGUGAGUGUCACACCCCUGGUUAUCUCACUUAAUUUUUCACGAGUGUGCCGUGCUAAGGACCCUUCCUUAGCCAACCUUCUCUUCCCAUAUUUAGAAGAACAGAGUAGAAUAUAGAAAUAACAAAGCAACAGGGGCACACGAGGUUACGGGAAUCCUUUCCCAACUUGUAUUAAUCACUCUUACAAGACAAAAUUGCUUCUUGAACCAGAGUACAAUGCACUCACCCAAUGCAUACGAGAAGGAACCCUUUCCCCAACUCUCAUCCUCUGUUUCAAGGCUGUAGGAGCCCUAUUUAAAUGACUCAAUAUGCAGUUACAAAUUUGAAUUCCCUCAAUUCAAAUCUUGGAGCCAACUAGGUGGUCAUGCAACUGGCCAGAACUGCUCUCAACUGCCCUGCAUAACCACCCACCACCCCAGAUAGUGGCCUGCACAUGUCACCCACUUGCACUAGCCAUCAUCCUUCAGCCAACUGCAGGUCAAUGACGGCUUGAUUUGGUCACUGGUUUGUUUGAGCUAGCUGCCACUAGCUAGCUACACUGCCAUCUCCUUCAGGUCUUGCUUGCCAAGCUGCUGGUGAGUCCCCCUAACAAGUCGACCCCUCCCCCUCAAGGCGCCUCUUGUGACCGAGUGCCCAUCAGCAUGUCUUUGAUCAAGUCCCUCCGAGCCAAGCAGCGUGCACCACCCAUCUGACCAAGUGUUUGGUGCAUCAGCGUGCCUUCCUCACAUUGGUGUAUGAGCCCGUGCCAUGUCUAGGUGCCCAUGGCUUGGGCUUGUUGCUUGUUUCCCAGCUUCCCAGCAACGAACCAUGGCAUUGCGCCCAUGGCUAAUCCUUCUUGUGCACAGGGCACUACGCCCCUAUGUUGUGCGUAGGCAUCUCGGUGCGAGUCAACUACUAGAGCCAUCAAACCAUGACAUUGCGCCCAUGGUUUCAUCAUCUGGCUCACUGCACAAGGCUUAAGCGCCCUCGUGCCUUUGCGGGGAAGGGGUAGGCCGCACCAGGCCCCGUGCCAUUGAGGCCACAGGGUGCACAACACAUAUGUCGUGGAGCCCAUGUGUGCGUGCUUGAGUCGCAUCAUGUGUCUUUGGCACGCCAAGGCCGUGCCAUGGUGCCCCCUUGGUGUGGUCAAGGCUUCUCUUGGUGGCUCCCUCCUUUGAGUCACCUACCCUCCCUCCCCCCCUUAAAGAGCAAUACGGGUUGUUUUCAUUGUUUCUUGAGGAGACAUUAAUAUGUCUGAGGAUGCAUAAUGGAAUAUAAUUUUAAUUAUAAAUUAAAAUUCCAAGUCAGAUUUCAUCUGCACCACCUAAGUUAGGUACGCGCGCGAUGCCCAUCUGGUGUGCACGCGGUGCAUGUCUGGCUCGCGCGUGGUGCGUGUCUGGCUUGCUUGCGGUGCGCAUCUGGCUCGUCCGUGUGCGCGCGCGGUGCGCGUCUGGCUCGCUCGCGGCCUCUUCACAUGGCUCCUGGAGUUUGAACCACCAAACCUCCAAGAUUUCUCUGCUUUCAUCCUAGGCUUUCAUGGGUGCAAGGCCUACCCAUGAGGCCUAUUCCUCCAUGGUUAACUCAAGGGUCUAAGGAGCUGACAGUGAGCCACUAGGCUAACUUGCCCACUUGUUAAAUAUUAGACACCAAAUAAUAUAUAGUAAAACUAUCACAAAACAAAAUAUUAAAAAAGAAUUUUAAUAAACAAAUUAAUUCUAAUUAUUUUAUUUUUAAAUUUCAUUUAAUUAAACACUAAAAAUAUAAAACCUAUCAUUAUAAUUUUCUUAAUAGUUUUUUAUAUCAUUUAUAUAUUAAUUAAAUAUAAAAAAUGUAAAUAUUAAAAAAAUUUAUAUAUAUAUCAUCAUUUAUUUUAUAUCAUUUUAUACAAUUAAAAUUAAAUGAAUUAUAAUUUUAAAAUAAGAUAGAAGUAAUCAAAUAUCACAAUAUUUUGUGUGGAUGCAUACGAUAUUAUUAUCAAAUAUGAUUAAUUAUAUCAUAUACAUAUAUUAUUUUUUUAUAAAACAACUUUAAAAUGUAUAUUAUUGUUUAUUAUAUCAUUUUUUGAGUUUUUAUCAAUAUUUUCAUUUUUUUUUAUAUCAAUUUUAGGCUAUUGAAUUUUUUUUUUCCAAAAUAUUCGUCGAUAUAUCUCUGAUAUAUUUGAUAUAUUUGUAAAAUCGAAGUUUCUGAUAUAUCCAUGAUUACCGAUAUUUUCAUCAAUGCAUAGUAAGUAGUAAGAAUGUGGGUUAAGUAGUAAAGAGGUGGGUUGUGAUGAGUGGUAGUCAUGUUUCAAUAUACGUAGUAAAUAGUAAAGAGGUGGGUUGUGAUGAGUGGUAGUCAUGUUUCAAUAUAAAUAGUAAGUGGUAAAGAUGUGGAUUGUGAUGGGUGGUAUUCAUGUUUCAAUAUACAUAGUAAGAAGCAAAGAGGUGGGUUGUGAUGGGAGUCAAAUUUCAAUAUAUAUACUAAGUAGGUAAAGAGGUGGGUUGUGAUGGGUGGUACUCAAUUUUCAAUAUAUAUAGUAAGUAGUAAAGAAGUGGAUUGUGUUGGGAGUCGAAUUUCAAUAUAUAUAGUUAAUAGGUAAAAAUGUGGGUUGUGAUGGGUGGUAGUCAAAUUUCAAUUUACGCAGUAAGUGGGUAAAGAGGUUCUACAAAAUGUUGAAUAUCUUCUUAGGUCUUAUUUUCAAAGUGAUCAAGGCGUCGCCAUGUUUAGAGAUUUCUUAAAUCCAGAGGGUGAAGAAGUAAUCUCUAUUUCCAAUAUUUUGGUAACUCUGUACUGAGGCGUUAAUCAAAACAAUGACUUGAUUUCAUCAAAUUCAUUCAUGGCUUUCAAACUAUUAAUUGCAAUACAUUUAAGAGAUGUUUUAUAAGUACACUCAAAUUCCAAUUGGUUUUUCCUUUAAAUAUUUUGUAGUAUUUAUAUUUCCUAAGCUUCCAUGUAUCAUCUUCUAUUUGAAUUGGGCGACAACUAUCCAUAAUAGAAAAGAAGAGCCUCAUGGGCUUUCAUAACCGUGUUAGUGUGAAUUGUAUUUUAUUUAAAUGAAUGAUUUGUGUAGUUGAUAAUGUUGGAGCUGAGAAUUUCUUGAACAAUGGUCAUUUUCUCGUCACGCGUUUCCUUAUACCUGUCACACAAGGCUUGCCCGAUUUUACCCCCAGAUCACCUCAUUCGAUGAUUAAGUUAGCUGAGGUUUUCAAGAAAAGGUAAUAUAUUUAAUGCUAUUAUUUUUUCUUUCCUCUCCUAGACUUGCUAGUUGCAUUCAUAUACCUUUUAGCUAUGAUAGGCAUAGAGAUCGCGGAAGCACUUUUUGGUCACUUCAAGUAGUUACCGCCUCAAGUGUUAAUUGUUUCCACUACUCCACGUGGGUUGUUCUCCUAUGUUCUAUUUCCCACUUUACCUGUUGGGCUAUUUAAGUUAGUUGGGCCAUUAGGCUAGUUGGGCUUUUAACUCUGGCUUGAACUAACCCGACUCAGUUGAUAGUUUUUUGGGUAGACCCAUUAUCCUCAUUUACGGGGAUGCCCACAAUUGCCCUCAAUUUUUUGUUGACCUUUGGUUGAGGUCAAACGGAAAAUUCUUUUUCAUUUUAAGCGGGAACAUAUUUUCCUUGAUUUUCUGGAUUUUCCAAUUUUUGUAUUGGACGUACAUACCAAUGUACCCUUUAGUCAUCUUUGGGGGUUUCUUUUGCCCUCUAGUGACGACACACGUACCAUGCUUUUUCAAAUUCCAAAAGUUAUCAUAUCCUUCCUUUUGGAGUCUCAACAACAUUGUUACCUCACCGCAACAUUCUUGAUUUUUCCUCUUCUAUUUGCAUCAAGCUACCAAUCCUGCGUUAUUGGUGUUCAGGUAAGGAAAACUCAUCUCUUUCAUCAUCUUUAUGUCCUAAUUCCGGUUUUCGUUAUAUUUGCUUCAUUCACAUUCCUAUUUUCCUGGAUAAAGAGUUCUCUUAUUCGUUUGGUUCCUCGAACUCUGCACGAAAGUGCACUAAGAAACCUCUUUCUAGGGUUUCCUUCUCCUCUUCAUUUUUCUGCUAGUAAUGAGAACUCUUACAGAAUGUCGAAGCAAUCUAAAGGUUCUAUGAAAAGGAAAAUACCCUAAAAGGGUUCCUCUUUAGAUAACACAACCCGCACUUUAGUUCGUAUUGUAGACGAUUUUGCCACUGAUGAAUUCAAAAGGGAUUUUAAUAUUCCAGACAAUGUUGAUAUCCAACUAUUGUGCAACACCACACCCCUCCCAACUGAUACACACAUGCAACACUCCAUAUGUUUCACCAGGGAACAGUUCCAUGCCGAGCUACGCUAACUUUUGCCUUCAUUAGUGAGGGAUUUUUUGCACUAUACCCAAAUUUCGCCAUCAUUUGUCCAUCUGAACUUGAUCUACAUUCUCAUGGGCUGCUCUAUUUUAAAUCAGUUAUUCAAUCUCGAGUUGUUCUUGCUUGAGAUUAUUUUCAUUUACACUAUUAAGUUGAACAAAUGAGGAAAAUUCAUCAUUUCUACUUGUAGAAGGCAGUUGCAAUUGAUCACAAACUUGUCGAAUUCUAGGAAAGGUUGGGCCAUCAAACACGUGAUUGUUUCUAGAGAAUGGGAAUUUGCAACUCCAGAUCCUCGCGGUCCUUACCCCUUGAAUCAUACCCUUAAACUGCCCAGUAAAUGCCCUGAUACCAUUUAUUUAUUUAUUUAAUAUUUGUCUAAUGUUGCUUCUCGAUAGUUGAAAAUUACCGAGGAUGCCUAGUAGAGUGGGUGGAAAAACCUUACCGGGAACGGCUUACCAAGCUGUUCAACAUUGAUUUCAAGCAACUAAGUUUUUCUUUUUUUACUUACCAAGACCAAUCUUCAAAGUGUGCUCUCGAACCAGGACUCUUUCACCCCUCAAAUUUUUCUAAGGAUUGCUCCUAGCGACCUAAUCCUCGGGGUGAAUUUUAUUCCAAAAGACUUUAAAGUAAACAAACCUUCUGGCUCUUUUGACACUAGCACAAAAGCUACUGGGGAGAACGACCAACCUAUCCCAAUAGCAACUACUAAGCAAACUACCCCGCCUGGUUCCUCUGUCACAAUUCCACUCUCUUCGCCUAGAAAUUUACCAAUUACCAAAUUCUUGUUCAGAGUAGUAGGACAAAAUUUUAAAAUCUCCAAGUAUCAACUUUAAAAAAAAACUAAUACAUCAACCAAAGUGUUAUUGUCUAAAUAACUCCAAAAUCAAAAUAAUUCAAAUGAGAAUUAAGUUUUAACAUCUAAACAAGGUCCAAAAUAAAGAAAGUUUAAACAAAUGUCCUAAUAAAGCCAAAUUUCCCUUCUAACGGUCACUUAUCGCCCAAACUGAGGUUACCUGAAAAAUUAUCAACAAAAAGGAUGAGCUCAAAGCCCAAUAAGGAACAUUAAUACAGUUUCAUAGAUCAUACGUUUUCAAUCAUGCUUGCAAAUAAGAGAUAUAACAUAUACUUAUUUUCAUAAAAACUUUUGAGUUCAAAAUACUAAUAUAUUCAAACUUUGUAACAAAACUUUCUCAUAUCCAUUUCAAAACAAUUUCUCAUCAAAACUAAAUCGAAUACUUUCAAAAUAUCUUUACUCUAAUUAUCGUAUGACAAAUGGUGCCUAAUUAGAUGGGAAUUCCCAAUUGAGUAACUAGUUUCAAAUUUGUUCCAUUUAGGGUGAACAAACCAAAUGUCAACAAUUAUAACCCACUGACUAAGGUCAUAUAAUCCAGAGUCAAACAUUUUAUUUUACUAAUUCAAACUUACAAAACAAAAUAUCAUAUCUCCUUAAUUUUUCAUGUUUCAUAAACAGAUAAAAUGUUUAAACAUAUUUUUCAUACAAAACAUAUAUUUUAUCCAUGCAUAGAAAUAAAAAUAACAUUUUUAAACAUUUCAAAAUACAAAAUAAAAAGAAAAUUAUUUCCUUUUACAAAAUUUGCAUUAAUUUCCCUUAAUUUGAAGAAGCACUCAAAAUCUUGAAGUAUUUAAUUUUGAAGAAUUUCCUCCUCAUCUAACAUAAUAUCAUACACAAUAUUGAUUAUUAAUUAUUUAUCUAAAUAUAUAAAUUUGACAAUCCUAAAAAUAUUUUAUUUAGUAUUAGAGAUCCUAAUUAAUUUCUCAUGGUAAUAUUAUUACUACCCAAUAUUUUUUCAACUUACUAAACAAUAAUAAAUUAAUUUAGUGAGUUUCCAAAUUAUUGUAAAAUUCAUUUUCUUUCAUAAUCUUACCCUCAUUAUUUAUUUCUUUAUAUACCUAAAUUAAAUUAAAACCUAUACAACAAACUAUUAUUAUUAUUAUUAUUAUUAUUAUUGGUUCCAAAUCCAAUUGUCACUUAACCACAAUUCCACCCCCACACCUCAUUAUAUAUGUAUUAUCACUUUCAAAGACUCUGCAACACCAUUAUUCCAAGCCACCAACUACACCCAUUAUUAUUAUUAUAAUCAUAACAUUUUUUUUUCUUUUUAUUAUCAUUAUUAUUAUUAUUAUUAUUAUUAUUAUUAUCACCAACUACACCCAUUAUUAUUAUUAUAAUCAUAACAUUUUUUUUUCUUUUUAUUAUUAUUAUUAUUAUUAUUAUUGUUAUUAUUAUUUUCUUUUUAUUAUUUUUAUAUUAUUGUUAUUAUUAUUUUCUUUUUAUUAUUUUUAUUAUUAUUGUUAUUAUUAUCACCAACUACACCCAUUAUUAUUAUUAUAAUCAUAACAUUUUUUUUUCUUUUUAUUAUUAUUAUUAUUAUUAUUAUUAUUAUUAUUAUUAUUAUUUUCUUUUUAUUAUUUUUAUUAUUAUUGUUAUUAUUAUCACCAGCUACACCCAUUAUUAUUAUUAUAAUCAUAACAUUUUUUUUCUUUUUAUUAUUAUUAUUAUUAUUAUUAUUAUUUUCUUUUUAUUAUUUUUAUUAUUAUUGUUAUUAUUAUUUUCUUUUUAUUAUUAUUAUUAUUAUUGUUAUUAUUAUCACCAACUACACCCAUUAUUAUUAUUAUAAUCAUAACAUUUUUUUUUCUUUUUUAUUAUUAUUAUUAUUAUUAUUAUUAUUAUUUUCUUUUUAUUAUUUUUAUUAUUAUUGUUAUUAUUAUCACCAACUACACCCAUUAUUAUUACUAUUAUAAUCAUAACAUUUUUUUUUCUUUUUAUUAUUAUUAUUUUCUUUUUAUUAUUUUUAUUAUUAUUGUUAUUAUUAUCACCAACUACACCCAUUAUUAUUAUUAUUAUAAUCAUGACUUUUUUUUUUCUUCAACAUUUGUUUUUUCUUUUUUAUUAUUAUUAUUUUUUUUUCUUCAACAUUUUUUUUCUUCUUUUAUUAUUAUUAUUAUUAUUAUUAUUAUUAUUAUUGAGAUAUUUCAAAGAAUAUCUAAAGUGUUCAAAACUAAUUAAUGAAUAUAAAAUAUUAAUUUAAGGAUUAAAAAUCUUACCUAAAAAAAUUGAUCUUCAAAUCCUCAACCUCCAAAUCUUCAGCCAUAUACUCUGAUAUUUAUGAUCUCUAUGUAAAAAGGUUUUAUGAAUAAAGAAGAUAGGAAAAAUCUAAUUUAAAUUUAGGGGUUUUAAAUACGAAAAAACUUUUUUACCCUUAUUAAAUUACUUUAAUUAAUUAAUAAUUUUCAAAUUACAAUUUUACCCCUAAAUUGGGUUUGGGACAUUACACCACUACUGGUACUGGACAGUGAUUCUAUUGAACAUAACGAGUCAGCUCCUUUGAUUGCGAAGAACAUGGACGACACAGAAGGUGAGGUCGUUGACAUAUUUAGUUGGGUUAGAGAGAGAAAAAAAAACUAAACUAAAGAUUGUCCCGUCUAAGACCACCCAACCAACUUCUAGCACACUUUAAAAGACGUCGACUACACAAAGUGCUUUAUCGGAUACUACUCCACAAAUGGCCCCUCACGACAAUAUUAUUGUUCUUAACCUGCGUCAAAUGAAGAAUCUGCACUUUCACAAGAUUGGUCCCAUUUCAACUAAGGAGGUAGGGGAAAUCCAAAACCAAUAUUCCUCAUUUACCACUGUUGAUCCUCUUUUAGCAUAUAUGGACUACUAAGCAGAUCACCAUGGAGGUUCUUGGUUGGCUAGACUUGAACUUUAUUGCAAAUGUUUCCAUUGGGGCACCUGCUUGAGUUGUGCAAAUGGUAGCUACUAUUUGAGGACUAGAUGAAGAUCAAAUUACCGAAAUGGUACUACGGCAAACCGAGCACGCUUUUGAUACCCUUCCUUAAAAUUCUUCAAUACAUUUAACACUAUCAUAUUUAUAUACCAAAUGGGUUGUUGUUGGUAGAGACUUGAAACACCAGUUUUAAACCACCAAUAAGAAGUUGAAGGCUGCCAAUAAACUUAGACAGUACGUUGUUGAGUCCAUGGCCAAGCAGGAAAACCUUGAAAUGGAGUUGGCUUCAGCUAAGUUGCAUAUUGCUGAACUUGGGAACUCUAAUAAAGUCCUUUAGGCCUCAAUCCAAACUCUUCAGACCAAGUACGGGGACUUGAAAAAUGAUCAAAAAAUGAAGGUAAAAGAGAUAGAACGACUCCAUAUUCAAAUUAACUAGUCCUAGUCCGCGCUAAAAGCUCAACAUGCAAAGUUAAUUGCCAAGUACACCGAGCAGGUAGAGAAAAUGUAUUGGUGCGCAUACCGGUGUUUCAAGCAAAUGCAUGCUAUCACUGAAGACUUUGAUACUAACGAGGACUUUGUCACCGAAGAUGAAGGUUCUGCCCUUGAAACCUCACCGUUGGGUACUGGCAAGGCCGACAAGAGAGUGAGGUCGACUAUUACAGACGAAGACGAAGCCAACCCUACUGGGGUGUCAGCCCUGUCGGAUGCUUCUUUGCGAGAAGAUAUCGCCCCUUACUUGGAUAAGGUUUCUCCUCUAUGUCACAUUGGUGAUGUGUCUUCCAUUGUUGAACCGAUAGGUAGUCAAGAGAACGUCCUUGAGAGGACUGAAGAAUUAGAACCCCUAUUGGCCAGCUUGAAUCCCAUUACAUACAUUGAUGACCUAGAAGAAUGAAUUGAAGUCAUAGUUUUUUUUUUUUUUUUUUGGUAAAAACUUAACAGUUACACUAGUUCUUUGACAUUUGGUGGGUUUUACCGUCUCUUUUCUUCUUCUUCUUUGGUUUUGUUUUGUUUUUUUUUUAAAUGUUUGCAUGAUAUUUCCUUUACAAUAGGUUUUUGUGCCCUACUUCUUUUGCCCCUACUUUGUUUGGCUUUUUAUUUUAUUUUAUAAUAUUGAAUCUAUCAUGUAAUGUAUUUUGCUAGCAUGUUUACACUUUUUACUUAAUCAUAGGAUUUUUACUCAAGAAAAAUAUCUUUUUAGGUUUGAAAUAUUCUAUGGACGAGGUAAAUGUUCCUCAGUUAUUUUUUCUAGGUGGUAGGCUCCUCCAUGUUUUAUUUUUAUUACAUUGUAAGGACCUUCCUAAUCGGCUUGCAAUUUGCCAAGCCCGAGAUCUGUCAUAUUCUCAAACAUUUUCCUCAAGACUAAGUCCCUGACUUGCAGUUGUCGCGGUUUUGCCCGCUUGUUGUAAUAUGUCAUUGCUUGAUGACAAUAAGUUUCCAUUCGAAUCAGAGCUGCCUCCCUCAACUCAUCAACCCAACCCAAACUAGCUUGGAUAUCUUGGUUUCUUGUUGGGUUUUGGGUUGUUCACAAUGUUGGUGUUCUUAUUUCAAUUAGGAUGACAACUUCCAUGCUAUAAGCUAGGGAAAAAAAAGUCUCCCCGGUUGGGUGUCGUCAUGUGGUUCGAUGUGCCCACAAUACUUCGAGCAACUCUUCCACCCAGUGGCCAUUGGCUCAUUGAAGUCUUUUCUUUAGUGUAUCAAACAGGGACUUAUUCAUUGAUUUCCUUUUCCCAUUAGCCUGUGGGUAGCAUGGUGAGGAAUACAGGUUCUUGAUCUCCAACUCAUAACAAAUUUUUUUAUAAUUAGAGCUAUCAAACUAUGGCCCAUUAUUUGAGAUUAUCACCCAUGGUAUCCUAAAACGACAAAUAACGCUCUUCCAUAAAAACCUUGCUACAUCCUUAUCUUUUAUUGUUGCGAAAGCCUCUGCUUCAACCCACUUUAUAAAGUGGUCAGUUGUCAUCAACAAAAAUUUCUUUUAGGAAGAGGCUACUAGGAAAUGACCCAUUAUAUCUAUUAUCCACUGGGCAAAAAGCAAAGGACUAACCAAUAGAGUGACGGACUUUGAUGGUAGCCAGGGAAUGUGUGCAUACCGUUGACAACUGUCACACGUUCGCACUAACUCCUGGGAGUCCUUAUGUAUGGUGGGCCAGUAGUACCCUUGUGUGCAUGUUCGAUGAGCAAAUGUCCGACCGCCCAAGUGGUUUUCGCACACUCCUUCGCACAAUUCUGAAAUUACAUACUUCGCUUCUUCUGGGUCCAAACACCUUAAAUAUGACCCACUGUAAGACCUUCUGUAUAAUUGACCCCCGAUCAUGCGGACUUAAUCCUAAUCCAAUGUGUCUAGAGUUCAUCCUCUAGUAGCUCCCCUGCUUCCAGAUACUUGAAGAUCAGUUCCAUUCAACUUCCAUGGAUAUCAUAAACUUGAUUCACUUGUUCUUUUUCUAGGAUUGAUGGGUCAUCUUGGUAAUAAACCAGCAAAAUAGUUGUUUGUGUCACAACUAAGGAAGUUGUUAAUCCAGUUAAUGCAUCUACUUAGACACUCUCUUCCUUAGAGAUCUGAGUCACUUUCCACUCACUAAUCUGAAGCUAGUUUUUCUUCUAUCCUAUUCCGCUUGAUGUCUUUCGAAAUCCUCAAGAAUAAUCUCCAAUGUUGCAGCCUUCCAAGGAGUUGUCAUACUAAUUGAAUCCCGCGAUUGACUAUCUCCCAUUGCUAAGCUUCCAACUCCAAACAAAAAUAGGGGUCUACUUUCAGCUCAAAGUAAAAAUGUUACUAAAAUGUAGAACCUUCCCACAGACGACACCACUUGUUAGAGCUAAGAAUUUCUUGAGCAAUAGUCAUAUUCUCGUUGCACGCUUUCUUAUACCUGUCAUACAAGGCUCGCUUGAUUUUACCCCAGGAUCACUUCCUCCAAUGAUUAAGUUAGUUGGGGGUUUCUAGAAAAGGUAAUAUUUUUAGUGCUGCUAUUUUUUUUCCCUCUCCUGGAUUUGCUAAUUGCAUUCAUAUACCUUUCAGUUACCGAUAGGCGUGAAGAUCGCGGGAGCACUUUUUGGCCACUUCAAGCGGUUACCUCCUCAAGUGUUAACUGGCUCCACUACUCCUCGUGGGUUGUUCUCUCACGUUCUAUUUCUCACUUUACUUGUUAGGCUAUUUAAGUUAGUUGGGCCAUUUGGCUAGUUGGGCUUUUAAUUCUAGCCUGACUUAGCGGAUAGUUUUUUGGGUAGGCUCGUUAUCCCCAUUUGCAAGGGUGCCCAUAGAUAAUAUGGUUAUAAGAGAUAUCUUUCUAAACAAGUGGUUCGUGUCAAUUUUCGAUAAUGGCUAUUAUGGGAAAAUUUUACAAAGUGGGUGUUGUAAACCUAGUUUGUGUGGGGUUUUUAGCUGAGGAAAGAUUUAAAAGGAGAUUGGCCUUGAAGAAGCAGCAUUUCUUGAAGGUGGAAAGACCAGCCCCUAUCAAGACUUCAAGAGUGUUGAUAGAUCUUCCCUCUCCUCCAAGAAUGUUGAAGACCGAUAGGAAGAGAAGAGGUGGGUCAAUUUUUUAGGCUUAUUAAUGCUGUGAGUUUGCAAGCAGAUGGGGAAGAUACCUCAUUGUGGAGGGAGGAGAACAAAGGGAGAUUUCGAAGUGUAAUCCUUUUCUAGAUUCUCAUGUGAUGAGAGAGAGCUUUGUUGGGGCACUGCUGCUCUUUUGAGAAAUUGUGUAUUUUUUUAUUUUUUUAUUUUUUGCUUGGAAAAUAGUUUCAAAAUUUUGAAACCAGUUUUAAAAAACUCAUUUUCUAGGUUUUUGGAAAAUGCGUAUGUUUUUUAGAAGAGAAGAUUGCCUUAAUAAAACAAUUAUUAAACCGGCCUAAGAUUCCAUCCCCCAAUUCGUUUCCAACCUUGGCUGAAUAUGUGGCUAGAUAUCAAUGUGAUAAAAUCGCCAAAACAUCUGAGAUUAUUAAAAAGAACUCAAGAAAACCAUGAAAAUCGGUGAUUUUCUGGUGACUUGAACCUGAACCUGAUUUCAUUUCGGGGCCAAUAUGGACCAACACGCAGUGGUAAAUACGAUAAACAGAAGGGUAUAAAAUUAGAACAUUUGAUUUUGGUACCUCAUAUUCAUAUAUUUCCAAGAGCAGACAAGUUAAAAUCAAUGAUAAGACCAAGCUAUUUUACCUGACUCUGCCAUUCAUCUUCUUCAACAUGACCAUGGUUCUGAUGGCGACUUCUCUGCUUGAUUCUCCUCUAUUAUUUAUGAACAAUUUGAAUGGAACAUAAAUCAAACAUCAGGGGUAAUGAUCCUGAAAAUGAAAAAAUCUAAAAAGUUAUUAGGAACCUACCAUUCAUGGUAGGGAACAAGAAUUGGAGAAUCCAAGAGCUGCCCACCACAAUAUUCAGCAAAGGGAAGUUUUCCAAGCUAUUUCUCAGUAGCCAAACACAAAGUGUUAAAAUGAUUACUAGUCAUGUCCAAGAACACAAUGCCCUCAAUAUAUUCCUUCAUUUGAAUGCCUCCAAUUUUCAGUGAAUCACAGCAAAAACAUUUAACAAAAACCUUGUUUCACAAAAGAAAUAAAAAGGACAUCAGUUUCUAUGCUUCAUAACGAGCAAUACUCUUGCUUCUUUUGUAAUAAUGAAUGCAAAACUAGGCAACUGUGACUGAUAUACAACAUGAGAUUUUGACAUGAAUAAUACAACAUACACAUGGUAUAAUACAAGCAAUCCUUUAGUGUCAGUAACUACCGCCGAGGACGAGAUUGACUCGAGUUCUUUCCACUGACUCCUGAUAACUGUUUUAGGUUGGUAAGAGCGUCCUGGGCAUACCCCUUUGCAUUGGCAUUGCCGUGCUUAAAGGCUUCUACCAAGGCCCUGACCAGAGACUGAUUUAGCGAGUGCCGGUUAAUGUCACUCUCUACUCUUAAUAUUCUCUCUAUCAUCCAAAGUAACCUCUCUUGAAGAAUACCAGGGCGAACUUCUGUAAAAAGAGUAAUAGCAGCUUCAACCACACCCAGAUGUUCAAGCUCAUCAACAGCUCUCUUAAAGUUGUUGGAAGUAUCUAUCACGAGAGUAGAAAGUGCCUCCACUGCAGCAAUUUGAACAUUGGUGUCCUCAUCUGUUAGAAGAUCUACCAAGGGUUUAAUGCAAUUGCUUCUAAGCAGGCAAAACUGAUUAUCUUCUUCACAUGAAACAUUGUGUAUGGCGCACACAGGCAGUUCUGGAGGCCUCUUCCCACACAUGAACACCAAGGAGGAGCAGAAGCCAUGGGAAAGUUGCACUUCUAAGUCCCCAGUGCUGAUUAGUGUCCUUCGAGACUCUGACAAGUUUUUCAAUCCAAGGGCAGCUAGCUGUUUAACUCUUGGUUUUAAAGGGAAGUUGAGCUGCUCACGGAAAAUAUUCAUGAGGGAAUGCUCUUUGACCACACUAACAGUUUGCGGAUCAGGACUCUGAGUAAAGUGGAGUAGGAGGCCAAGAAGCCCUUCCUCCAAGCAUGAGGAGGAUCGAGUAGUUCUCCAAUUGGUGCUUCGGAGACGAUCUUUGAGAGUAACAACUGUCCAUCCCACAAAACUAGAACCUAGGACUGUUUUUACUUCAUCUUCUGAGAGAGGAAGGUUAGCCAGUAUGCAUGCAGCAUCGGAUCUUUCACCAUCUGUGGAUUGGUUGUCAAGUAGUUUCUCUUUAAAUAAGGGAAGCUUGUCAGCAGGUUUCAGUUCAUUAGCUAAAUCUUCGCCAAACGUUCCAGAGAGUAUCCUUGUAAGCCUGAAAGCAUAAAUUCUAUGUUCAACUUCUGGGUGCUCUAGAAAUGGUAUAAUGGUUUUGAUGCCAUCCCCAGACUUUAUAUGGGUAACUACUGACUCUGCAAAAAAAAAAAGGGAUGAAGAAAAUGAUACCCAUCAAUCUUUGUUGUAUAGGUAUUUGUUUUAUGCAAAAAGAAGCAGUUAAUCCCAACUAUAUAUGUAGGAAUAAAUCAUGCCCAUAUCCAAGAGGUUGAGAACUCAUGAAGACAUUUCUGUUCAUGAUCUCAUUCUCCAUUUAAGCAAUUGGAGCUGAGAAAAGAAAACAGUGUGGACACCAUGACACCAUGACUUUGGUAAAUGUGUGUACAUAAUUCAACAUCAUGAAGAAUCCACCAUAAAAAACAAAUGUUGGCUCCAGCAUUCCCAUGCAUGAAGGCAUAUGACAGGGAUAAUAAAAAAAAGAAAUAAGCAUUCAGAAACUAGUGAUUUAGGAAACACCUGAAGCCUGGGGUGAAGAUGAAAUUCCAUAAAGGAUCCGGAGAACAGAUACUUGACAUUGAGGGGAAACAUGAGCUAGAAGCCCCAAAAGACGGAACACAGUUGUCUCUGACUGCAUUGAAUGUCCUUUGUUGUCAAUAGAUGAAUAUUCCCAGUGCCCUGGAUGCUGUACUAUGUUUGCAAUUAUUGAUGUAGCUAAUUCCUUCAGCUCUGAAUCAUCCAUAUUUUCGAAAAGAAUAUCUGUAAGAGCUGGAAUCACAGCAGAAUCAACAAGAAUGGUUGCAUUGUCAUCCAAGACUGACAAAUUACACAAUGCUUGCAAGCUUGGAGCUCUUCCUUUUGGCUUAGAUAACAGUUGAACAAGGGUUUUAGCACAUUUCCUUGCAAUUUGUUCCUUACUGCUAUUUGUCAGGGUCAUCCUCCCCAUAAUACGAGCCAUCUCUAUUUUAACAUCAUCGGUACCUGUUUUCAGAAAUAACCCAAUUCUAAUUAAUGUCAAGAUUGACAGAACCCAAUAAAAAUAAAUAGCCAACAGAAGUAAGAUGGAUCUCUAUAAAGUUUGUGUGUUUCCUUCUCAUUCAAAUGUGAUUCUUUUCUGAGAGGUCACUUUCAAUAAUGUUGGACCCUCUCUAAAGCAUUAACAACUAGGCAAACAUCAAUAACAACUAAAACAAUGAGUUUCUAUUAUUUACAGACUUCAUUGUGUAUCUUCUGGGUUAGGCAUUAUUUAUCUUCUAUUUAAGUGUUCUUAAAUUUGAUGUCUUUCUUUUCCCUGAUAGGAAAGCAAAUCUAUUAAAAGAGCACCAAAGAAAGGGUGCACAGCCUAUGCAUACAGGAAGUAUACUAAAAAAAAACAAAGAAAGAAAAACAAACAUGAAACAGCCAAGACAGCCAGAAAACCACCGCUACCCACAACAAAGACUAUCUAGGAAAUCAAUCAUUGACAAGAUUCCCAAAUCUAGCAAGGUGUUUGUCCAUUCCAAGAGGACCAUAAUGAGGAAGUUUUAACUUCAGCUAAGAAAUAAUAAAAUCCCUGAGGAUGAGAUUUCUCCUUUAGUACUCUUCAUAACAUAGAUUAUGGGAUCAAGGUUUUUUUCUAAAAAAAAAAUAUAUAUUUUUGCUGCAAUUAUUAAGUCGAUAACCGAGAGAUAAUAGAAAUAUCCAAUAAUAACCCCAGUAAAGUGUUUUAGCUUCAAGGAUGGUUAACUAAUUCUCACAGAAAAAAAUUGCUUCUAAUUUUUGCUCACAAUUGUGUGGUCUCUUCAAGAACUUUUUUCAUCAGUCCACUUACCAUUAAAAGAAAAAAAGAAAAAAGAAAAAUGGAAGACAAGCACAAGACAUACAACCAGCUUAUGCAGUAGCAUGACUACCCACAUGUAAAGAGCUGUGAUAAAUAGCUGUUAGGGUCCAAAAUUCAAAUGGUUGGGUGGAAUCACAAGUGACUAAGAUAUUAAGAACAACUACCAAUCACUUAACACAAAAUAAUUUUCUUCCAACUGAUCUAAACUCCCUUCCAAGGGAUGUGAAAAUAAGGUGUUGGUAAUUAAUGACUGAAUGCUCACCAUUUUGUCUAGGAAGUAAGGAAACACAAUAGUUCAUAUCACUAGGAAAAGAAGAGUCAGAAAACUGUUGGAGAGUGUAGCAUCACUCCUAUUUAAUAUUACACCUAAUACACGGUCAGAUACAGCAUAAAACAUACCUUCACAUAACCGGCUAAGUAAGGGUUCAAAUCUUCCAGCUGCUGCCAAAUGCUGAACAUUAUCCUCCACCCUCUCCAUCUGUUUUAGCACCUCUUCAGCUAGAUUAGAUAAGGCAGGAUGCUCCAGAUUUCCUGCCAUGCUCGAAAGAAGAACUAGUGCCCCUUUUUCUGAUGCAAUUUUUGUGCAGUAAGCUUCAUCCCUCGAGAACUCUAGCAAUAACUUCACAGCAUACUCUUUCUCUUUCUCUGAACUCCCAAUAAGACUAUGUAUUGCCAAUCUAGUGAUACCCUCUCCAAGCAUUAUGUUCUAACAAUAUAUGACACACUUCAUCAGAAUGUCAAACAGUAUGAUAUCAAACAACCAGAUAAGAUUUGCGGAGAGAGCACUUAUUUAGAUGCAUCGUCAAAAGGUAUGUAGUUUUCCAGCUAAAAAAUUCACCAAAAUGAAAUCUUUUGGCUAUAGUUAGAGAUGAAGUGAGUUCAAAGGAAUAAAUAAAUCCUUGGGAUCAAUUGUAAUGAUAUAUCAGCUCAUAAAGUUGGUUUACAUUGUAGAUCAUCCUCUAUAACUGCUUAGAAUGUCCUAAAGCUGUUAGAUGAUUAACUUUCAAAGAUUCAAAUUGCAAACACUAAGAAAUGAAGUUGUUUAUUACCAAAAGGGAGUCAAGCCACCUUAUGACAUUGAAGUUAAUUUAUCAAAAAGUAGACAGACUUAUAAACAAGGUUUCCAAGAUACAGGGACAAAUCCAACCUCUACUAUUUUAUUUUUCACAUUUUGAAGUCACAUCAAAAUAUAUUCGGAAAGAAGCUCAGUUUUUUUAUUUGCAUUCUUUGCCUUUCAUCUAGUAACUUUAGUCCUUAAAGAUUGUAGUUUUUGCAACAAAAUUGGUGUCUUGUUAUAUCUUUCAAACAUUUCCCAAAUUUUCAACAGAAACCUCAAUGUUUUCCUUUAUGUUAUCUAAAAUCUUUCCCUAGAACAACAAAAUACCCCUACAUCAAAUUUUCUAGUAAUGCAGCCCAUUUGAAACUAGUGCUGUCUAUCUUAUAAAAGUGUCAUUUGAAACCACAUAACAACAAAUAACUGAAGAAGCUAAUUGUUAGAACUUUGGACAUCUAUCCAAGGAGAGAUUUAAUGAAACUCACCUUGCUUUCUUCAUCCUUGGCCAUGCUAAGCAAAGUCAUAAGAGCUUUGCCUCUCAUAUGUGUUCCCAUGCUCUUCGAACAGUUUCUAAGAACUUUAACCAUAAGAAGAACAACACCUGCAUGUCUCACUCUGUAUCUAUUAGAUGGGUGCUCUUCUGAUAUCUUAUAAAUGACAUCCAAAACCCAUUCAACAGAAUCCACUGGGGGUUGAUUCUCAGAAAGACACUGCACUGCUGACUUAAGUUGAAUUUCAAUAUUCCUACUAACCCACUCUUCAAUUGCGCCAGCCAAUCCGAUGUUUGGUUUCAUCUCCGUAGACUUGAGCACCUGCCCCGUAACAGGACAAGUUGGAUCCCGACCAUCCUCUAUACAUCGUCGGAACCAGUACUCAAUUGCAGUCCGCUCAUAAUUCUGAGAUGAUUCCAACACCACCGGAUCCUUCAUCACUUCCUUUGUCAAUGGGCAUAGAAAAUUCUUAAAGGGCGACAUUUGGGCAUCCUCUUCAAAAUCAAAAUCCAAGUUCCACUCUGAAGUGGCUGGAUGAACAGUCCAGUUAUCCAUAAUUCUCUCCAGGGACAUCAAAACCCGCCUUUCUGCAAGUGGAUUCGAGCUCGCCAAGUCCGUCUUCAGGAGCUUGACCUGCUCCGACAACUUUGCAUGAUCAUCUGCCUCGAUCCCGAGAGCUCGAGCUAAAUCCAUGACAAUGGCACUUUGCACUGCUUUGCUGGUCGGCCUGCCUUGUCCCUCCUUCUGCAGUGUACAGUGCACUCUCUCUUCGUUCUCCGAAACCUAAUUCACUAUGAAGAAUUAAACAAAAAUCUACAUAUAGCACAUAUUUAAAUUCCAACAGGAUACACAAGGAAUGAUAGAGAUUUUGAGAAGAGCUUACUCUGAACUGCGCUUGUUUCAUAUCCUGGGAGAGAUCGGCGACCUUCUUGCGAAGAUCUGAACCCUCCGGCAGAGUCGACUCCAGCAGAGCCAACCAUCCUCCGAUUGCUACGGUGUGCUCCUGAAGGGACGCGCACAGAGACUGACAGUUGAUGAGGACGAAGAUUUUGCUUCUGUUCCUAUACACUGACACCGCCUCAACCGCCUUCGACAGAUCACCAGAAACCCCUCUCAAGGUAGUUUGUACGGACGGAGACAAAGCCUCCGGCGACGACGAUCGCAGGAACUGGUUCAGAACAAGCUGGAGGCGAUUGGCGUAGGCAGAGAAGCGCCUAGGGUUCUCCCAAGCGAAGUUAUCGUCGGAAAGGCAGAGUUCCGAUAAGGAGCGAAGAAUGGAUUCCAACGCCGGCGCCGUCAUUUCACGGCGAGAAGAGGAAGAAUCUGGCCAAGACAAGGCAUGUAUGUAAGAUUCUGCAGUAAAAACCGUGCCGAUCCUCACCUCGUUGCCGGCUUAUAUACGCAAUGGUGUUCAACAGUUGAAGCCCACCUAGGAGGAGGAGGAGGAGAAGAAACAGUCAAACAUUGACCCAGUGCAGACCCGCCAGAUCCCACUCUCAAAUCCGGGUCGGACAAGGAUUUUCUCUGUUCCUGGACCUAACUACAAGUCUACAAGUCGAUGCGUGCAAAAGUCAAUUGCAAACGUGGCAGCAAAUUAGUAACCGUGGUGGAUCCCACACUCUGUCCUCUCAAUGUUCAGCUUCGCCGCUCCCGUACGCCUCUCUUUCCGCCCCGUCCGGAGUCCUUAUCUUUCCUGGAGACGACCGGCAGCAUCGGCGGCUGAGUCUAACAUUAAUUAAGUCUUUUUAAAGAAUAUACUUUUUAUCUUUUAUUUUUAAAUAAAAAACUUUAAUAUAAACCUAUAAAAUCUAAUCUAAAUAAUAAAUUUAUCCUAAACAAGGAGCUUUAAGAGCUUUCAAGCAUGAUGAGAGCUACAACAAAUGAAAAUGGAGCAAUGCUAGCAUGAGAGAUGAAAAAUGAAUAUCAUGGAGAGAUAUGUAGAGCAAGUAAAAACGAGGAAGAAGAUUGGAUGUCAUAGCUCAAAGUUCAAUAUGGGAAUUGAUAUGAUUUUUGACGUACUUCCCAAGGUUAAUUUUGAGCAAAUUAUAUAUCAUUUCAAAGAUCAAAAAGUUAGAAAGAGUCAAAAGUUCAACGUUUUAAACAAUAUGCAAAUCAAAGUUGAAAUGAAGAAGUUAUAAUCAUUUGAAGAUAACUUGGUAGAAUUAAAAAGUCAUUUUCGAAUUUGAAACGAUGAUUUUGAAAAUUUAACUUAUGAUUUCAAAUCCAUCUCGAAAUUACCAUAAUUUCAAGAUCACCCACUAUCACUUUGAGUUUUUACUUUCAUCACCUCGAGAAUUAUGUCUUAGGCACUUCAUUAGCCCUAAGAGGGCCUCACAUUACUAGAAAUCAAGAUUUCAGUAUUCUUUUGUUAUUUUUAAGUAAUUAUUUAGGAAACAAGUGACUAAUAAGAACAUGUUACAUGCUAGUUUUUUUAUAUUUCCUAUAAAAACUCCAAUUUUAGCUCCUAAAAAAAAAAUCUUCGAUUAAUUCUUUACUUGAAACCUAAAAUUGGAGUUUUUAUAGGAAAUAUAAAAAAACUAGCAUGUAACAUGUUCCUAUUGACCACUUAUUUCCUAAAUAAUUACCUAAAAAUAACAAAAGAAUACCAAAAUAUUGAUUUCUAGUAAUAUGGGGCUCUCUUAGGGUUAAUGGAGUGCCUAAGACAUAAUUCUCGAGGUGAUGAAAGUAAAAACUCAAAGUGAUAGUGGUUGAUCUUGAAAUUAUGGUAAUUUCGAUAUGGAUUUGAAAUCAUAAGUUAAAUUUUCAAAAUCACCAUUUCAAUUUCAAAAAUGGUUUUUUAAUUCUACCAAGUUGUCUUCAAAUGACCAUAACUUCUUCAUUUCAACUUCGAUUUGCAUAUUGUUUAAAACGUUGAACUUUUGACUCUUUCUAACUUUUUGAUCUUUGAAAUGAUAUAUAAUUUGCUCAAAAUUAACCUUGGGAAGUAUGUCAAAAAUCAUGUCAAUUCCCAUAUUGAACUUUGAGCUAUGGCAUCCAAUCUUCUUCCUCGUUUUUACUUGCUCUACAUAUCUCUCCAUGAUAUUCAUUUUUCAUCUCUCAUGCUAGCAUUGCUCCAUUUUCAUUUGUUGUAGCUCUCAUCAUGCUUGAAAGCUCUUAAAGCUCCUUGUAUGCAUAUUAAGUCCUGUUUGUUCUAAAGCUCUUAAAGCUAAAAAACUGUUUUUUUCUUUUUCUUUUUUUUUUUAUAACUUAAAAACAGUUUUUAGAAACAAGCAUGUUCAGAGUUAAAUUUCAUCCUGUUUGUUCAUUUGAAACUGCAGAAAAUCAUGAGAUACCAUACUCCAAAACAAUGUGAGGAAGAAACCCAUGACACCCUCUCACACAGAAAUCUUAUGAACUUAUCCCUCGUACUAAAUUCAAAACAAGAACACAGCUACAUGCUUCACAACAACUAUCAUCAUUGCUUUAAUUCAAGAAGAUCAGAUAUACUAUUAAAAUGAAAUGGUUCAAAUGUAUCACAAUUGAUGUGCUUAAGACUAACCAAUACCUAAGAAUAUAACCCCAGUCAAUAAUAGGCAGAAAAAGACCAUGGGUACUUGGGGGAAAAAAUUGAGGGAGAUAAAAAAAAAAAAAAACAAUAAAUACAUAUCUUUUGUACUCAGCAACCUUCAUUAUUCAAAUAUGUUCUGUUCUUCUCUGCUCUGCUUGAUGGAGCCGGAAGAAAAGCAUGGAAGCAUGCUGAGCUGCGCCUCUAACAUCAUCAGGAAACAUUGCUUCACUGCUAAUUGAGCCAAAAAAACUGAUUCCUGGAAGCCAUGAUGGAAAUCUGAAUUAGGGGGAGCCAAAUUACAUUUAUUGUAACAGCCAUUUUCGAAGAGGUGGGAAAGAAGAGAAGGAAAACCACGUUUGGGUUGGAGUCUUAAGCAUAAAAGGGUACCUUCCUAGAACUCUAUAUUCGGCUUAUAUCACGACCAAACACAAAAGUUGUUGCCCAGUUGAUUGCAACAUAUAACCGGUUCCUCCAGCUUAAAACGCGCGUGAGAUAUGCUGAUCGCCAAAUAAUCCAACUUGUAAAUCCUGCCAGAGAUAAACCUUUGCCCUCCUGUGGAAGAAUUUCCAUCAGUAAGCACCUGAUUUAAUUGUUAAUCACAGUUCAAGGAAAAAUUGCUUUGAAGGAGUCCGAAUUUCAACCUUGCCCUGCCUAAGGUCCACAAGAGCCUUGUAUCUGCCAAGGGAUGCCAUGCUUCCCAAAUGCUUAUAAACAAAGGGCUCUCCAAAUUCCAUGUCUCUUGCUCUGUUUGCAUACCCUCCACCAGCUUUGCCAAUCCUGUUCAAUUGUUCUGCUAGAUACUUCCCUUGCCUCUCUGCAACCUGUUUCAAAUAUUCCAGAGAGGUAGACUAAAAAUUAUGGAAUUACUAUAAAUAGAAAAUUUUCACAUUAUUGCCAUAAAAAAAAAUUUAAAAUAAAACAAAAUAAAAGAUCCAGCCAAAUCAACAAUAGUUCCAUGAAUUAUAUUUCAGAUUUCUCAUAGUCAGAAGAAUUCUUUUGCCCUUAUCGCAGAGUAAAGAAGAAUUUUUUCCUCUCUUGCAAUGUGACUUCUUUCAAGAAGUAUGCAAUAUCCAAUUCAUGUAUUUCCAAAUUUUUUGAAUUGUGAAAAAGGGUACACAAAGGGGAAUUAGAUUAUACACAAUAGCAACAAUGGCAUGAAUUAAUUGAGAGAAGAAACAACAGUAGUUUGUGUUUUUCUUUUGCCUAGCAGAGCAACUAAUCACUUGGUUCAAAUGCUCCCUUGGGCAAUUCAAGGGGGUAACAACUAGAGCGUGUGUGUGUGUGUACAGGGUCAUGUGGCAACUUGCACCUGCAAACCCUUGCUUGAGAAUGCAAAUUUGUUCAACACAUAGAAAACCCGAAAAAGCAGAAUUUGCUCGCUACUUACCUGUGCCAGAGCUGGAAGAACUGGUUUGCCGGUACUUUCAAGGAACCCACUGCAGUCACCUAUUGCAAAAAUGUCCUGUGCAGAAGGAACGCGUAGCCACUCAUCGAUGCCAAUCCUGUGAACAAAUGGUAAUCAUUGGAUGAAGAUUAAAAAAAAUGGUAAAACACAAGUACAUAUUUGUAAAGGAAAGGACAGAGGAGUCUAGGAACAAGAUGGUCAAAAGUUAAGGAGGAAAUGCAAUACAGGAGAACAGCAACAAAUUAGAUGGAAUACCAAAAGAAAACUAUACUGAGAAACUCAAGAUGGAGAGGUGGCAGUAGAAGAGCACAUAGGAAACCUAAACUCAAAGAGAUUUUACCCAUAGAAAAAACCGGCUUCUUGGAUGCAUGGAUGAAAACUGAGGAAAAAAUGUCCUUUGAGGGGAAACAGAGAAUAAGGGAGUUACCUUCCACCAGGAGAUUUUGGGACCUCCAUAGACUUCACAAAAGAUGAGGGACCAACACCUGUAGACCAUACCAACAGCCCAUAUGGAACCUCCGUGCCAUUAUUUAGAAUUAUUUUGUCAACUUUAACAUCUUUAACAAUCCCACGAACAAGACGAACUCCUGACUGAGAGAAACCAUCAAAAUGAAAAAUGGAAAAUCCAAAACUAAAAAGAAAAUUAAGAUAAAUCAGAAAGAAUCAAUGGAGCCUGGUAAAUAAAUAAAGAAGCUAAAAUAUUUCAACAUAAACACUUCCAUAAAGAACUAAAACAAGUUCCACAAAAAAAGUCAAUCAAAAAUCCUAUAAAUAAUUCAAAUCAAGAAAGAGAAGUUUUUGUUUCAAACAUGGUAAUUGUGGAACAGCAUGCAAGCAGCAACUAACAAAAACGCUAAGCUAUAUCUUUGAUUAGAUGAACGUAUCUUCCAUGUAGUUUCCAAAUAAGCUAUAUCUUUUAAUGCAAAAAUACAUUAAAAUUCUUUGUAUUAACGGAGUAUCUUGAUACUCACCUUAGUCAACUGCCUAGUAGCAUAGUGCCGAAGGCGAUCAUCAAAGGAAGACAAUAUCUCGUUUGCCUGUAAAGAUAAGAGAACUUAAUUAAUUAAACAUUUCCACUAGACUUUUUGCAAAUCUGACAUAAGUAUUUGUUUCAAACUUUUGCCAUCCAAGGAGCAUAGUGAAUCUAGUGAAAGGCAAUCACUGAGUCAGAAAGUUGAAAACAAUAAAGCCAGAGUCUGGGUUUUUGACUUUUUGGAAACAAACCUCAAUCAAAGUAACAUGGAUGUAAUUUUUCACAUGGGCAUAUCUUUGAUGAACGUCCCUCGUGAUAAAAUCACUAAGUUCACCACUGAACUCAACACCUGUUGGACCACCUCCCACAACAACACAGUGUAGGAGCCUCUGCUUCUCUGCUUCCGAAAUUCCUGCCCCAUCAACAAACCCAAAGAUCAAGUUCACAGAGAGCUCAUGCCUCAUAGCAUAUUAACUGGUUCACACCCAUAAAUGCCUUGUUAUCAGUAGCAUACCAGGCACAUCAGACAGCAUCAAGUUUAGGAGCAGCUUCCUCCUAAUUUCCUGAGCAUGAUGGACUUCACGAAGAAAAAAGGCAUGUUCUUCCACACCAUGAAUUCCAAAUGUUAAGGGCAUUGAACCCGAAGCAAUAAUCAACUUAUCAUAUGAGAUCUCAAAGUCCCAUGGCUCCCGGACAUUUGCUCCAUUAGUUAGAGUCUGGCAGUGUACCUUCAUCAAUACCCAAUACCAAUUAAGCCUUUACACUCAAAAUCAACAUGGCAUCCUAAAAUGUAUGACAACUGAAUCUGAGAACUGGAAGUUGGAAUAAAAGUUACAAAUAUGAACCACUCCAAGAGGUGUUCUCUCUAUCAGAUUUGACCCAGAGAAUCAUUAUCAGAUCUUCACAUAACCCCAAAAUUUUAUAAAAAUACUUAUAAAUCAUUAAGCUAAAAAUGCAUUAUAUAGUAAAUCACAAUAUGGAAUGCAAAAAUAGGAAUCAAUCACGGAUUCACACACAUUUCCCUUCUAUUGUAUUCAACAAAUAACCCCAAUGCUUUCCAAUCAAUGCUCCACCCAAAACACAAAAUCAAAAGCCCAACUAGCAAAAGUUCAACCAGCAUACCACAUGGUUAUCGGGAUCAACCCGAUUACAAUUAGCAAGAAAGAAGUAGGACCCAGUUUCCCUUGAAAUCACCGGCUGGAUCCGCGCAAUGGGUUCAGCCACGGACCGGAACUCAAGAGUCCCAACACAAGUAGAAGCCAAGAGAGGAGUGAAGACCAUGUGGUUCCUUGGCGACACGCACACCACAUCAUAGAUGUUGGUGUCCAAGCCCUUCAUGGCCCUGCACCCAGCCCACCCAGACCCCAACACCACCACCCUCGGCUUCUCUUUCGACGAGGUGGGUCCGAGCCCAGAGCUCGGCACAUGGCGGGUGGGCUCCGAAUUUGGCUGAGAACUAAACUGCAAGAUGGAGACGAAUUGGGUGUUUGGAAAUGGGGUUGUGGCGCUUCUGGAUCGGAGUGAAGAUUUCAGAGAUGAUAAUUGGACGAGAUUUCUGAACCAGGCCAUGGUCGUUCACUCGUUCCUAGAGGCUAGAGGUUCCUGCUCAUGCAUCACCCAUGAUGGUGGUGAGAUUUGUAGGGAUUUUUGACUCGGAGGCGAGUCAGCUUCGCUAUCAGCGGUCUGGCAGGCUGAGACGGUUACAGGUGGCGGCGGGAGGAAAGGAUCAAUUGUGGAUAUUAAAAUAUAGUACAUAUAUUAUUUAGGAAAAUAUAUAAAAACUAAUUUAGGGAAGAAACUGGUUUUCUUCUAUUUUUAUUAUUUCCUUUAUCAUUUUUACCCUUUUCCAUUUUGAACAAACAUAUUUAAUUAAAAAUAUAUUCUAAUUUUCUAUAUAUUAAGAAGAUAAUUUAAUUAAAAAAUACUUCCAGAAAACAAAUGAGAAAAAAAAAUAUUAAUAUCAAAAUUUUAUAAUAAUAUAAAUUUGUGAAGAUAAUAUUUUAUUCAACCAAAUUAUUUUCUCAUGUAAGAAAUUUUUUUAAUAAUUUCUAUCUUGAAAGAAUUUUAUAAAAUUAAUUUCUUUAUAAAUAAAAUAUUUUUAUUUUUAUUUUGUUUAAAAAAUGUGAAUGGUAUCGGUAAUAAAAGUAAUCAAGAUAUAAGAAAAUGACACUCAGGUUAUAUUAUUUUGGGAGUACUUUUAAUGCUUAUUUGGUACAUGAGAAUAAAAAAUAAGAAUAAAUAUUAUAUUUUCAUUCUAUUCCCAAGAAUGAAUUUUAUAAUUUUAAUUGUGUUUGAAUGCACAUAAGAAUAUAAACUUGGGACGAUAAUUUGUUUUUAUUUUAAUGUAAAGUAAAAAUAUGGAUGAAAAUAGAAAAAAUAAAUAAGUUGUCUAUAAUAUUCCUACAUAUGAUUUAAAAUAAUUUUAAAAAUAAAUCAAUAAAAUGCCAAUAAUAUCCAUGUUUUAAAAAAAUCAAAUAAAAAAUAAAAACAUAUUUGGACAUGUGAUUUAAAAACAAAAUUGUUUUUAAAAAUUUAUACCACUAUUUAGUUAUUAUUCUUUUGAAACAAGUUUUAAAAACAAAGUAAAAAUAGAGAACUAUUCUUCCAAUUUUUAUUUUUUUCAUUAGAGAUAUAAAUUUUAAAUUAAGUGACACUUUGAAUUAAAUUUAUUAAUAAGUUUAAUAGUUCUAAAAAAUAAUUUAAAACUCAAGAAAUAUAUAUAAUAAUUAUAAAAAAUAAUAGACAUAAUUCAUAUUUUAAAUUCUUUAGUAAAUCUUGUAAUUUUUAAGAAUAAUUUGAAAUUCAAUAAACAGAUUAAUUAAUUAUAAAUAAAAUAAAAUAAUUCACAAAGUCAUUUUCAUAAUUCUAUAAUAAAUGUAUACAUAUAGUGAAAAAUGUAGGAAAAGUGGCUAACAAUAGGUGAUAAAGUGAGACCUGAUAUAAAUUUCCUUAUUUGGGAGUGAAAUUAAACAAAUGAGGAGCGCAACUAGGAGGCAUGAGAGUAUAAUGGAAUCAUAUGGGAGCAAAAUCAUAGAAAAUGUUCAAAAUUCAUAUUUAUUUGCUUCCAACAACACAUAUAUUUCCAAAUUGAUAAAUUAAUCAUAGGAUUAAAUUUAAGGUCAAGGUGAACUUAAAAACAUCUUACUUUUUAAAACAUUCAACCUAAAGUACAACCAAAAGGGACCUAAUCCUUAUUUGGGAGCGAAAUUGAAUAAAUUGAGAGUGCAUCUAGAAGACAUGGAGCUAAAUGGGACCACAUGAGAGCAAAAAAGAAAUGUUUCAAAAUUCACAUUUUUUAGAUUUCAGCAACACUUAUAUGUGUCAAAAUGAAUAAUCAUAUAAUUAACUUUCAACUCAAAAAUGAGUCAAAAGCACUCAUGUUUUAAGAACAAUCAAUACAAGCACAAAGAUAUAAGACAAGAUCUAAGGAAGUGGGGUUCGAGUAAUAACCCAAUGGAAGCCAGGUACAAACUCAUUGGUACUAUCCAAUGGACUGAAAAACAUUUUAUUUUUUAAAAACAUUUAGAGUAUAGUGUCACGACCUGCUCCAAAAAGCCUAACUUCGUGACACUAGGGUUAUUACUUAUGCUCCAAAAAGCAUAAGUAAUCUCAAAUAUGGAUUACUUAUGAAGUAUUUGACAGCAACCAGUCAGAAUAAGGGAGCCAUGAAGGAGGCCUCAACCUUGGGUCAGGCCCAAUUAUUUCAAGGCCCAAACCCACUUUCCUAUUCUCCUCCUCCCUCCGUCCCAUCCUAUACUUUCGUUGGCACUUUUUGUUGAGCCAUUUGUAUGUAUCCCCCUCCUAAGGAUUUUUGAUUGAAGAGUGGAUUAAAUGAAAACAGUUUUUUAACGGUUAUAUUUUCAAAAUGAAAGAAAAAGCAGAAACAUUUUGGCAAGUGAUGAGUAAAUAAAAGGAAAUAUGAAUAAACGAAGGUGGGAAUGAAAGGAAAUUGGUGUGGUUUGGAGGAUCACAUCCACGUAGUUUUCCCAUUGAUUCGCUUUACAAAGUUUCCCUUAUUAUCAAAGGAUUCAAACUCUGAAACCACAUACUCAGAUCAUACUGCAUACAUAUAGAUGUAGAUCAUUUAAUUCAAGGCGCGCUGCUGUCUCGGCCUUUCCACCCCCCGCCGCCGAUUCUGUUCCGCGGAUCAUGCCCUUUGUUCGCCGACGGAUCACUGUAAUCGUCCGUGCUCACCGCCUUCAGCCUCCUCCCCACGGCGCCCGCCGCCUCCUCAUCUACUGUCAUAUCAGUUUCCGAUGUUAUUGUCUUAUUGAUAACCGCCAUCAUUUUAUUUUCAUCAGAGGAAGAUUAUAAAAGAAGGGGGGGGGGGGGGGGAAAUGUAUACCUGGGAAAAUGAGAGUAUUCCGGGCAGUGCAGAUGAGGAAAGAAGCGAAGAAGACACACCACCAGAGACGAUUUCCGAAUCCCAUCGCUCUCUCUCUCUCUCUCUCUCUUUCUCAGUGUCUCGUGGGCUGUGUGAGUAAAGAGUAUUGAGUUGUGGGACAAGAGAUAGCCCUGUGAAUUUAUAGGCGACGAUAUCUGCAGUAACAACGCGUGGCGAGGGGUCAUUGGAAGAUGAACGAUCGUGGGUGACACGUUCGAUGCAUGAAGGACCCUUCUUCUGGCUUCAUAUCAGCCGUUCAUUUGUGGUCAAUAGGGUUGCUGUCGCUUGCUUUACUCGAAAAGGAAACAGCUUACCCGUAAUCAUUUGCCACUGAACUCUAAGUCAAAGCCCUAAAUUACAUUUGUUUAAAGGUAAAAUGUAGGGACUAUCAUACCAAAAAGUGCAGAAGGGUUCACAAGUCACAACGGACGGCUUCGGUUUGCGUAGCCCGAUCGCUUCCGACUCCCGUUCCGUUCAAUCUAUGAAAACCUAUUUCCAUUUUCCACAAAUUAAAAAUUAAAAUAACGUGGAACCGAUGUCAGAAAUUUUCAAACCCUUUUGGCAUGUUUGAUAGCUGUUUUUAAAAAUGGCUCUGAAAACAGUUUUUGAGAAUAGAGUUUAUAUAUUUUUUUUAAAAUUAUUUUUGGAAACUAAAUUCUGUAAAAUAAUUUUUGUUUUAAAAAAAAAAUAUGUACAUAUUUGAAAGUUAUUUUUUUAAUUAAUAAAUUUUUUUUUAUUAACUUGAUAUUAUAAAUAUAUAAAUAAUUUUCAUACGCAUAAUUCAUUUAAAUUGAAAAAAAUUAUUCUAUUUUAAAAUUUUAAUACCAAUUAUAAUUUUCUUAAAUAAAAAAUGAUUUUAUAGUCAUGAGUAAGUAUAUUAAUUUUAAUAAUUUAAGAAAAAAGAAAAGAUUUACUGGUGGGGUGUGGUAGUUCGAUGGAACUCACCACCUUUGUGGAGAUAUAAAAACGUAGUUAGGAAAAAAAACAUGAAAAAUAAUUUAUGCUUUGAACAGUGGAAAAAAUAAUAAAAACAUAUUUUUAGUGUUUUCAAAAAAAUGAUUUUUGAGAAUAUAGAAAACAAAAAUACACCCUCUUCCCCAAAUAAGUUUUUUGUGGUUUUUAUUGUUAAGAACAAAAAACAAUUAUUGAAAACAUGAAACAAAUAAACCCUUUAUUUUUAUUUUUAUUUUGUUAUAAAGUUUUGAUAUUAUUAUUAAAAAUAAAUAGAUUUUAUAAAUAAGUAAAUAUUAUAAUUUUUUAUUAUUUUAUAUGAUGAAAAAAUAAACUAAAUUAUUUUUUAAUUUUUAUACAAUCCAAAAAAUGUGAAGAUGAAGACAAAUUAGCACUCAGAAAAUCUCAAACCCGUUACUAAUUCGGAUGUUUCAUCUUAAAAUGGUCUUCGAGUGUAGUCUGAGUAUGUAGUCAUUGUUGCUUGCAUAAGGCCGUUUUAAGACGUGUAGCGAGUCCAUAUUAUGAUCACGUGAAAAGGGAUUUUGGAUGGGACUUAAUGGCACAGUCAGGCAUUAUGUAGGUAGUGUGGUGGAACUCGUUUUCAAUUGGACUUUUAUGGCAACAGCAGGACGAGAUGAAUAAGCAAAACGAAAGAGUCGGGAUUAGGAAAAAGAUUGACUUCGUCCUACUCGCCAUUGGUUCAAGGGAAAAAGUGUUACCUAGUUUUUCCACUCUACCAAUAAAAAAAACCACCUUUUUUAUUCAGCAAUAGGGAUUGAAAUGUGAGCCACCUCGUUUUCAAUUCUAUGAAAUAUUUGCUUACAAUCAAAAUCACUUUUGAUAUAAAUCGUUUUGAAUUAAUCUAAAAAAUCCUUAGUAGUGAUGAUUUUGAGAGAAUUAGAACUACUUUUCUUACCAAAAAUAAAAAUGUUAUUUUAAAAAUAUCAUUAUUUUACAAACAAAUAAUGCUACAAACUAAGCAGGGACAUACAAAAUGGGCUACAUAUCCGAGUUGAAUAUAAUAUACAUAUGUAAAUAUGUGUGUGUUUUAUUUUUUUCAUUUUUAUAUUUAUUUUAAAAUAGGGAUUCAGUGCAUCAUAAUGGGACACCAGAAUGGAAGAAUGUGGGUGUACAGGAGUCAAACCCAUUAGUUGAGAUGGGGUGUGUGAGAUGAUGUCAACAUUUGGGAGGUUGGGUGCCAUAUGAGAGUCUACAACAUCAUCCCAAUAAUAUAUCAUCAAGUAUCAAGUAUAACCAUGCCAAAGCGUACAAGGUGUCUACCAAGCAUUGGCCCCGCUGAUAUUUGGACGCAAGGGAAAACACAACAAUUCCAAAACCAUUUUUCUUUUUGAUAGACAACAAAAUCAUGAAUUAAUAAACGCCAUAACCAACAAUUCGAGACUAUGCUAAACUCGAACUUGUUCUAAGAGUCAUCAUUUAACCGACUAAACUCGAACUUAUUCUAAGAGUCAUCAUUUAACCGACUUAGAUGACCCGUCAUCCAAACUUACCGAGCAACAUUCUUACAUUCCAACUAUGGAACCCCGAUGUGAGGCUCCAAUGACUUCAAUCAUUCAACUUAAAAACAACAUUAUUACACUAUAAAAAUCCUUUCCCCAAUAUAACCUAUAAUAACAAUUUUUAGAUAAGGUUUUAACCAUCACGUCCAAAAACCAAUCAAUAUCCAAUGAGGAUAAACUAAACCUUUUAUAGCGCAUUUAACAUCACACUAAGAAAGAUCAUUUAAAUGACUCAUGACAUUACUCUUAAUACUACGAGGUCUACCAACUAAGAAGACAAAGUGUCAAGACAACUCAAAAGCCUGGCUAUAAAAGAAUCAAAGGAAGAAUCAUCUCGAAUUGCUGCAAAAACCUGUAAUUGAUGAACACCAAGAAAUCUAGAAUUUGAUUUUUGCAAUAUUAGAAAAAGCAUGAUGAGCCAUCAAGAUAGUCUAAGUUCAUUGUCAAAUCCACCAAAAAAGUGCCUAAAUAUACAGCAAGAUCUAACUAAAAUGAUCAUGAUUAGGUUAAGAGUCAAGUCAUAACUCCAUCCACAAUCUGAUAGUUACUUUGUACGUGUCCUGCAAAAAUAAGGCAAUUGCAAAGUGAUUCUAAAAAUACAAUCACCAAUUAUUAAAGGGAGACUUUUUGGAUGCUAUUGGUGCAAUUUUCUUGCCCCCAACAGAGUUCACCUCAUCACAAUAGAAAAUGACAUCGCAACUAAAGCUUAUCCCUAAAGACCCCAUCACCCCACAAUGGGUGAAUAAUUUUACAAGCACUUCUUAGAGAUCAGUCACUAAUGGGUAAUGGCACACUAACAAAAUGAAGCACCAUUACCAAAGGGAGAUGGAUAAAAGAAAAACUAAACAGCACCACUAAGGGAGCUCUCACUUUCUAUAAAUUCAAAAGACCACAUGGAAAAUCUCUUGUCAACAUAACUCAAAUCUACAAAUGCUUUCAAUCAGCAAAAGAAAAAUCACAGAGAGAUUAAACUACAAGACUUCCAGAUUAAAAUAAUAUUCCCAACUACUUAAAAAAGUGUUGAAAAAACCAAUCUCCGCAUACUGAGUCAAUACAAUGGAAAGGGUUGAUCAUGAGCCCGCAUAAGAAACCUAAUUAUGAAUGAGAGAGAAAAUCUCUACAGUAAAAAAUUGAAAUCUGGAGUGUAGGAAACCAAGAUUUAGUAAAAAUAGAGUAGGUAAGAGAAAAACUACAGAAUCCACACUUAUAGUUCAAUCAAUUCAUUAUAGGCCAUGAUUGAUAGGGUUUACGAUGAUUAGUACCCUCCAGCUACAAUUCUCAGAAACUGGCAAAGUCCUACGAAUACAAAAUGAAGCCCCAAAACUUUGUUUCAACACCUUAAAAUGCAUCAUCUCAGUCUAUAGAAUAUGAGGGCACAGAGAGAACACGUAGCAAGAAAAUUACCCAAUGUCAAUCUCAUCGUUUCUUAAAACCAUAUUUCUUCCGUUCGUAGAACAGGUCUGUUUUGGCACUCCCUAAAUUGACAAUUUUCGGACACCCAUCCCUAUCCUUCUCUUGUUGUGUACACUCUUUGCAGUAGUAGGCAUCUGAGAUUCCAACUCCUCCACAGAUGACACAUCGACCCUGAAAGGAUCCAUAGUUGCAUUCAUCGCAAACUCGCACAAGUGUGCAAGGACGCACAUAGGAAUCACAGAUCACACACUUCCCAUCACACUUUUCACAAAGCCGUCCAAUUGCAAUUCCUGGCUGCUUUCGGCACAUAAUCAAAUCGGGAUGAUGCUUGGCCAUGCUUUCUACAACAAGCUCUCAGCCCUUGAAUGUCCCUGUGACCUGCAGGUACACACUCCACAGUGUUAGAACUUAGAACGUAUUGAUUCCCAAACAUUUUAUCUGAAUUGGGAUGAUAGAUCAGGAAGAUGACAAACAUCAAAACGAAAGUCAAUAGUCAGAUAAACAUAAUUAAUUAUAAAAAAAAAAGUAAUUUUCUCUUUACUCCUUUUUAGGGGCAUGCACACAGAUAAAGAACCAACUUAAAAGCGAAAGAACAUAUUCAUGUUAGCAUCAGAAAACAUCCGGAAGCAGUAAUCGCUCGGAGCAGGAAACUAUGAAUGUAAUCAUCCAAUAAUAAAGCACACUUCAAUACCACCACCAUUUUUACUCCCCAUGUGGAUUUUCAACAAAAUAAAUUUUAGGAAAUGAAAACAAGAAGAUACCAUCAAAAAAGAGUUUGUUUUAAUCUUUCAAACUAAUUUCUUCACUAAUCCAAAGGUUUUCAAACUAAAAGAAUUCCCACCAUCACGCUUCUCUGUACCUGUCUGGUAAGGCUGAGGCAUAAACAUAAAAUGCAUAAAAAAAUUUGACUGCUAUUAAUGCAGUCUAAGAAAACCGGUAGCAGAGAAAGACAGUAUACUAUCAAAUCAAGAGAUUUCAAAAAAUUUGUCAAGAAUAAGGAACCCUAGCAACAGAUUCAUGACUAUGCUUCAACAAUUCAACUUAUAAUCACACAUGAAUCAAGCCAUCACCCAAUUUCAAGAACUGCAUACAAGACCCUCUUGUCAAUACAUGUCAAUUUUCAUUCAAAUUAACAGGUCACCUACCACACCAAGUCAAAAAUAAAAACAAAUGUAACAAUAUCCAAAAAAAUAAAUACCCUUGCUAUCUUUUCUCCUGUUUACCCCACCAUUUCAUGAGACAAACUCAAAGCUAGAUUCAUCAAUUCAAAAUCUACUCCUGAACCAAACUACAAGAAUUGUGUCAAAAGUUGAGCACCAUCCAUAGCUAGGAACCCAGUUUGGGAUUCUAGGCCAGAUAUCCACAAGUGACCUUUAAAUCGAUGGGAACAGAUACCCAGAAGUAGAACCAAUAUUUUCUUAUCAUCUAAAAUCCAAAAUCAAUGAGGAAAAAAGAGGAAAAGCAUUCGCAGGGUUUAGGGCGUGUAACAAUCAAGGAAAAAAUUAAUUUGAGGAGGCUAUUAUGGGUUAUUUACUAAUCAUGUUUUCCUUGAUUGUUGCAGGGUGAUUCUUAAAUACAUAGAAAAUCAAUGCAAAAAUUUCUACAAAAUGGGUACAACGCCAACAAUAGGGUUUCAACAAAGCUACCUAAAGCAAUAAAAGAUUUACCUCCACACUUGUUGCUCCUUCUCCUUAAAUUUUUUCUAGACUCGAAUAAAAUUAUUUUCUUAUCUAAAAGGUGAAGUCAACAUUUUCAUCGAAAAAUAACAAACGAUUAUCUCUUUUCUCAAUAACCUCAUGUUCCAAUGCAUUCUCAUCCACAGCCAUUUCUUCUUAAAUAUUUAGGGCAAAAUCAUUAGGAAACUUACAGCUUGAUCUCAAUCUGAGAUUUGAGCCGGAAAAAAAAAUUAGGGUUUCGCCGCGAUUUUAUUUUGUGAGCUUAAGCUUUCUGAAUCUUUCCAAUCCUUCCACUAAACCCUAAUGCAGAUGUUUAACAAUUUUCAAGAAAGAGAUCUAAGUAAGGGAUGUAAAGCACUAACCUGAGCGAGUGUCGGUCGAGCGGUAGGAAGCUACUAACGUGCACCGGGUGUGGAGCGUACUCACUCUGAAUAAUGCUGACGCAUGGAGGAAGGAGGAAUAUGCAGAAAAUAUGAGAACAAUCGAGACAAUCCGUGACCCGGUUGGGUAAAGUCGGAGUCGGUGGGAUUGGCCUUAAGAGAGUCGGGUUGGAUAAAGUCUGAGUGAUGGGGUGGGCCUUAAAGGCCCAUUUAGUGGCCCAAAAAAUUCCAAAAAGAUAAAAACUUUUGAGUCUGUCAGACAACCGUGCGACCAUCCCAGUCGAGCCAAAGCUCGGCUGAGAACGAUCCUCUACAGCCCUGACCCAACAAAGCAGGUUAAGCAGUUAAUCACGCUCUGAUCGCACGGUCAUUGUUCAUCCACCAGACUGAGGUUCCUGUCUCCUUAGAACUCAAGGAUACAGAGGUACGAGCCUAUAGAACAGAUCCUGUUCAAGUAAGGUCGUGGCAUGUGAAUCUCCUAUCCUUUGUUAUAUAGUCAUUAAAUGUUUCCUGCAUUUCCGAUGUGGGACGGCUAGUCACCGCGUGUUCUCAUUGGCCAUAUAUUUGCAAUGAACUUCUUGGUAACAACGAUUGACAGCUGAUGCACGACAGAUUGCCAAAUGAAAUUCUUGCAAACUUCUGGAUUCAUUUAAAAUAAUUUUAACGGCCGAUGUAUGAUAUUUUAAUUUGCAAAAUUAUUUUGAUAAACAUUUUUUUAUUUAUAUCGUUAAAGAAGAUAAUAGUUGUACGUGUAAAGUAACGGAUCUGUCACUUGAAUCCUAUUUUUAAGAUUCUGCGAUUAAAUUUUUUUGAGAAAAUCAUGUUUAUCUCAUAGUAAAAGUUUUUUAAAAAUUAAGGUAAAUGAUUUUUUUCUAUUCCUAUGAAAGUACUUUUAAUUCGUAAAAUAUUUUUUAAUAAUAUUUUUAUUAUAAAUACUUUUCUAAAAAAUAAUUAUUUUUAACAAAACUAAAAAUAAGAUGACAUGAAUUACAAUUUAACAAACUAAAAAUAAGAUUUACAUUACCUUGUAAGAUUGUGAUAAAGAUAACUAUACGAUGGUUUACAAUGUUGCUUUACUUGACCCGGUUGGGUAAAGUCGGAGUCGGUGGGAUGGCCUUAAGUGAGUCGGGUUGGAAAAAGCCUGAGUGAUGGGGUGGGCCUUAAGGUCCAUUUAGAGGCCCAAAAAAUUCCAAAAUGAUUGGGUUUGUCUGUCAGACAACCGUGCGACCAUCCCAAACGAGCCUAGAGCUCGGUUGAGAACGAUCCUCUACAGCACUAACCAACCGAGGCCGGUCAAGCUAUUAAUCUCGCUCUGAUCGCACGGCCAUGAUUCAUCCACCAGACUGAGGUUCCUGUCUCCUUAGAACUCAAGGAUACAGAGGUACGAGCCUAUAGAACAGAUCCUGUUCAAGUAAGGUCGUGGCAUGUGAAUCUCCUAUCCUUUGUUAUAUAGUUAUUAAAUGUUUCCUGCAUUUUCGAUGUGGGACGGCUAGUCACCGCGUGUUCUCAUUGGUUAUAGACUUCCAAUGAGCCUUCCUGGGAACAACGAUUGACAGCUGAUGCACGAUUGAUUGCCAGUGAAAUUCUUGGAAACUUCUGGAUUCAUUUAAAAUAAUAUAUACGGAAUAUACCAAACAUUAUUAUUUUUCUUUUAUUUUUCAAAACAAGAAAGAUAUUAGAAUUAUUAAUAUUUGUUAGUAUUUGUAAAAAUUAAAAUAUAAUUGAAAAAAUAUUAAUGAUUUUUGCUUUUAGAGAGAGUCAGGAUCGAAGUGUAUCACAAAGGUUCAUUUGAAACCUAUUCCUAUGAAAGUACUUUUAAUUUGUAAAAUGUUUGUUAAUGAUCCUUUUAUUAUAAAUACUUUUAUAUAAAAGUUCAAAUUUUAAACAAAAUAAUUAUUUUUAUUAGCAUUUUUAUAUUUUGUUAUAAAUUAAAAUUGAUUUUUAAAUAAAUAUUUUAAUGACAAUUAAAUACACUAAGACAGAGAAGAUAUGUGAGAGAUUUGUUAUCAUCGUGGUCAAUACCCAAAAAGUAUUGGAGAAUUAUAUUGAAAAAAAAAAUAUAGUUUUAAAAAUUUGUUUAAAAUAAUUGAAAUAUUAGAAAAUGAUUAUUUUGAAUUUAAAAUUUUUUGAAAAAAAUAUAAGAGAAAGUGUAUAGGAUUUAUAUACUACUUUUCAAUUAAAAAAUAAAAAAAAUGGAAAUUGCAUCCAAACAAGCACUUAUGAUAUAAAUAUUCAAAACUAUAUCAAAGUAAUAAUUUUGGAAAGAAAGUGCUUUAAAGUUUAAAGGCACUUUUUAACUUGUCAAAAUCACACUUUCAACCCAAGUCUAAUUACAAACCAUAGUUAACCUAUAAUUUUAACCAUAGUCAUGUAUACCAAUUUUUGUCACACCAUUAUUAAAUUUCAUGUACUAUAUGAAAAUUUCAAUUAAGCUUGGUACAUGACUUAAUUCAAUGUAUCUUGUACCUAAUUUGGUAGGUUCAUGACUUUGGUCCCGAUACCUUGUACUUUUUCCAUAUAGCUUAUGCAUUUAAUCUUCCCACAUAUAUUAAGGGAAAUGUAAAUACAUUAGGUUCAUGAAUCUUUAUAAUGGUGGGGAUUAACUUCAUGUAAUCAUGAAGGUCACAAUAAUUCCGACGAUGUGUAUAUUACUAUGACAUUUAAUUAUAAAAAUUAAAUAUAAUAGUAUUUUUUUUAGAAAAAUACUUUUAAAAAUCUUAAUAAUACCUUUAACUUAAUAUAUGGACGAUAACUAUUUUGGUGAUUUUUCCAAAGCUCGCUUUUUAUUAUAUUACUAGUAAGUGUGCACAUGCCAAUAAAUUACAGGAUGAAAAAAGUUUAAUAAAUAAAUGAAUAUGUGAAUUUAUUCUUUCAAGAAUCAUGUAUGAAAUGGAGUAAGGAUUGAUAAUUGAAUUAGACAUGAAACCAAAUUAAAAAAAAAAAAAAAAAGGAUGAAAUAUAAAUAGGAUUAUAUAUAUUUUUCCACACUAAAGUUUAUGAAUAGGAUUCCAUUUUCAAAUUGUAAAACAUGUUUGUUUAAAAUUAUUUUUAGUAUAAUAAUAUAUAUUAAGAAAUUUUUUAAAAAAAUAUGAGAAUUCUAAUCAUCCCAAAAUGAAGAUUCAACUAAAUUAAAAUUAAAAAAAAAAACUCAAGAAGCAAUUGCCGAAAAAGCAUGGAAAUUAAUUGUCUUAACAAAUCCAUUUGUGGUAAAUAUAUCCUUUAAAAAUCAUAUGAAACAGAUAAGAAUUUAUAAUCACAAAAUGGGUAAAUAUUUAUAGAUUUAAUUGAUAGCAUUGAAUUUAUGGUAAAUUUCUUUAAGAAUCAUAUGAAAUGGAUAGAAAUUUCUAACCACAAAACAAUCAAAUAAUUAAUAGAAUUGAUUGAGAAUAUUGAAAGUUAUACCACAAAACAAAUGUUUCUAUUUUUUUAAAAUAAAAAAUGAAAUAAUAUAAUGAAGUAAUUUUUUUCCCCCUAAAUUGCUAAGGGGUAUUUUUGAAAAUUAAAAGUAAAUUAAUGGACAUUUUGGAAAUGAAAAAAUUGACAAAUAAAGUAGUAUAGAUUAUAGAAAGUAUUAUAAUUCUUUUUUUAUUUAUUUAAGUUUAUAUACAAAUCUCAACUAGUUCUCUUUAAAAACAUUUUUAACAAUUUUUUUUACAAAUAAAAGCAUUAUAGUAAAAACAUUUUAAUAUGGAAUUAUAUCCAAAUAAAGUUUAAAAUGACCUUAAUUUAGAGUUCAUUUGAUAGUGAUUUUAGAGAGUGUUUCUAAUAUUUGAAAAUUUGUAUCAUUCAAGCUUUAAAAAUGUUAAAAACAUAUAAUAGAAUUAUUACCAAAUACAUUGAGAAAAGUGUUUUAAACUUUUUUAAACACUUAAAAUUUUUAUUUUUCAAAUAUUAGAAAAUUUAGAAACACUUCUUAUAAUUACCGUCGAACACACUCUUAUAAAGUAUUGAAUUAUUUAUAAUAUUUAUUUUUUCUUGAUUUAAGUCUUAAAGCAAUUUGUCAAAAAGUAUAUAUAUAUAUAUAUAUAUAUUAUAUUAAAAUAGUUAAAUCUCCCCAUAGAUGUAAAAAAAAACCAUGACAAUAAAUUUCAAAAUUCUAAAAAGGAAAAUGUUGAAAUAAUGGUAAGAAAUCAUGAUAUAAAAAGUAGGAUAUCAAGGAAAAAUAAUUUUAUAAACAAAAAUAAUAAUAAUAAUAAAUUUACAUAAAGUUUCCAUAAACAUGGACAUGACAAAUAUGGGAAAAAAAUUUACAAUGGGAUACUGAAUUAUCCUUUAACUCAUGCUACCAUUUUUAGCAGAAUGCCCCCACAUUUUCAUGGUUUAUAUUUAUAACAUUAGAAAAGGAUGGCAUUUUACCAUUGGUUAUAUAUAGUAUUAAAUUAUUUUUAAAAAAAAACAAUAAAGAAGAUAUUUUUGAAAUUAAAAAGACAAAUAGGAUAGUGGAUUCACUCAAAAACAAAAAAGUCAAAUUUUGACAGACAAAGGGAUGAUUCUGAGGCAGAACAGUGGAGAGGGACCAUGGGCAGGUGUCAGCAUAGAGUCUCAGUCGUCCUUCACAAAGUUGGCAUUGGGACCCAAUACUUUUUUUACUUUUUUUUUUUUGUCUAUUUAUUUAUUUUCCAAAAUAAAAAUAAAAAUUACAUAUUGGGUUUAUAUAAAGAGAGAGUUGUUGGGUGAAUGGGUGAUGAGUUGAGAACUAGAGAUAGUGGAGUAGAGAGUUGGGAGUGGGGGGGCAUUGGCCAUGGCAGGGACAGAAGUUUCAUCAUACCCUCCUCUGUUUCGUGAAGAGAAAGGGUCAAUCCAUGGGGGGGUAGAGGGAGAAGAAGGGGUGAAGGUGGGGGGUGGUAGUUCAGAGUCAGACCCACUUCCAGUGAUGGAUCUUGAAUGCAUGGAGAUGGAGAAGCUAGGAGAAGUGUGUAGAGAGUGGGGCAUUUUUCGGCUGGUCAACCAUGGGAUUCCUUUAUCUCUAUUGAGCCAACUCGAGGACCAUGCAAAAAGGCUGUUUGGGCUGCCUUUUGAAUCCAAGGAGGCCGUCUUCACCACUCCUGUGUCCUACUUUUGGGGCACCCCUGCGCUUACCAAAUCCGGAGUGGCCCUUUCACAGACCCCCCAAAAUGUCAAUUGGGUGGAAGGCUUCAAUGUUCCUCUCUCUCAAUUGCCCCUGCUUCAGACCCAGGAUCCCAUCAUUGCUUCCUUCAGGUACAUCCUCUCCUCCCUCUCAUUCCUUUUGGGUUUUUUUCUUUUCUUUUUUUUCCUUUUUGGGGUUUCUCAUGUUCUUAGUAAGUAUUAAUGAUUAAGAUUAUAUAUUUUUGGACUGAGUUUCCGGCUCUCCUCAAAAGACAAAAAGUGUGUUCCCGAGGACAUGUCACUCAAAAUAUUUCUGAUCAUUUGCCAUCAAUUAUUUCCUCUUGUACUUAAGAAUAGUGAUUCUAAGAUACCCACCACCACCCCAUAUUUGAUGGUAAAACCCCAAUCCAAGGAAACGGAAUGGGUUUCUGCAAAAGGGGAAGGAAUCCAUUUCCCGGAGACGGAGAGAGAGUUUCCUCCCCUGUACCCAUCUGCCCAUGUCAACCUUUUUUUCAAAAUUUAAAGAAAUAAGAUGAAAAUAAUGAAGAUGAUUUUCAUUGGUUUCAUUCAAAUUACAUCAAAAGUCUUAAGCAAUCAUUUUUAAUAUUCCAUUACAUUUAAUCUAAGUUUUUCUACACAUAAAUUUUUUAUAAUAAUGUUUUUAAGCUAAAAAAAGAUUAGAUGAGAUUAUUGAUUGCUUUCUAAUUUAGAUUGAGAUCGAUGCUCACCAACCGACCCCGACCCCAACCCCAAAUUGUAAUUUUAAUGGAAUGAAAUUAAAUAAUACAAGGUCACAUCAUCUAGUGCAUUCCAAUCGAAUCUUACAAAAAAAAAAAAGUAUUAAAUUAUAUAUAUAUAUAUAUAUAUGGCAUUGAGAGUGUUUUAUUAAAUAGGAAGCAUGGCCACAUGACUUAAAUAUUUGUCUCCUAUUGUGUCCGGAUUGCUUUUGUCUCUUCCUCCAAGACAAAAAGUCCUUGCUAACUAAGAAUCCUUCUUUUUGCAAUGGCCACCAUCACUUUCAUUCAUAAUUCAAUUACUUUUUCUUGGCCCCAUUUACUUUUUCUUGGCCCCAUUACAAAGGGGAAAAGGUUAAGCAAAGCUCAACGUUCAUGUCUCUCUCAUCAUCAACACCAUUUCCGUUCCCCUUUUAAUUCUAUGAAGAAAGUAUGCUACUAAAUCAUAUGCCUUUUUUGUUUCGUUUCAUGGCCCACAAGACUUAUCCUCGAGGAAUAUGGAAGGCAUUUGUCUAGAAUUGCGAGAACUCUCUUUGAGGCUAUGGCUAAGAACUUGGGACAUGAUCCAAAGCAAUAUGAGUCUAGUCUAGACGAAUCUUCCGGAAUCGUUCGAGUUUAUAGAUACCCAUUACGCCCUAAUCGUGACCAUGCAAGCCACAUGGAGGUGCACACGGACAGUUCUGUGCUCUCAAUUUUGAAUCAGGAUGAAGUCGGUGGCCUCGAAGUCUUGAAGGACGGUGAAUGGCUAAGUGCAAGUCCAAUUUCCAAUACCUUGGUCAUCAACGUUGGUGAUAUGAUGCAGGUAAGACAUAUUUUAAUUGAAUUCAAAAGCUUAAAUUAUUAGAUGAUGAAAUGUAUUAAUAAAAAUUUGUCCUUUUGAAUUAGGUUAUAAGUAACGAUAAGUACAAGAGCGUGAUUCACAGAGUGAAGGUGGCAAAAGAGAGGGAGCGGCUCUCGAUAUGUUACUUCGUGUUUCCAGAGGAAAACACCGUAAUCAAAAGCUCUAAGUAUAGACCAUUUUCGUAUAAUGAUUUUCGUAGCCAAGUGCAGGAAGACAUAAAGACCUUAGGGCAUAAGGUUGGGCUUAAACGGUUCAAGAUUAAUGAUGAUAGUGACUAAAAGUUUAUUAGGUUCAAGGGAGCUUACCAUAUUUGAUUUGUAACCGUAAUGUUAAAUAAACAAAGGGCCCAUGACCCCAAAUGGUCCCAUGGUUCAAUGAAUUAAUAAAGCUCUUAACUAUAUUCUUAGCUCAAAUGAGUCAUUUUUAUGUUAUAUAAUUGUCCACUUGAAAAAGGAUAAAAAUAAAAUAAUGAUGAGGAUAGUGGAAAAUGGGCAGGGGGGCAAGGUCCUUGGUGUACCCAAACGGUGGGAUAAGAAUGGUACUGAGAAUUCCGUAACUAGGAAUUUUGUAAAUACCAAGAGACUAGGGUACCCUAGGGCCUAGUCCUUAUCCUCAUUCCAACCAUGCAAAUGCACGUGGGGCCUUCCUCAUCUGAUUUAUUCUUUGAAAAGCUGUUGCUACCUACCCAUUGUUUUAUAUAUUUAUUAUUGGUAUCACUUUUCCGGAUUCUUGAUAAAUAUACUGCAAUUAAAAAAAAAAAAUAUUUAAAAUACUAUAGUUUGGAAAAUAAUUCCAAUUCUACGGCACUUUUGAACAUGUAGGAUAACACGUAGGAUAGAUAUGAAAACCCAUUUCCCUUCCCGUUUUUCUUCUCUUCUCUUCUCGUUUUUCUUCUCUGCAUCAAAACUCCUCUGCCCGAAAACCCACUAUCCCACACGCUGAUCAUGAGUUGGAGAUCCUUGCUUCAACACCAAUAGGAAGGAAGUGAAGUACAGAUCUGAGAAACCAUUGCCCCCGGUGUUUUCUGUAAGUUUUGUGGUUAUAUUUGGUGGUGUGGUUGUGUUUGGUCACCGAGAAAGUGUGGGAAAGUUGUAAAAAAAAUAAAGUUUUUGUUUUUUUUUACAAUGAAACUGAGUAGACUAAAAAUAAUGGAGAAAGUUUUAAUUUUUUUUGUGGUUUGGCUUGUUGUGAUUUUGUUUGGUUGCCAAGAAAGUGUGGGAAAGUUGAAAAAAAAAUUUUCCCAAUAUUUCCUACCAGUCCAGCCCGCGCACAGGGUAUCUGUCCAAUUUUUUUUUUAUUAAAAAACAUAAGCUAUUUGGUAAUCUGAUCAUGAUUUGAGGAGAAAGGUGAUCAUGAUUUGAGGGGAAAGGUUGUGUUUUUCAGCGUGGCUCAAAAAUCGUGGAUUUAGGGUUUGUGAAAUUUCAAUCCAAUGGCACAAAAGCAAAGAGACCCCUGGACAGAUCCAGAAAGCACGGAGCAAAAAAAAAACAUUUUUUUGUUUGUUUUUUUAGGGGGUUUUGCAUGGACUUUCCCGGAAAGCAAAUGGGGGAUGGAUUUUCUUGGGAAUCAAACGGGGAUUGCACAAACUUGGGAAUCAAACGGGGGUUGCAACAAAAUAAAAAAAUAAUAACCUGAUUAGAUUAGUACCUACAAUAAUUGAAAUUGAAAAUUUGUUUUUUUAGGGGGUUUUCCAUGGAUUUUCCCGGAAAGCAAAUGGGGGAUGGAUUUUCUUGGGAAUCAAACGGGGAUUGCACAAACUUGGGAAUCAAACGGGGGUUGCAACAAAAUAAAAAAAUAAUAACCUGAUUAGAUUAGUACCUACAAUAAUUGAAAUUGAAAUUCAAAUUUAAAUUCAAGGAGACACUUUCAGUAUAAACCAAUUUUUUAAAAAUUAUGAAAGGUGUCCGAAUAUAAUUCCAUUUUUUUGUAAUUAUGGAAGGUGUCUCUUCAAGAGACACCUUCAGCAUAAAUUCAAAAUUUUCCACUGUUUGAAUGGAAAUUGUGGAAAGUGUCUUUUGAACAAGCACUUUCAGUAUAAACCCAAUAUUUUUAAAAUUGUGGAAGGUAUCAAGAAACACAUUUCACAAUUCCCAAAAAAUGGAAUUAUAUUGAAGGUGUCUCUUCAAGAGACACCUUCUAUUAUUUUAAAAAAAUUGGUUUAUACUGAAAGUGUCUCUUGAAGAGACACUUUCCACAAUUUUCAUACNNNNNNNNNNNNNNNNNNNNNNNNNNNNNNNNNNNNNNNNNNNNNNNNNNNNNNNNNNNNNNNNNNNNNNNNNNNNNNNNNNNNNNNNNNNNNNNNNNNNAUCAUGAUUUGAGAAGAAGGUGAUCAUGAUUUGAGGGGAAAGGUUGUGUUUUUCAGCGUGGCUCAAAAAUCGUGGAUUUAGGGUUGUGAAAUUUCAAUCCAAUGGCACAAAAGCAAAGAGACCCUUGGACAGAUCCAGAAGCACGGAGCAAAAAAAAAACAUUUUUUUGUUUUUUUUUUAGGGGGUUUUGCAUGGACUUUCCCGGAAAGCAAAUGGGGGAUGGAUUUUCUUGGGAAUCAAACGGGGAUUGCACAAACUUGGGAAUCAAACGGGGGUUGCAACAAAAUAAAAAAAUAAUAACCUGAUUAGAUUAGUACCUACAAUAAUUGAAAUUGAAAAUUUGUUUUUUUAGGGGGUUUUCCAUGGAUUUUCCUGGAAAGCAAAUGGGGGAUGGAUUUUCUUGGGAAUCAAACGGGGAUUGCACAAACUUGGGAAUCAAACGGGGGUUGCAACAAAAUAAAAAAAUAAUAACCUGAUUAGAUUAGUACCUACAAUAAUUGAAAUUCAAAUUCAAAUUUAAAUUCAAGGAGACACUUUCAGUAUAAACCAAUUUUUUAAAAAUUAUGAAAGGUGUCCGAAUAUAAUUCCAUUUUUUUGUAAUUAUGGAAGGUGUCUCUUGAAGAGACACCUUCAGCAUAAAUUCAAAAUUUUCCACUGUUUGAAUGGAAAUUGUGGAAAGUGUAUUUUGAACAAGCAUUUUCAGUAUAAACCCAAUAUUUUUAAAAUUGUGGAAGGUAUCAAGAGACACAUUUCACAAUUCCCAAAAAAUUGAAUUAUAUUGAAGGUGUCUCUUCAAGAGACACCUUCUAUUAUUUUAAAAAAAUUGGUUUAUACUGAAAGUGUCUCUUGAAGAGACACUUUCCACAAUUUUCAUACAUUAAAGAGAGACAUCUUUAGCUUUAAAAUCAUUUCCACAAAUAAAAUACAUAUUGGAUUUUGUGGAAUUGUGUAAAGUGUCUUUCCAAGAGACACAUUUAGUAUAAAUCUAAUUUUUUGGAAUUCUAGAAGGUGUCUCUUAAAGAGACACCUUUGGUAUAAAUUAAAAUUUUUAGAAAUUGUAGAAGGUGUCUCUUCAAGAGACAUCUUUAGCUUUAAAAUCAAAUUUAUAAGACAUUCAAAUUUUUGAGGAAAGUGUCUUUUCAAGAGACACCUUUAAUGAAUAUUGGAUUUUUUGCCACGUGGAAAGUGUCUCUGCAAGAGACACCUUUAAUACAUAUUGGAUUUUUUGCCAUGUGGAAAGUGUUUUUUCAAGAGACAUCUUUAAUAUAAAUCAAAUUUUCUGAAAUUGUAGAAGGUGUCUCUUGAAGAGACACCUUUAGCUUAAAUUCAAUUCUUUCAUGAUUUUGAAAAUUGUGGAAGGUGUCUCUUCAAAAGACACCUUCCACGUGGCCAAAAUUGCCGUAAAUCUAUCAAUAUUUUCAAAACUACCAUUUUUUAAUUAUAAUUUUUUAAAAUUGCCGCAAAAGUUAAAAAAGCCCUCACUUUUCCUCAUGUUUCGUGAAAACACGUGUUGUAGGCUUAUAGCAUCCAUACCGUUUUCAUCCUUUCUCUCUAUUGUGUUCGUGACAGGACAAAAAUAAAUUUAAAAUUUAAAUUUUAAAAUUUAAAAUACAAGCUAAUCCCCACCACUUAAGGUUCCCGACCAAAGUCAUGAAUCUAGUAAUUUACAUUUCCUUUAUUAUACAUUUAAUGCAUAUGGAAAGAAUACGUGUAUAAAGUGUGCAAAAAAUGCAUCGUGACUAAAUUCAUGACCCUAUUAAAUUGUGUAGAUGUACAAUAACUAGAAUCAUGUUCCUACGUUAAAAUUUUCGUGUACCAUUAAUACUAUAUAGAAUUAAAUGGGAAAAGUGGAUUUACGUGGUUAGAAGGAAGUGUUUAUUUGUGACUCUUAAGGGAAGGUGCUUGACAUGAAAAUGAUGAGAUUAAAAUACAAAUGAAUACAUCAAAGGUAUAAUAAUAUAAGGUCAAAGACAAAGUAAUGGAACCUUACAUAUGAUACAAAUGAAUAAAAUAUAUGACUAUAUAUAUAUAUUUAUAUUGAUAUUUAAAUAAUAAAUAGAAAAAUACUUAAAAAAAAAUUAGGGAGAAUUAUCUUUUGGGGGUAGAUGGGCCCCCAAAUUAACAAAAGGUCCAUAUAACUCUUCAAAUUGAGUUGAAGGAUAUGAAAUGGUAACGGACAAAUAUACCCUUUAAGAACACAUAUAAAAUAUUUUAUAAAAUUAAGUUAAAUAAUUUUUUUUUCAAAAAUACUAAAUUAAAUAAAAGUAGUUUUCAAAAAUAUUAAAUUAAAUAAUUUUUUUUUCAAAAAUAUUAAAUUAAUUUAUUUUUAAAAAAUAUUAAAUUAAAUUAAAGUAUUUUAAAAAAUAUUAAAUUACAUAAAAGUAUUUUUUAAAAAUAUUAAAUUAAAUAAAAAAUAUUAAAUUAAAUAAAAGUAUUUUUCAAAAAUAUUAAUUUUUUUCUCAAAAUCAACAAAGGGCAUUUUUGGAAAUACUGAAAGAUGAUAUCCUUCAACUCAAUUUUCAUAUUUUCAUUGGGUAUUGGGCUCAAUUUAAAGAGUUACAUGAACCUUUUGUUAAUUUGAGGGCCCAUCUACCCCCAAAACAUAAUUCUCCCAAAAAAUUAUGUAUUUUUUAGUAAAAAAAAAAAUGAAACAUAUUUAAAAAUAUUAAAAAAUAAAUUAAAAAUAGUUUAGGUUAUUUUAAAAUCGUUUUUUAGAAUAUUUUUUAAAACACUUCUCAAAUGGAACCUAAUUUGUUAGAUUGGAUACUGGGUCAAUCCAAAAACAUUCAACUCAAUUUCAAACAAAACUAUUCUUGAAAUUGAUAUACUUGUGUUAAAAAAUCAAGUAAAUAAGAUCCCUCAAUUUUAGUUUAAUGGAACAAAAUAGAUUUGCAAAACUCACCUUGUGUCAUGUGAUAAAGAUCACCUUUCUUGGAUUGUCUAUAAUGUUGAGUCACUUGGUAGCACUUUAUCUCCUUGUAUUGGUAUCGACACUUUGUAUCUUCCUUCUCCUCUCUCUUGUUAAAUGUUUGUAUAAAGUGAUGAGAAACCUUAUAAAACUUCGAAUGAGUGGAGAGGGACAAAAAAUUGUUUUAUAUCAUGUUAACUAAACUUCUAUCAAUAGUUAUAAAUGAACACUUCCUUCCCGUUGCAUGAAUCCACCUUUUCCACUUAGUUCCAUGUAGUAUUGAUGAUAUAUGAGAAAUUUAAUCAAUGUAGGCACAUGACUUUAGGGCAUUGUACCUUGUAUUUUCCAUACACCUUAUACACUUAAUCUUCUCACAUACAUUCAAUGUAUGAUGAAAGGACAUGUAAAUUCAUUAGGUUCAUGACUUUAUUCAUGAACCAUUAAGAUAUGGGGAUUAACUUCAUGUGGUCAUGAAGGCCACAAUAAUUCUAAUAACUUAAUCUAAAUCAAAUCCAGUUUCAUUCUUUUUAAAAUUUAGGUGCUUUGUACUCAUUGAAUUGAUCAAAUUGUAGAUCGAGAAAGAAACUAAAUUAGAAAUUAAGGUGACGUUUAAUUUUUAGUUGAAUAGAAAAAGUCAAAAUAUUUUGUUUUUUUUUAUUUAGUUAAAAGUAACAUUUUAAUAUUAACUAACAUAAUUAAAAUGAACUCAACUUUAGUUAUAUUGGUUAAUAUUAACAAGUUAUUUUUAAUUAAAUAGAAAAAGACGAAUAUUUUGGCUUUUUCUAUUUAACCAAAAAAAUAAACAUCACCUAAAUUAUAAAUUAUUAAUUACCUCACUUUAAAUUUUGGGGACAAAGUAUAAAAUCUUUAAAUUAUUUUAUAUUUUUUAUAACUAAGUUAUUGAUUAUGAUAAAUGUUGUCCAUUUUAUAGAUAUAUGUAUAUAUGUUGGUAAUUAUCUAGAUUUUUAUUUUUUAACUAAUUACUACAAAUAAAUUUUUUGAAUCAAAAUUUAUUAAAGUAACUUUAGAUAUAUACAAUAACAAAUAACAAUAAUUGAAUUUUGGGAGAGGUUACACUUCAAAAGAAAGUAAUUAAUAAUUAUGAAAAUUUGAAUUUAUUAUUUAAGAUAACAAAUACUUGUGUGAAUUGUUUUAUUUUUAAAAGUCUUAUACUUGUAUAGGUAAUCUUCUUGGGACUUGCAAGAGGCCAAAAAUAAAUGAAGGAAAAAAAUAAAUGAUGGUGAAGCUUAAUACACAACUUUUCAUAAACCAGCAUCAAUGUGAAUUCUUCCAUCUUAAUUAAAGUUAUUCACAAUAUUAUUAUUAAUUUCCUCUUAACUUUUCAAAUUAAUCCAUAUUCUCCUAAAGUACACUUUAGAAUGCACAUGAUCCAAAUCCCUUUCACUACCUUCACACUUAAUUCAUCAACUCUGAAUUCAUUUCAAAGUACAUAUUAUAAAUCAUUAAAUUUUGAUUGUAGUUUCUAAGUAAAAAUAUAUGUUGUAAGAUUAAUUAGUUAUUGCAAAAUAAUAAGAAAACAUAAUGCUAAAUUGAAAUAAUGAGUGAAAUUUUAUCACUUAAACACUCAAGUCAUGUUUGAUUAGUCGGAUAUAACAUAAGAUAAGACAAAAGAAUAAAUAUUAUAUUAUUUCUCAUAUUUGGUUUAUGAUAGGAUAAGAUAAGUUAUCUCAUCACUUAUCUUAUUUUAUAUUCAACCAAAUACGAGAUAAGAUAAGUAAUGAGAUAUAUCAUCCUUUUUUUUUUUUUUUUUAUCAUUUUUAUAUGAGAUGUGUUAAUCUCGUACUAAGGAGAUAUAUUAAUCUCACGAGGAGAUAUGCUAAUCUCCUGCUAAGAAGAUAUGAGAUACGAAUAUCCCAUGUAUCAUAAAUUUCUAUUUUAUCAAUUUUUAAUAAUAUUAAUAUAUGAUAUAUAAAUUAUUUUUAUAUAUUAAAUAACAUGAUAUAAAAAAAAUUUAUUGUAAAAUUUAAAUAUUUUAAUCAUGAAUAUUAUUAAUUCUAAGAGAGAUUUCAUUUUUCCUAAAUAGAAAAUAUUGGAAUGUAAUAUAAUUUUUAUUUUAAACAUUGAAAAUAAGAUAUAAUAUAGUAUUUUCACCUUAAAAUAUAAGGUGAUAUAUAUAUAUUCAAAAAUAAAAAAUGAAUAUAAUAUAAUAUAGUAUAAUAUAUCUUAUUUGAUAUAUCACCUCAUGUUUAUAAGAUAUGCAUAUUCAAAAUAUCAUAUUCUAAUAAAAAUCAUAUUUUAGGGUAUGUGUUUUGUAUCUAAUGGAUAUGAUAUCUUAAAAUAUACACAUCAUAUCAUAUCCUAUCCCACCAACUAAACUUAACUUCAAUAAGUGAAAUUAUUAUUAUUAUUUAUUUGGAUGAAUAUACAAAAAAUUCUUUUACCAUACAUAAAUUUGUUAUGAAUAUGUAUAUCACAUGAGUUAUUUGAUUCGGUAAUUGGAUUAAAAGAAAUAAAAUAAACACAAAAUCAAAUAAAAGAUAACCCACCAUGACUUUCUAGAAAAUUUCAAUAUUUUAUUAUAAACUUUUUAAAAUUUUUUGAAAUAGCUAAAUAUAACUAUGACAAUUUUUACCGUUUUUUUCAAUUGGGCUAUUGUUAAUUUUGAAAGAAAAAACCAACAAAAGAAAAAACAAUGGAUAAUAAUAAUUAAAAAGAAAAAGACAACAGAUAGUAAAACAUAUAAGAAAUUUAGAAUUAAAUUAAAAGAGAAAAUAUAUUAAUAGAAAAAAAAAUAAAGAAAAUAAGCAAGUCUAACUAGUAUACAAUAGAACACUGUUAAGGAAAAUUAACAAAUCUUGAAAAGAAAAAUGUAAAAUAUUUUUUGGCUACAAUUUAGGAUACUAAUACAAUAAAAUAAAACAAUUUUCAAGGUUAAAGGAGGGAAAAAAAAAGGAGGAAAAAAACAGGAAAACAAAAUAUCAAUAAAACAAAACAAAAUACAUCUUAUGGGAGAGAUCCUAUAAAAAAAUGAAAAAGAAAUAAAAUAAAACAAAAUACCAAUAAAACAAAACAAAAUACAUGUGAUGGGAAAUAUCCUAUAAAAAAUGGAAAAUAAAACAAAAUACCAAUAAAACAAAACAAAUGAAAAAUAUAAGUGUAGUUUCCUUUUACAAAAGAUGGAAAAGACACAAUAGCCAUACUAAUAAUUAAGUUUGAAGGAGAGAAUAUAGAUGAUUGUCAUGGUCAAAUGGAGGAAACUGAAGAGUCAUUGUGAAUGAAAAUUGUUAGCACAAGGGUUCUCCUAAUAAGGUUUUAAUGAAAACAAAUCAUGAUUAAUUUACUAAUUGGUUUGAAUUAUAAAGAAUUUUAAGUGUUAAUUUGAAAAUUCAUCAAAGAACCAAAUGAAUGCAAGAUCAAGACCUUUAGAAGACUUUUAACCAUAGAAAACAUAUAUAAGGUGAAUGCAUGAGUGCACUUAAGAUUAACAUAUAAUUUCAUGCAUCUUUGAAAAACUUGAUUUAUUAUUUAAAGUUACAGUUUCAUCAAAACUCGAAUUUUAUCAAAUAAACCUUAGGAAAAUCACUUCAAAAUUGUCAUAUUAAUUUACCUAAAGAUCUUGCCUAAAUGUUAAAAGAGAAAAUACCCAAAAAAUAUAAGUUUUCAGGCAAAAAAUGGUGAAUCAGUCGAGAUACUAGCCAACAGGCUCAACCGGCCAGGGUAUUAGUCGACGGGUUCCCUCUUCUCGAUCGAGGUAUUUGUCUUCCCGGUCAAGGUAUUUUCCUUCCCGAUCGACCUCCGAUUGAGGGUAACGGUCACCUGUCAAGCAUUAAAUGCUCCAACGGCUAAUGAACCGGUCGACCCCAACUCGAUCGAUUGAGGUUGUUUUUUGGUUUUCUUGGUUCUCGUGGUUAGAAACUUAUAAAUAGAGAGUUCCACUUCAUUUUUGAGAAAGAGAACACUUAUAUUUAUUUGUCUACCUACUUGUUCUUGUCUUAAAAGCUCUCAUUCAUUUCUUGGUGCAUUAAAUCCCAUUUGCAUAUCCUUUAGUGCACUUUUAUGAUUCAUCCUAGCAUUGAGUUGUAUUUGAGCUUUUGUUGAGCUAAAUUGAGUGUGUAAAAGUAUUUGAGUGAGUUGAAACUUGAAGAGGUUGUGUAAGAGCCAAUUAGAGCUGGAAUCCAAGUGUAAAGGUGAUUAGAAACUUGGUUGAAGUUUCAAGUUAGUGGAACCCUCACUCGGUUAAGAGCUUGAAGAAAAUGGACGUAGGCAAGGAAGUGUUGAACCACUAUAAAAUCUGAGUUUGAUUUCUCUAACCUUCUUUUGUGCUUAAAUUUGUUGUGUUUAAAAGAAUUUUUAAAAACUCAAUUCACCCCCCUAUUGAGUGUUUUUCUCUUUUUAAGAUUUGCCUUUAUUUUCUCAAGAAUGAAUCGAUGUUAGCAUACAAAGGAAUGAAUGGAUUUCAUUGUCGUUGGUGGAUAGGAGAUAAGGAUUUUUAGGGUUUUUUUUUUUUUAAUGAGAAAUACAAAAUAAAUAGAUAUUUGGUCAAGAAGGAAUUAAGUGAAAAGAGAAUUAAAUGCGAAAUGAAUUAUAUGAGUUGAAAAGUCUCCAAAUAAAUCAAUAUUUUUUUAAGAGAAUCAUUAUCUAAAUCAUUUAUAGUUAUCCACAAGCAUUAUCUGAAUUAAUUAAAUAAAAUAAUUAAUGAUAUAACUAUGAGAUGAUAAUGCCAUUUUAGGAAAGAAAAAAAAAAAAAAAGGAGUUCGAGAAACAUUCAGGCUUUGCUUUUAUUUUUGGAGACCUCUUUCUGGAGAAAAACCAGCUGCAUGGACGUGUGGCAAAGGGCAUGGCUGGCCAUGGUGGUGGUUGAGGAUGACAUAUUCCCUGAAUAAUGCACAGUGGAGCAGGUAGUGCAUUACAGAGGAAGACAGAAACAAGGGAGAGGUCUUUUAGCUGAAGAGGGUGAGAAGGAAAAUGGGGAAGCGACACUUUUUUAAGGGGUUUUUUUUCAGAUAGCUUGAGGAAAGCAAGGGGAGGGCUCGCCCGUUUGUCAAGGUACGAUUACAUCAUGCUUUAUAUUCUUCUAGUCCACAUUGUUCUGUUCUACCUCCAUUUUGAUGUCCAAUGAUGAACAUUAUACGUUGUGCACGUUUGGAGACUCUGGGAUUGCUUUCUGUUUCUAUCUUAUGUCUGUUAUUGAUUUCAUUUCUUUGGCUCUGCUUUGAUUCCCCUUCGAGAUGCCCAAAUCAUGCUUUUAUUCCUGUUAAAAAUGUGUUUAGUUUCGCUCACUCGUUUAAGCUCGUUGUUUAGAGCAUGAAAUAGGGUUUCGUUCAAUGGUUUGCCAUUUUCUAUUUCUAUUCUCCACCUAUACUCUGUUUUUGGUUGCUUACCCAUAUCUCACCCAUGCCUCUGCCACCCUAAAUUUCCCGAUUGCUACCCAACAACCACCCAACAACUAAGGUUGAGCCGCUCGGCCCAAAAAAAUAAGGUGGUAGUCUCUCUCGCCCCCGCAGCUACACCGACGUCAAAAUUCAACUCUUCCCAGGUGGAUCCGCCUGUACCGGUCUUCGAUCUGUUUCUUUCAUAGGCAGAUGAGGCUCAUUGGUCUAUGGGUGGCCUAAACUCUAAGCGCUGCGAACUCCAAGGCCGCAUCGAAGGUAGCCUUAAGAAGUUCCAAGCAGAGCGCGAAAGGUUCAUGAAGAUAGCCGAGAAAGGUGUCGUUGGGUUUGCCUCCAAGCGUCGCCAUUAAAAUUGAUGAUAACGUCGGUGGAAAACAUUUGUCCCCUUCUCCACCUUCUGUUUCGCCUCCUCCGGCACUUGUGGCGGUGAAACGGUAGCGUUUAGUGGUGAAUGAUGACGAAGCUCUCCACCAUACCCAUGCCCUUAUCCGCCUGCCUAUGCGGUGGCUCACAAGCAGCAGCUCCCACCCCAUUCCUCCAUUUCAUCAUUGUCGUCAUCAAUGUGCCUCCAAGCGUCGCCAUUAAAAUUGAUGAUAGCGUCGGCGAAAAGCAGCUAUCCCCCUCUCCACCUUUUAUUUCGCCUCCUCCAGCACUUGUGGCAGUGAAGCGACAACGUUUAGUGGUGAAUGAUGACGAAGCUCUCCACCACACCCAUGCCCUUAUCCGCCUGCCUAUGCGGUGGCUCACAAGCAGCAGCUCCCACCCCAUUCCUCCAUUUCAUUAUUAUCGUCAUCAAUGUGCAAGCCCUAUUCCUCACCGCUAGCCUGCUGCCCAUUGACCUUCAACUUAGCAUUUUAAAAAUGGGGUGAGGGCUUUCCUUGAUCUUCAUGGUAGAUAUUUUGAGCAGUGGGUUUUGUUGGUAGGCUCCCAAGGCAUUGAGUUGUGGGCCUAAGUUGGUUCAUGUAGGCCUUAAGCCCACUCUUUGAGUUUAGGCCUGAUUAGUUUAUAUUGGGCUUCACUACAAGCUACUUGGCAUGUUGUUUUUUUUUAUUAGAUUGCUCUAAGCCAUUGUCCGUUUAGUGUAAACCCCAAUGGGCCAAGCACUUGGCCCUCUCAAGUCUUCAUAUUUUUUUUAAUGAUACAAAUGUAAUUUUUUUUUAUUAAAAAUCUCAUCCUCAAAUAACCUUUCAAAAUUCACUUUCUAUUCAUAUAUUCCAAAUUUCAAAUCCUUUUCCGAAAUUCCAAUUUUUAAAGUUUAGUUUACCAAACUUUAAUUCUCGAAAAUUCAAUUUUCCAAAACUCCAUUUUUAAAUUUAAUUAUACAAAAUACCAUUUUUGAAAUAAUUUCCUAAAAUUUGAUUUUAAAUUUAGUUUAUAAAACUUUGAUUCCCCAAAAUUCAAUUUACCUAAACUUUGUUUUUUUUAAAAUUCAAUUUUCCAAGUUCCCAUUCUUGAAAUAAUUUUCUAAGGUUCUAAUUUUAGGUCUAAUUCUUCAAGAUUCAAAUUUUUAAAUUUAAUUCUCCAACAAAAUUCCAUAGUUCCGAAUUUAAUCCUUUUAAAAUGUCACCUUCAAAUAAAUUUCCGAAACUCCAUUUCCUUUCAAAUCAAAUCUUCAAAAAUUUCAUUCUCAAAUAAAUCUUCAAAAAUCCCUUUUCUUAUACUUAAUCUUCAAAUUUCCACUUCCAAAUAAUUUUUCAAAUUUUCGAUUUCCGAAUUUAAUUUCCAAUUUCCACAAUUCCAACUUUUCACACUUAUUUAUUAUUUAAUCAUUAUUAUUUUCGUUAUUUUUAUCAUUAUUCCAUUCAUUUAUUUAUUUAUUUCCUUUAAAAAUUCCAAUCAUUAAAGUUCAAUUUUUCAAAAUUCCAUAUUCCAAAUUCAAUUUUCAAUCUAAAAAAUUCCACUAUUAACUUCAUUCGUUUAAAUAUUAUUUUCGUUAUUAUUAUUAUUAUUAUUCCAUUUAUUUAUUUAUUUAUUUCUUUUAAAAAUUUCAAUCAUUAAAGUUCAAUUUUUCAAAUUUCCGUUUUCCAAAUUUAAUUUCCAAUCUCAAAAUUCCACUAUUCACAUUCAUUUGUUUAAUGAUUAUUUUCAUUAUUAUUAUUAUCACAUUCAUUUAUUUAUUCACUUAUUUAUAUAUUUAAAAUCUCAUCUCUAAAUAAUUUUUCAAAUUUUCAAUAUCUAACUUCAAUCUCCAAUCGCUAAAAUUCUAUUUUUCGCAAUUAUUUACCUAAUCUUUAUUAUUCUCCUUAUUAUUAUUAUUCCAUUCAUUUAUUUAUUCGCUCAUUCAUUUAUCUAAAAUUCCAUCUCUAAAUAAUCCUUCGAAUUUCCAAUCUCUAAAUUCAAUUUCCAAUUUCUAAAAUUCUACUUUUCAUAAUUAUUUAUCCAAUUUUUAUUAUUUUCGUUAUUCCAUUCAUUUACUUAUUUACUUAUUCAUUUAUUUAAAAUUCCCUCUCUAAAUAAUUCUUCAAAUUUCCAAUCUCUAAAUUCAAUUUCCAAUUUCCAAAAUUCUCAUCUUCGUAAUUAUUUAUCCAAUCAUUAUUAUUUUUGUUAUUCUAUUCAUCCACUUGUUCAUUUAUCUAAAAUUUCAUCCCUAAAUAAUUCUUUAAAUUUCCAAUCCCUAAGUUCAAUUUCCAAUUUCCAAAAUCCUAACUUUCACAAUUAUUUAUCCAAUCAUUAUUAUUUCGUCAUUAUUAUUAUUCCAUUUAUUUAUUAUUCACUUAUUCAUUUAAAAUUCCGUCUUUAAAUAAUUCUUCAAAAUUCCGAUUUCCAAAUUUAGUUCUGUGAAAUUUCAAUUUUCCAAUUUCCGAACUUAACUUCUAGCAUUUUAUUCAUUUAUUUCUAAAAAUUUUGUUUUCGAAUGAUUUCCAAGUUUUCCAAUUUUUAUAAUUCAAUUUUCAUAGUUUUUACUUCUCAAAUAAUUUUCAAUUAUGAUUUCUUUCAAAAUUUAGUUUCCAAAGUCCCAAUUUUCGUAAUUUAAUUUUUUAAAAAUCUCAAACUCUUAAAUAAUUUUCAUUUAAAAGUCUCAAUUUCUUUCAAAUUUAAUUUCUAAAAUUCUCAUUCUUACAUUUAAUUUCUAAGACUCCAAUUUUCAAAUAAUCUCUAAAAAUCCAAUUUUCAAAUAAUUUCUAAGACUCCAAUUUUCAAAUAAAUUUCAAAAAUUCAGUUUUCCCUUGAAUAGUUUUAAUUUUUGUUUGAUGAUGCAUGUGAUAUGUUUUGUACUCUUUAGUGUACACUGACCCCAUUUUUAUGAUAGCGCAUUGCUCGUUCGUGGCCCAGGUAUGCAUCCACUCCCGUUUUGGUCAUUCUCUAUGCAUGUUUUGAUUCCCAUAUGUGCAUGAUCGAUUUGAGUAUUCAUUGAUUUUUCUAUUGAUUGUCACAUCAGUUUCAUUUUAUUAUUAGAGACUCGACUUUAGGGACUUAGAGGGGUGUAACGGUCUUUACCGUACCUUCCCGAUAAGUAACCUGACCCCAAGCUCAAUCCGGUUUUCCAACAUCAAGAGUCACACUUAGGGUUUUCUUUCUUAUUUUGUUUAUCCUUUUAAAAAUAAAACAAAAAUAAGUGGCGACUCCAAGUAAUUUUUUUUAAUAAAUAAAAUCAUUUUUAAAUAAAAAUCGAGUUCGCCAUCGAGUGGAAGCGCAUGGGCCGAAAUACGAGGUCCACACCUACCAUAUUCUAUUAAGUUCCAUUAUGGAAAAAAAAAAGUCUUCACAUAUUAUAAUAUGUUUAACGGAUUAUUUAAUUAAAGAUCAAUCCUUCAAUUUUGAAAAUUAUUUUUUAUGGUUAAUUUGUUUAGUAAAGUAAAUAAAUAAUUAAUUUUUGGAGUGUUUGAUAAAACUUAAUAUUUAUUACUUAUUAUUUAAUAACUUAAGUUGAUUUUAAGUUAAAUUUUACAAAAGUGAAGUUAUUGAUUUAAAAUUUAUUACUUAAUUAUUGGUUGUUUAAUAAAAUUAACUUAAAAUUUAUUUUAAAUUAUCAAAUUAAUAUAUUUAUCCUCAUAAAUUAUAAUUAGAGUAAAAUAGGUUGAGUUAAUAAUGAAAGUCAUGGAAUGACGAAGAAAAUUGUGAAGUUAAUUAGGAUAAAUGAGGAUAAAAAAAUAAAAAUAAAAAUGUGAAUUUAAGAAUUAAUGAAUUAUUUUUACUUAUUACUUAAAGUUGUUUUUAACUUUAAAUCACACCAUUAAGUUAUUUUAUCAAACAUAAUUUACUUCAUAACUUAAAUUAAGUUAUUAAGUUGGUUUAUCAAACAAUCACUUACAUUUACUAGAUAUAUUAUUAAAAAAAUGGUUUUCUAUUACUAUUAUGUUUAUAAAUACUUUCAUUUUAUUACAUUUUUUUUUCUCGCAUUGCUUAUAUUUUAAAUAAAAUAUUUAAAUUUUAUAAUAUUUAUUGUAAAUAUAAAAGAAAAACGAAUGUUAUAAAUAUGUUGGCUUAAACCUAAUAGGAAAGUGAGAGUAUUCAUAGUUUGUAGAAAAAAGUCUUUCAAUUAAAAAUCUUAUUUGAUAUCAAAAUGAAGGAAGAUUCAAAAUUUUAGUAUCCUAUUUUGAUCAUCAUAAUUUUACACAAUAAUCUAAUAAUUUAACUUAUUAAAUAAUUAAAUAUUAUUUUUAAAACUCAAAACACUUUUUAAAUCAAUUUUUUUUAUCAAAUAUUUACAAAUUUACAAUAAAAUUCACUAAAACUUACAAUAAAAUCACAUUAAGGAUAUGUUUGACAACUGUUUUCAAUAACAAUUUUCUAUAAAAAAAAAAACAAGAAAACACAUUUGAAUUGUUUUUUGUUUUUUGUUCUUAAGAGUAUAAACAAUAUUUUUAUAGAAUAUCUUUUAGUUGUUUUUACUUGUUUUUAAAAGGGUUGUUUUAGAAAAUAAUUACAUAAGCGCGUAGAAUGAUUAAAAAUAAAUAUUGAAUAUAAGAAUUAUUUUUAAAACAUAUUUAAAAAUAAUAAAAAUAUGUUAAAAAUAUUUAAAUUUUCUAAACGGACUUUUAUUUUAUAAAACAUUAGAAAAAAAAUGUUUAAAAACAGUUUUCGAUCAGGACCUAACCUUCUCAAUGCAUCAAAGGCACAACUUGCAUAGCAUAGACCCCCUUUGGUAUAUAUAUAUAUUUAUUAUUUCUCAUUUAUAAAUUAUAUUAAAUAAAUAUAAUUUAUAAAUAAAAAAUAUUAUCAAUCGUUAUAAUUUAUUUUUCUUCGAAUAAGAUUUUUUAUUUUAUUUUAUAUAUGUUAGAAAAAUAAAAAAUAAAAAAAAUUAUUUUUUAAUUUUAAUUAUAUACAUAAUUCCAAAUAAAAUUUAUUUUAUUUUAUUUUAAACUUUUUUUUAUAAAUACGCAAAAAAAAAAACAAUUUAUUAAUUUUUUCUUACCAUUUCUUUUCUUAUAUCUUAUUCUUAUUUAAUUAAAUUCUCAAUUAUAAGCCAUGCAUGUCUCAACUAUCCGCACUUUGAAAAAGUAAGAGCAUCAAAUGAAAGCACUUCAAAAGUUUUUUUUUUUGAAAUAAUGAUAGAUCUUAUUAAUGAGAAGAAAUAGAAACAUCAGAGGCUAAGAUAGCUCCUAAUAGAGGUGGAGCAUCCCGCCAAAAACUUGGACUAGCAAAAGAGCUUGCUGCUUUUGCAAGAGCAUCAGCAGCAGCAUUGCUUGCCUUUUCACAUGACAUAGAGUAAAACUUUGAUCUAAAAAUAGAGAUCUAUAAUCUUGAAUAAGCAUGCCAAAUUCAGACCUAUCAAGAGCUUUAGAGUAAAAUGCAUCAUAAACACCUUUAGCAUCCAAUUCUACUAUAACAUUUGAAACACGCAGCUCCAAUAGCCAUCUUGCAGCUUCACGUAACCCCAAAGCUUCAGUCUCCUUAGGAGAACUCACACCAUUAACAACCUUAGAGUAGCAACCAACAAUAGAGCCGAAUUCAUUUUGGUAGAAUCACACCCAGCCCGAUGGUUUGAUGUUCUGAGAAAAUCGCUGCAUCCACAUUACAUUUCAACAUUCCCGGGGAAGGUUUACUCCAUUUGACCUGAGUGUUGGCAUUUCCAUUAGAAAGCUUUUGAUCAGAACCUAAUCUUGCAUCUAACCAAUCUUUUAGGAACGAUAAGCUAGCAGAGACUGUUUGAGUAGGAGAUGAGACACUAUUAUUCCAUAACAAGGAGUUUCUCUGCCUCCAUAUACCCCAAAUGAUAGACCCAACACGCCCCAUCACUUCUUUAUCAACAUUAGUGAGGAACAUGAAAAACCAGUCAAGAAAAGAAUAGACACCAUUAACUGAGGGAAUCAAGUCAACUUGUGACCAACAUGAAAGAGCAAAUGGACAUGAGAGAAAAAGAUGCAUUAAAUCCUCUUCAUGUCCUCCACAGAGUAAACACGUAUCAAUCAUAGGCAUACCUCGUGCAUAGAGAGCAGACCUGGUAGGUAGACAUCCUUUGCAAGCACGCCAUAGACAUAAUUUUAUCUUUGGUGGGAUAGACAAAUCCCAUAGCAUAUUCCAUGCUACAGGCCGUGAAGGCAAAUUACCAUGCAAGGAAAGCCAUCUCGCUAUACGAUACCCUGAUUUCAUCGUGUAGUUUCCAUGAUUGUCCCAAUGCCAAAUGAGCGAAUCAGGUAGAGACUUUGAGCUCAAAGGAAUACUAGCAAUGGCUUGAGCAUCCCUAGGUGAAAAUAUCUCCCCAAGUAAUUCCAUAUCCCACUCCUUACAACCGUGGAUCCAGAGAUCAUGAACUUUUAAGUGAGCUAAGUCAUGAAUAAUAGGAGUUUCAACUUUAAAGUUUUUCGCAUCCUUAAGCCAAGGGUUGUUCCACACAUCAAUACUACAGCCAUCUCCAAUUCUCCACCUACUACCCUUUAAGAGAAUGACUCGAGAACUCCAUAUCCCUUUCCAAGUAAAACUUGGAUUAUGGCCCAGACGAGCUGAAAGAAAAUCCCUAGAACGGUAAUAUCUAGCUUUGAGGAGUCUAGCAAUAAGAGAGUUUGGUUUAGUGAUCAAGUUCCACCCUUGUUUGCCUAGCAUGGCUAGGUUGAAAUCACGGAGAUUACGAAAACCUAGUCCACCUUCUUCUUUCCGAAGGCAUAAUUUAUCCCAACUGAGCCAAUUAAUACGCCUUCCUCUAUCGGACUUCGGGCCCCACUAGAAAGAGUUCAUCAUUUUUUGUAGCUCUUCACUUAGAGAAAAAAGCACUUCAAAAGUUAACAACCAAUCUUAGUAUAAAAAUAAAAGUAUAUCCUAAAAAUAGAUUAAAAUAAAAAAAAAAAUGUAUAUCCUAAACUUACCUUAUAUUUUCUUGGGUUGAGAAAAAUUUCUAAAUCCAAUUUAAAAUGUAAAAUAAAUUUAUUUAAAUUGGGUUCUCAAGCCUAAACUCACCUUAUCGAGAAAAAUUUCCAAAUCCAAUUUUAAAUUGUAAAAUAAAUUUCUUUAAAUUCCGAAGUGACGGUGAGGAGAUUUGAUACUGAAAUAGAAAGGAUUCAGUUUCUUUCUUGGCGACAAAGUUUCCAGAGAAAGAAAACCUCAGUAAACUCAAAACUCUCUCUCUCACCGCCAUUUUCUCUGCAAUGCCGGAAUCGAACUCCGCGACGAAGAGAAAGCGCAAGGGAUUAGACCAAAGCGUCGAAAGAAAGCUUCUCGUUAGCAAGAACGAUGAGGUAAUUAAUCAACGACUCCGACUUUUUUUUUUCCCCUUUUUUAUUCUGUUUACUUUGAUUUCUGGUGGUUUUGUUUUUUCAUUAUCAUUCUUGUUUGAAUGAAUGCCGCUUCUCGAUCUCUGGAUUCUCGAGUCUGUUUUCUUGAUUGAGAGAAUUAAUAUCGAUUAUCCUUUUUCUUCUUUGAAAUUUGUAGAUAAGGAGAAAAAUAUUGAAUUUGACGAUCAUAUGUAUCUAAAGAGCUGUUGGAUGUUAAAGUUUUACGGAGUUUGUUUUUUUUAAAUAUAAAUUUAAUAUUUAAAAUAUUAGGUUAUUUAUUUUUAUAGUAUUUUAUUUUUAUUAAGUAUUAAAAAUAAAAAAAAUCAAUAUAUUAUUAUUUUUAUUUAAAUAUUUUAAAAUUUUGUAUUAAUAAAAAAUUUAUAAUAAGUUAUUAAAAAAGUAAAAAUAUAAAAAAUUUAAAUUCUGAAAAUAAAUUACUUUUAACAAAAAACCAAAAAAAUAAUCACCCUCUCAAUCUCUGCUUAGAAUUAUUCGAGCUAUUUUUAUAAUUUUAGCAAAUUGCAUUGAUGCGGGUUAAGGUUUUUAUUUUAUUUUUAUUUUUUAAAUAUUCGUGGAUAAAGGAAAGAAUAGAAGAGAUUGUUAUAAUUGGUGGAUGAUCAAAGGAAAAGUGGAUGGAGGAUCCUAGUUGUUAUAGUCAUAUUAGUGGCACAAUUUGAGGGAAUGAUGUGGGAUAAUUAGGUUCCCGGGAAGAAAGAAAUGUGAGAUAAUUUUAUUUUAGGAAAUAAAUAAAUUAAAUGUACGUUCGAAUAUAUUUUUUAUUUUUUAUUCUUUAUUUUUAAAAAUAUAUUCGUUCCCGCAUGCGUCAACGUCUUCUUCACCUUCUGAAACUUCGACAACAAUGACGGCUUCCUCUUUUUAAAUCUGUUUUUUGCAAUUCUGACGGUUUUCUCUUUUUAAAUCCUUUUCAUAAAAGGUCAGUUAAUGCCACAUAUGAAAUAUGAAAAUAUCGAUGAUUGAAUUUUGUAAGAAAAUAUAUAUUAAAAAAAAAUUAUAUAUGAAAAAAUUUUGAUAAUAUAAAAAUCAAUCAAAAUUUAUGAAAAUAUUUUUAAAAGCUAUAUAAAUAAUUUUUAUUUUAAUAAAACAAUAAAUAAAACUUAUGAACUAAUUAAAUUAUAUAUCAAACUAAUAUUUAAAUUAAAAUAUUUGACUGAUUAAAUAUAUAAAAUAUAACUAAAUUAUUUUUUCUACACUUAUAUAUAUUGAAAAAACUCUAAAAAGGAUUUAAAAAAAAACCAAUAAAUAUGUCUAUUAAUAUUAUUUUGACCAUUUUAGAGUUUUUUAAUAUAUGUAUCACAUUAUUUUUUUAAUUAUUUUAAAACAUUUUCAAUAUAUUCAAAAAUUUUGGGCAAUUUUCAUAUCAUCCAAUUUUUUUUUCUAUAAUUUUCAUUAAAUCCAACCAUCAAUAUUCCAUAAUUUUUUUUUAUCAAAUAUUUGAAAAUUGAUUAACCCACUUUUAUUUAUAGCUAAAGGAUUUUGUUAGAAACACAAAAUCCUGUAGCGUUUGUGUUUUUCAUUUUUAAAAAUAGAAAUAAUAGUAUAUAAAAUAUAAAGAUUCCAAAAUAUAUUAAUUUUUAAAAAAUUAUUAAAAUUUUUUACCAAAUAAAGUAAAUCCAUACUUUUAUAAAAGUUUUUAAUUUCUAUAUUUGUAUUUUUUAAAAAUGGAAAACUUUGGAAUUUCUCAAUUAUUACACUGGGCUUUAUUAAUGGAAAUUAAUAUGUUACUUGGAUUUUGAUAAUUAGGAUAACUAAUUUCAGUUCGAGUUUUAAGUGGUCAAAAUGGAAUGAUUUAUUAAUCAAUUUAUUGCUAAAUUGCUUAAUUUAAAUUUUAUUUUUAUUCAAUUAAAAAAAUAUUUUAGAUAUUAUAAGAUAUGAUAUAACAAAGGACGUGUUUGGGAAUUAGAGUUUUUGGCUGGAUUAGGAAAGUAUAAAUUAUGAACGACCAAACAAGGUAGUAAAAAGAUCCUUCCUGUAUUCUCUGUGUUUGGCUUUGGAUCAUCUUCCAUGGCAGUUACGGUUGAGGUUAAAGAAGUGGGUUGUGACAGGAAGAAGAAGCGGAAGAGAUUACAAUCUAAGACAAUGCCUUUUGAUCAGAAAGUGGAGGUAGUGCACGACAGCAUUGGGUCUUCAAGGGCGGUGGACGUUCAAGAACCUGGUUCUGAGAAAGGGAGAGUGCGCAACGAAAGAAGGUUUCUUGACGACGAAGUUGGGGUAUAAUGCAUUCUUGGUUUUUUGUUCAAGGGUUUUUCUGGGGUUUUUGAUCGGGUUCUUGGUUUCCGUCUCUUUUAUUGAUUUCGAUUUGUAUUUUUUUUUCCUUUGGGGUUUACUGCGAUUAUUCUCGACGGCCUCAUUGCCAUCUUUGUCGGUCCUUUUUCUCUUUUCUCGGAUCAUUGGUUUUUCCACGGUUCUUUUGUCUACUCGAGUUGUUUGACUUCCAUUCGAUCCUUUUUUUUUCUUUUUUUUUGUCAGUUAUUAAUUCACAAUAACGUUUUGUUUGGAGAUUGGAAUUUUAACACAUCAAUGUGAAAUUUCUGUAGGUAAGGAGUGUGGAAGAAUCCCUCGUUUCUGCAACUGUCAUUGGUAGUUGUGACUAUGGAAGGAAGAGUGACUGGACGCGUUUUGAUGCUGACAUACUUCAUGGGACUGAGUCCUGCUCUAAUGCAAUCGCUGAAUAUGCACUCAGUUCUGCUGGGUAUAGGAGACCUCCAAAUGCAUUAACGGAGAAUGUUAGGAAGCUCCUUUCACAUCUGGGCUGGAAAAUUGAGUUCAUGAAUAAAGAUAUGCCUAGAUUUCGUUACACCUCUCCUCAAGGGAAGACUUACCAAUCUCUUCGUCAGGUUUGUCUGGAUUUGGGAGGACCUGCAAUGAGAGCUGAUUGUCAAAUUUCCCAGGAUGAGCAGAGGACUUUGUGUAGUUCACAUGAUGAUGUGAAAAAAUCUCAAGUGAGUGAGCAGGAGAAGACAGACCCUUGUCGUGAUGAUGAUCUGGUUGAUAUUGAUCGUGAAUAUUGCCCACAUGCUGUAAUAAACUACUAUUCGCUUGGAUUGGACAAGAAAGAUUAUAGAAGGAAGGAUAGUGUUACCUCGAAUUUGAUAGCUAAGGCAAAGAAACAUCUCUCAUUCAUGGGGUGGCUGUUUUGGUAUGCAUAUAAGAAAGGGAAGCGGGAAUUGCGCUAUUGUUCGCCAAAAGGAAGGUGUUAUUAUUCCCUUCGGACAGCCUGCAAGGCCUGCAUGGAUGAAGGUGGAGCUUCUGAAGAUACUUCUACAUGUAGCCCUAUGAAAAUCAUGAACGUCAGUGAGGAAUCUGAGGUCCAGGAAUUCGUUCCUCCCAUGAUUGAUAUGAGAAUGCAGAAAAACUUGGUACAACAAAAUGUAGAGACUGAAAAGCGGGCUGUAAAGUCUUCCAACAGAUCACAAUUUAAAAGCAGAAGAAUGAAGAGACAUGAUGGACUCCAAUGUGUUGUAUCUAAUUCUCUUCAACAUUAUGCACAAAUCAAUGGAGCUUUGGUGAAAUUAAAUAAUCUAGAUGGUAAUUAUCCGACUCCUGCUUUGCAAUCAAGAAAAAGUGCUCAUCAGGUGCCAAUUCCUGAUUCAUCAAACAACUCUCAAACUAUACUUUCUCAGUUGAUAGACAACAAUGUGGUGCUGUGUAGGGCAAAGGUACAUUACAGUAGUCAAAAGGACCAUCAUCCAAUGCCAGAAGGGAAGAUAGCUCGUGAUGGGAUUAAAAAUAGCUGUUGCCAAGAGGUGUUUAGUCCUAGAGGGUUUGAAGCUCAUGCUGGCAGUUCUUUCCACCAAUCAGAUGCCAAUAUUUUCUUGGAAGAUGAAGGAUCUCUGUUGGAAGGCCAGAGGCAAAUGGUACAUCGUAUUACUGGGAAAAGCUUCACAAAAGAAUCAAGUCAUGGGAAGAAGAGCAAUGGGGAUCAAUGUAACAAUGACGACAUCUGUUCUGUUUGUCACUAUGGCGGUGAUUUAGUCCUCUGUGAUCAGUGUCCAUCCUGCUUCCAUCAGAGUUGCCUUGGUUUGAAGGUACAUUGUUUUAUUUUGAUGUUUUUUUUUCCUAUACAAACUUCAUUUUUAGCUCUUUUCCUGCACUUACUUAUAUCUUUCUUCCCUUUUGUAAGAAUAUAUUAUCCUGAAUUUUGAGAUCUGGUUUUCAAUUGAAUUAUUUAUUUUUUUGACUUAUUUAGAAAACUUUUCUUCAAAGAAAGAUUUGUCCUUCAAGGCUCAGGAGAUAAAGAUAAAAUUUUCUUUCUUCUUUAGGAACUUCCUGAGGGAGAUUGGUUCUGUCCAUCCUGCUGUUGUAGAAUUUGUGGCGAAAACAGAUUUGAUGAAUAUAGUGAAGAAGAUAAUUUUAAAUUCAGUUGUCAUCAAUGCGAGCUUCAAUGUAAGGGUUUUUGUUCUUCUCUCUUUUAUUUUUUGGGGUAUGUUUAAUUUCUAUUAAAUAGAUGAGGAAAUUGUACAUGUGAGCAUGCACAUUUUUAAUUAUUUCUAGACAAUUUGAUGCAGAUCAUGUAGGUUGCCUAAGGAAACAGAGGCAUGUUAAGUUGGAAACCUAUCCUGAUGGAACUAGGUUUUGCAGUACACAAUGUGAAAAGGUACUUAUGACUUGUCUUUCUUCUUAAUUUCCUUUUUGGCUCAAGAAGUAUUAUUUUGGUAUAUAAUUGUGUUCAUGUAGCUUCAAUUUUUUUUACUCCUAGAAGCAUAACUAUCCAUUGUAAUCCAAUUAAAAAUUCAGAUCAUAUAACUGAAUGUUGCAUUGUUUGUGUUGGUAGUUACUUUAUGUGAGCUCAAUUUGACAUAAUCCUAGCUAAAUUUUUACAAAUGAACUGCUUUUUUUUUUCCAUAUUUUUUUUUUCAGGCAUGCCUUUUCUUUUCAGCUUCUUAUCAAAAUUACUUACCAAUAUACAUUGGCCCAUGGUAUCUUUCUUUAAGCAGAAUUAAUUUUUCUUAGUAAUUAGAGGAAUACAUUUUGCAGUUUUAACCUGUUGUUCCACUAUUAGUGAAUCUAAAGCAUUGUAAAAAGAAGUGGCAUGAACAUUUGUUUCAAGCAGACAAAUCUUACUCUUGUAAGGCUAGUCACUUAAGUGAUUGGCUAUGUUGCAUGGGUUUGGGUAUGAGUGUUGGAUGCGGGUAUGUGUCUAGGUGUCUAAUCCUUCACAACUCAUAUUUUAGGAUAUUAUGGGGAUUUGGAUAAAAAGAAUCCAAAAAAUGGGCAUGGGUUCUAGGAUACAAUAUAAUAAAAUAAAAAUCAAUUAAAAAUAGAUUGGAAAUGAAGAUAUCCCUUUUAAAGCUCCUCUUUUCCACUCUAAUCCAUAUUUUCACUCUUAUCCCUAAAUAUAUUUUUUUUUUUAUAUAAAAAUUCACUUUUCAUCUAACUUCUCUUUUUUUCUCUAAUGUAAUUAUUAUUGAAAAAGUUGAAAGAAUAAAAGGAUAUCAAUGAAAAAAUCAAAACAGGCACACACAAAAUAAAAUAGGAGGGUCUGAUAAAUAAAUAAAUAAAUAAAAUAGGAGUAUUUGAUAAAGAUCCAAUACCCUUACUCAUGUUGUGUCAUGUCAACAUUGGUAUGUUGGGUGAAAUUGAAGGAUCUGGGUAUUAUAGGCGAUUGGUGCUUUACAAAAAUAAGUACAUAAUCCCUUAGUUUGUAACUGUUGCAAAGGCUUUGAUAGUUCUGCUUUUGCAACCAAUGUUAUAUUCCUUUAGGCUUGCUCUUUGUGGAUUUGGCAAGCAAUUCAUACUUUGUAUGUUUAGGCUGAUUUGUCUUAGUUUCUUUUAUUGGAGAAAACCAUUUAUUAAUCCUAAGGUGCCAGAAUAUGGAGCAUAUUUUUGAAAAGAGGUGGGAUGUCCUCUGAAGGUAAGUUGCCUAAGAUUCUGAUUUUCAUUUUACUGCUAACAAAUUUGUUAUGUUGCAUUUAUUGGAAGCUUCCAUGAUGGAAUUAAUAUGACUUGAAUGGAUGAAAAUUGUGGUUGCUAUGGGGCGCACAUUGUUGAUUUUUUAGUUGAAUUUGAUGUGGUAUUAAUUGACGAUAACUUUCUGUUUAUUCUUAUUGUUGUGUUAGAUAUUUCUAAAAGCUACAUAUGAGGACAGAACUUUAAAUUGAAUGCUUUUUUGGUUCAUGGAUAUAUUCUGUUCGAUACUGGCUCUUGAACAUGGUAUUAGCAACCAUGCAUGUUAUUAACCUAUAAUACUUGUAUUUUUGUAGAUAUUUUUGGGCCUCCUGAAGCUUUUAGGAAAACCAAUUCCAGUGGGUGUGGAUAAUCUAACUUGGACUUUGCUGAAACCUACAAUAAGUGAAUGGUUUGAUAUGGAUGUCCCUGACAACAAGGCCUUGACAGAAGUUUACAGCAAGCUCAAUAUUGCUCUCAAUGUCAUGCAUGAAUGUUUUGAGCCUAUUAAAGAACCUCAUACAGGGAGAGAUCUGGUUGAAGAUGUUAUUUUCUGUAGAGGGUGAGAUAUUCUUCUUCACUAGCUAUCUUUACAGCCUUCUUUAUAUUUGAAUUGUGUAUGUGCAUAUUUUUUUAGUGCAUGUUUGCUUUAUGUGGCAAUGAACUUGAAUUGCGUAUUAUGUGGUCUAACAAAUACUUUUUAGGACCAUCAUACUUGCCGACCAUCGAUGAACUGAUCGGAUUAACCAACCGAAGUUCGCUUUUAUUGUUCCUUAUUAUUCUAGUGGAUCAUGAAUGAGUUUUUAACUUGUUUUUAGUAAAACGUAUAUUUCAUGUUCCUUUUGUUAACAGGCUAAUAUCGGUGACUGUUAAAUUGGAAAUCAACUUACAAGUUCUGUUGAAAUGAUACUACUAGUUAAUAGGUUCUUUACUUCAUGUUUUAAAAGUAUAUCCAGUAUUUGCCCAUGUUUCUGCAAAAAGAACUUACUGCUACAAACUACAGAGUUUUGCAUAAAUGCAGGAAUGAGGAAAACUUUGAAUGAUAAAAAUUUGCUAAAUUUAAUUGCAUGAAUCAGAUGGUGGGAUUGAGUCACAUCCUAUCAUGUGAUGGAUAUGGAUUGGAAGGGGCCUUCUGAAUAGGAUCAUUCAAAUUAAUAUUGCAUUUCAAAUUGUGAGGUCCUUUCUUCCAUGCAAUUCAAAUUGCAACCCUUGAUCUGAAGGGUUGACAUUCAAGUGCAUAAAUGGAAACACAUUACAAUCAUUAGAAAUAAAAAUGGUGGAAGCCUAAUCCAGUAGACCUCGUUUUGAUAAGUUUGCUAGAUGGUUCACUGGUUAUGCACCAUGAUAUUGUCUGUGACUUUUUCAAGAGAUAUCACUGAAGUGUGGAUUUUUCUCAUUAGAUUAUGCUAACAAUUAAAGGUAUUAUCACUUGGAGCCUGAUGCAAGUGGCAUGGAAACUUUCAGGUCAGAUCUCAAACGUUUGAACUUCCGAGGAUUCUAUAUUGUGCUGCUGGAGAGAAACGAUGAGCUGAUUAGUGUUGCUACUAUUAGGUAGGCUUUAUAGGAUGGUAGAUCCUAAUUUAACUGCUUUCUCUUUGCUUUGUUGAAUAAUGGUGAUCUGACAUUGGUAUUUUCUUGUUUAAGGGUCCAUGGAGAAAAGGUGGCAGAAGUACCACUUGUUGGUACCCGAUCUCAAUAUCGUCGACUUGGAAUGUGUCGGAUUUUGAUAAAUGAAAUUGAAAAGGUAAUCAUGCCCCUUGUUUAUGUUUGAGUGCAUUAAAUAUAUAUCUGUUUGUUUGAACAAUUCCUUGAUCAUCAGUAUUGAUGUUGGCAACAUUGACGUGAGUGAUUGUCCUGAAAUAUGAAACGAGGAAAUCAAAGGCUAAGGAGAUCAAAACAAUGUCCGCAUGCCUCAUGUAGAACUAAUAUAUUUCUGAUUAUUUGCACUGAGAAAUAUCAGUAAUACUCAGGAUUAGGCAGAAUAAGUAGUUUACUUCCUACAUCUCAGAUUCUCAUGUGUUUCACUCUUAUGUGUGAAUCAGUAAUCCAGUUAUAAGUUUGACCAUCUUUAACUAGAUACAAACAUAAGGCUUCAACAGAUUUUUGAAUUCCAGAAAAAUAAGACUUGGGUUACCAUAAUGGUGAUCAUGAUCCUAAAUAAAAAGUUUUCUAUCUACAACAUUUCUGGAAAAUUGUGUGAAAAGAUAUUGUCUCAUAUAUGCAUGUUGCUUCACCAUUUGUAAUUUGCAUAUGCUUCAAUUGACUUGCAAACUAUUUGUGGACACUGUUGGGUUGUAAAUUAAUCAGAUAUUUCUGUUGAAGUGGCUACUUUGUACUGUCUUGGUAAACCUUAUUUGACUGGAAUCGAGCAAUAUGGACAUCCUGCCUCAUUUCACCUUAUACUAUUGAGAGAAAGUGGUUGAAAUUAAGGAAUUUUAAUUCAUAAACAUAACUUAUUAAUUUAUGCAAGAUGCUUGAAUCCGAAUUGCUAACAUCACCAGGCAAUCACAAUUGAAAUUUUAUUUAUGAAUUCCUUGUAAUAUAGCCAUAUCAAUGUGGUAAUAUCAGAUGUUUGACAUCUUAAGCUAUUUGUUCCAUUACAGAAAAUUUCAUGAUUUGAAAUAUUAGAUGGGUGGAAUGGUCUUACGAAAUUGUAUUAGUAGGUUUGAAUAUGAUAAUUUUAUAGCAAGGCUAAAUAAACAAAUGCCUUCAGAUAUUUUAUUAGGUGGGUGGAAGGCUGAUUGUGCCAAUUGGUUAAGAAAAGAACAGCAUUCUCCCCAUCUAUUGUCUAUCAUGUCUUAAGAUAUUUUGGCAAUUUCUUAAUAUUAUUUUCUGCUUUGAUUCUUCAGAAGCUCGUGGAAUUAGGAGUGGAGAGGCUGACAUUACCUGCUGCUCCUAGUGUGCUAGAUACAUGGGUUACUUCAUUUGGUUUUUCCAAGAUGACAGAUUCUGAGAGACUAACGUUUCUGGAUUACACUUUCCUGGAUUUCCAGGAUACAGUCAUGUGCCAGAAAUUGUUAAUGAAGAUCCCUUCAACAAAAUCAAGCCAAUCUACAGGUAUAUUUGCAAUUCCUUCAGCUAACUUAGAUAAGUGAAGAACAUUCUGCUAACUUGCAUACAUGCUCUUAUAUACCAUUUUGCAGGACCCUGGUCAAAGCAUAAUACUGAGUUUGAUAGGCAUAGUGCUGAGUCUGAAGUUCUUCAAGCAGAACAAGUUGAGGAGUCUGCAAUUGUAGCUGAAGGAAUAACAGAGUAUGUCUCACCUAAAAUUUCCUUUAUUUAUGAAAUUUGAAAGAAAUGGCUCAAAUGUUUCAUCUAUAGGGAAAAUCAGUCACAUGGAGAAGGAUUUCCCUUUCAGAAAUUGAACUUAUUGGUGAAUUUUAAUGCCAUGAUGUAGGUUAAUAUAUUUGUGGUGGUACUAAUGCUGUAGUGUCAUUUUCAAUAUUUGUUAAAAACUAAUUGUAGAGUGAAAAUCAUGUAUAGGCUACCUAUUGGUCAAUAGAAGAAAAGGAAGAAUUGGAAUAAUAAUGGGAAACUUGCUUAUGUGUAAUUGAAAUUAUAUCUGCAGAUGUGCCAAAGUUUUCUUUUAGAUUGAAAGGAAGUGUCUCAAGAGGGUUUCUCCAUAUUUCUGAACCUUAUUGUUAAUAUUGAUAGUCCAUUCCUUGUAUGUGACCUUCCUUUCCCAUGCCAUUGCCGAAGCUAUUCCAUAAUUUUUCCAAAAUUCCUCCAUAAGAGGGUGGGCCCUAUCCACAUCAAAGUUUCUUCUGAAUAACGUACUCCUCUCCCAUCUCCUAGAAUAAACCAAAUCCCCUUGAUUGUAUCAAGCCCAAAUAAUGGUCUUCCAAACACCAACAAAGAAGAUGUCCUGAACAUCUUUAAGCCCCGUCUCUUCUCAACUACCAAGAUAUGAGUAUCUUAAAUUAUUUCUCCCUUUUUGUUGGAAUUCUAAACCACCACUUACCUAAGGAUGGUUAAUAUUAGCGCCUUGACUCGGAGCAUGUGGCACCAAGGCCUCAUAGUGUGGCAAAUUGGCCCCAUGAGUGGCCUAUGACCAAGGCAAGGUGGCAUAAGGGCAUAAUGUCUCAUGCAAUGAGGCAGCUUGGUGAACCAUGGGCAUAAUGCCAUGGCUUGUUGCAGCAACAAGAUGGACUUGGAUGAGGCAUGGAGAUGCAACAACAACAAAGCUGACUCAGACAUGGUGUGUGAUGCUUGGCACAAGGACGCAGUGCCUUGUUCACGGAGAUGAGGAGUCAUGGACGCAAUGACAUGACUUGUUGCUGCACUAAGAAGAGGACUUGAGCAAGGCAUGGAGCUGUAUCAGCAACAAGACAAAUACAUGAGCAGGCUGCCUCGACAUAGAUGUUAGGGGAACACACGAGCAUGGCUGGUUGGCAUGCUCAACAAGAUGGUGAAGCAUGUUGCGAGGAGUGUGGGCUAAGAGAGGGCUUGGCAUGCAUAGGGUUUGCAUAGAGAGCAUGCGACAAGUUGUCUAGAGAUGCUACAAGAAGUUGGUGAAGCACGUUGCGAGGAGUGUGGGCUAAGAAAGGGCUUGGGAUUCACACGAUAUGCAUUUGAGGGCAUGCCUAGAGAUGCUACAACGGGUUGGGGAACCAUUUUGCGAGGAGUGCAGGCCAACAAAGGGCUUAGCACACACAUGAGCUGCAUAUAGAUGCAUGUGGCGGUCUGCCUAGAGAUGCAGCAACAAGUUGACUGGAUGCAUGACUGAUUCAAGCACAUAGGUGGACUGAUUCAAGGCACAAGAGUGGGAAGACUUGAGGCAGAACACUAGAAACGUCUUAGCAUUGGGCCAAGCCCAAGGAAGAUGUGUUGCCCCACAAACCAGGGAGUUGAAGGAUUGGUUUGUGGACUGAUGCAAGCAACCUCAACAUGAGGAGUUUCAAAUGGAUGAGGAAUGGGCCGAAGACAUUUGAAAUCUCAAAGUUGGAUUCAAAGUGUCUUUGAAAUUUGAUUUUGAGUAAGAGUUCAAAUUCUUAUUGCAAUUAUAAUCUGAGUAGGACUAUGAUUUGCUUGUCCCUACUAGUGAAAAAAGGAGUGGUUGGUGCCACAACCUAUGAAUAAGAGUUUGGGUAGGACUAGGAUCGUUGGUUCUUAGUCAAAAUAGGAGGGUUGAUGCCACACCUAUAAAAGGAGGGCUGAAGUGCCUUCUGAGGGGAUCAUGAAUGAGAUAGCAUGAGAGAGCAUGAACUCAUGAAAGAGAUUGUGGGGGUCUUGCUGAGUUAUGUCUUGUAUUGUUAGUUAGAGAAAAUAAAAUGCAAGUUGGGGAUAACCUUGUGUUUCUUUGUGGGUUUUAUUGAAUGAGCUCUGGCUUGGAGGGUUUCAAAGCGCCGCAUGGAUGAGAAAAACUUGUUGGGAAAGUUCAUGCUUGUGACAGAUAACUUGAUACAAACAACCAAUCUCAAAUCCUGACCAAGCCCCUUGUCUAGGCAGGAAUAUGCACUACCAUCCAAUCAACAGGAUGGUAUUUGAACUCAUCUUCCAUACCUUUUCAGAGAAGGGGAUUCAAUUCGUAAUGGUGUAAGAACUAUGGUAAACUGCUUAUUUUAAUUUUCCUCUUUGAUAGGGAAAUCCGGGCAUGGCAUGGCAUGAACUCAUCUACCUGUUCAUGUUUCACUGAUCAGGGCAUGACAUCAAAACAUCCAUCCUCCUCCUAAAUGGCCUCAAGGAUUUUGAUAGGGUGGUUUAUAGUCAUGCAUUAAAGAAAAAAAUAACUAGGACCCAAUCUAGCAUGUUACAGAGAUUAUAACACCCCAAAAUGCCAAAUUUUCUCAUUUUAUUUGAAGCAUGUUAUAUGCUACAUUGGAGCAUGUUUUACUGUAUAUUACUGUGUUAUGAGAGUACUGUGUGAUACAAACAUGCACGGCAUGAGUAAAAUGAAUAGUGAGUAUAUGACUAGAAAGUAGAAACUUGGUGCAUGUUUGGAUGAUGGGAAUUAUGCAAGCAUAGUCUUGCUGAGCUCUCUUGAAAGGAAGUGGUACCAUUUCAUGCAGCAAGCAUUCUGCUAUUCACUUUAAGUGAAUUCCAAGUGAGUAUACAUGCACAGCUAUAAUAUUUAGUACGAUUUAGGUUGAUCCUAAAAGAUGUUAGAAUACUUUUCAGAUGAAAACUUACUAAUAAAAGGGAAGAAAAAUUGCCACUGGUCAAGACUUCUCAGGGAAUUAUCAUUCUAAUCCUACAUUAUUGUGCACAUGGCCCUACUCUUAACUAUUCAGGUAGGGAAUCCCCCUUCCGCAUUAAAUGCUAGUUAUGCGAAAUACAAAUUCUUCUUUGAAACAUCUCAUGUUGAGUUAUAUGUAGUCCACCUGACUCUGCCCAUAUUUCCAUAUGAUCCAAGUGUAGUUCUAUUGUUCCCAUUCUUCAUCAUUUGAAGUUGCUGGUUAUGUUACUGACAAUUGUGAUCUUUUUCAGUACUACUUCAGGAAAUGGCAUUGAUGGCAGCAAAAGCAUGGCUUCCCUUACAACCGAAGUGACUGAUUUUGAAUGGAGACAACGCCUUGAUGAAGACAUGUUAGAGUUAUUGCUUAAGGAUGAUAAUCAUAAUGAAAACAGUUUAGAGGGCUUGCUUAAGGAUGACGAUCAUGAUGAAUGCAGUUUAGAGGGUUUGCUUAAGGAUGGCAAUCAUGAUGAAAACAUUUUAGAGUGCUUGCUUAAGGAUGAUGACAAUCAUAAGGCGAGCAGAGACGAUGGUGAUGGCUAUUACAGGUGCUACAAGAGAAGAAGAAUAUCAGCCUAUGACAGCUGAUCUCAUUCCAUAUGAAUUAACCUGCCAGGACCUAACUUUUGGGUACAGAGAUCUGUAGAUUGUUUCUUUGUAAAUGAUGGAGCUUCUAUUUAAUGUAUAGGCGGAAGAAGAGGUGAUAGGUACAUAUGCAUAUAUGGCUCAUUUUGAGGAUCUGUUUUGGAUUAGAACUUGGAGUAAAAGUGAUGCUGCGUAUAUUUACUGCAAGAAUCACACCCUUCCUGUGUUGUCCGUGUGAGAAUCAUCCCUUUGUAUAAUCUGCCAUAAUCGUGGUGUAUGUUCUUUUCCUUGUUGGGUGGGGAGGGUGAAUUGAAUGUGCAGGAUCUGAUAAGUGUCAUAGAGGGUAAUUUUAGUGAAGUUCUGUGAAUUAAUGGAGGCUUUCUUUUUCCCCUUCAUUUUUUAUUUUUAUUUUAUAUAUCCUGCCUUGUUCAUAAGAACAAGAGAAGUCAUGGGUAGUGCCAGGGACAUUUCCUAGGACUCUUUGAUUGAGACUUUUCAAUGUGUCAUUUUGAUAGCAUUCACGGAGAGAGUAUACACAUUCAGAAUGAAAUAAAAUAUUCAUUAACUACAUAAAGAAUGUUAUAAUCAAUAUAAAAUAUAUAAUAAAUUUUAUAAAAAUUAAUAAAUUAUUAAAACCAAACCCAUAAAAAUUACAACAUAAAAAAUCUUGCUUGUCAUUCACGUUUUUAUGCCCCGUCACUCACACGAUUUUUAUGCCAAGUCACUCCCAUGAUUUUUUAUGCCAAGUCACUCCCAUGAGCUGGAAGCGUUCCCGACUCUUCGGGGUGUUCGCGCCAAGUGUGGGACCCAGCCAACCGUAAUUCCGUUUUUUUGAUCGCAAAACUCGAAUGACCUUUUUUUUUAUUCCACCUGGCUUAGCUUUUAAUGUAAAUAAAUAGAAAUAAAUAGAAAUAAUGGGGUUUAAAUUUAUUUUAUCAUAACUUACGGGUGAAAAUAUAAUCAUUUUACUUAAAAAUGGGUUUGAUUUUUUUUCUUACUUUAGGAGGUGUUUGGCAGGUUUGGUUGAAUAAGGGAAGUCUGACAAACCAAACAAGGCAGUAAAGAAAUUUCCCAUCAGAGAUAUGAUCAUAAUAUUAUGUGUGUAACAGAAAAGGGAAUCUCUUCGGCUCCAAGUAAACUGCGCCGCGUCUCUUUGGAUCGACCCGGCUCGGCGCGUGAAGGAGGGAACCGGGUUUAUAUGAGAAAGAAGGUAUCAGUUUCAUUAAAACCAGGUGGACCUGCACUCUACUUCUGUGGCCUUGCAUUGGGUCUUCAAUGGCGGUUAAAGUUGAAAAAUCGGAUUGGGAGAGGAAGAAGAAGCGGAAGAGUUUACACAACGAACGAAAGCUUUUUAAUGAUGAGAAAGGCAAGGUAAUGCGGGGUGGUAUUGGGUCUUCAACGGUGGUGAACCUUGAAGAACCGGAUUGUGGGAGGGAGAGGACGGGCAACAAGAGAAAGCUUCUUGUUGGCGAAGAAGUUGAGGUAUAAUUCAGCCUUGGUUUUCUUUUUCAUUUUUUUUUUCAAGGGUUUUUGUGGGGUUUAUGAGGGUGUUGUAGAAACCCUUUGUUUCCUUUUGUUUUAUUGAUGCUUUCGGUUUUUAUCUAUUUUUUUGGGGUUGAAUGCGAUUAUUCUUGACUGCUGCAUUGUAAUCCUUGUGGGUUUCGUUGUUCUCGUCAUUGUUUAUACGUGGCUUGAUUAGCUGCUCGGGGUUAUUUGAUUCUAUUCAAUAUAAUUCAAUUCUCUUUAAUUUUUCUCAAUUGUUGAUUUUUUGAUACAUUGAAUUUUAACGCAUAAAUGUGUGAAAAUUUGAAGGUAAGGAGUGUGGAAGAAGGGCUUCUGGGCUCGUGGCAUUCAGGAACUAUCAUUGGUUGUGAUUAUUUAGUUCGGAACGUGAAAUAUAGUGAGAUAUUGGAUGAUCGGAUGGGAGAAAGAUUCUUAGAGUCUGUGAGUGUUUCUGGUGCUAUUGAGGGAACAAGUGUUGUUGAUACCGACCAGUGUAAUCAUCGUGGUAGGAUAAGGCCAUUGCCACCACAAUGUGACUUUGGGAAAUGGAACCUUCAUUAUGGACUAUGUGUGGAUGUGUUUUUUAGGGAGGCUUGGUGGGAAGGUGUGAUUUUUGACCAUGAAGAUGGUUUGGAGAACAGGAAAGUUUUUUUCCCAGAUUUGGGUGAUGAAUUGACAGUUGGAGUUGAUAACAUUAGGAUUACUCAGGACUGGAACGAGGGUACAGCAACUUGGGAGCGACGACGGAAUUGGUUGUUUCUUGAGUUGAUUGAGGAAUAUGAACAGGAUUGGCCCCUUAAUGUCUCACUGAAGCAGAUUUGGUAUGAUGUGAGGGAAAAAAAGGGGUUUGAGAAAGUUAAGGAGUGGACUUGUCCAUCAAAUGCUCUAUGGAGAGAGUUGGUUCGGGAGGCCAUUGCUGACAAUUUCAGGAUAACUCUAAAUAAAAUCUGUUCUAUGUUGAAGCCUGAAGUGUUGGCUAACUGUCAUGCGGUGGAACCAAUACGGGGUAUUAGCCCAUUGGAUGGUAGUAUGAUGAUGACUAACAAUGAUGCUAAUGCAACAAAUUCAGGGGAUUAUAGUAUUGGACUCGUUGAUAAAUUGGUUGAAAAUGGUGGCUUGGCUACUAGGUUCCAGUAUACUGAUCCAAAAUGUAGUAGCAAUCAACAUGUCCAGGAGAAGCAUGAGGUGGAUGGUGUGAUUCCUUUUGUGGAGAAUAGUGGGUUGGAUAUGCCCUAUCGUGAUAAAGAGAUGUCUGUUCAACCUCAGCCUUUGUUGGUUAUACCUUCUAAACCAAAUAAAUUGGAGAAUUUCACUUUUGAUUGCAAAAGUGAAGGAUAUUCUAAUAACCCUUCAGCUAAUAGGAAGAAUGAUUGGAGACGUGUUGAUACUGACAUACUUCACGGAGCCGAGUCCUGCUUUGAUGCAAUUAUUGAAUACGCACUUAUUUCUUCUGGGAAGAGGAAACCUCCAAAUUCAUUAACAGAAAAUGUCAGGAAGCACCUUUCAUAUCUGGGCUGGAAAAUUGAGUUUAUGAACAAAGAUUUUCCUAGAUUUCGUUACACCUCCCCUGAAGGGAAGACUUACCUAUCUCUUCGACAGGUCUGUCAAGAUUUGCGGCGACCUGAUGCGGGAAUUGAUUCUCCAAUUUCCCAAGAUGACCAGAGAAGUUUGCUUAGUCCAUAUGAUGACCUGGCAUUUCCACUCGUUAAAUUGCAAGUGAAUGAUCUGUCAAGUCAGCUUAUUGAAAAAUCACAAGUGAGUAAGGGAAAAUGGACAGUGCCUAGUCAUGAUGACAGAGUUGAUAUUGAUCAUGAAUAUUGCCCUCAAGCUGUAGUCAACUACUAUUUUCUUGGGUUAGACAAGAAAGAACACCAUAGCAGGAAGGAUGACAUUCGGAGUUUGAAUUUAAAAUCUAAAGCAAAGAAGCACCUCUCAUUCAUGGGUUGGACAUUUUGGUAUGCAUAUAGGAGAGGGAAGCGUGAAAUGCGCUACUUCUCACCAAAAGGAAAGUGUUAUUAUUCUCUUCGUACAGCCUGCAAGGGCUGUAUGGAUGAAGGUGGAGCUUCUGAAGGUACUUCUACCACUUGGAACCCUGUGAAAACCAUGAAUGUUAGUGAGGUAGCUUUGGGCCAAGAAUUAUCUUCUGCCUUGAUUGAUAUGAGAAUGCAGAACAGUUUGAUAGAACAAAAUGUACCAUCUGCAAAGUGGCCAAUAAAGUCUUCCAGCAUAUCACAGUUGAAAAGCAAAGAGAUUAGUGCAGUUACAAAGAAGAGACAUGAUGGACUACAUGGUGUUACCUCUAAUUCGCUUCAAUCUUGGACACAAUCCACUGGAAAAGAUGGAUUUGGAAUUGGAUUAGUAGGUGACAGAGAGUUGAGGCACCCAAAGGACAAAAAUGUCUGCUUCUCAAAGUUGAAGAAUGGAAAGGGAUCUAAAGCUUUGAUGAGACUAAAUGGUCUAGAUGGUACCCGUGUUCUGCGAUCUAGAAAAAGAGCACGUCAGGUACUGAUUCCUGGUUCAUCAAACAACCCAAGGACUAUACUUUCUUGGUUGAUAGACAACAAUGUGGUGCUGCCAAGGGCAAAAGUACACUACAGUAGUCGAAGGGAUCAUCAUCCAAUGGCAGACGGGCGGAUAACUCGUGAUGGGAUCAAAUGCAGUUGUUGCCAAGAAGUGUUUAGUCUUAGCAGGUUUGAAGCUCAUGCUGGCAGCUCUUAUCACAGGUCAGCUGCCAAUAUUUUCUUGGAAGAUGGAAGGUCUCUGUUAGAAUGCCAAAUGCAAAUAAUACGUGAUAUUACUGGGAAAGGCUUCACAAAAGAAUCGUUUAGUAGGAAGAAGAGCAAUGAACGUCACCAUGAGAAUGACCACAUUUGUUCUGUUUGUCACUAUGGUGGUGAUUUAGUCCUAUGUGACCAUUGUCCAUCCUCAUUCCAUAAGAGUUGCCUUGGUUUGAAGGUAGGUUGUUUUGUGUUUUUUUUUUUCUUUGUUUCUUUGAUUGUUUGUUUUGUUCCAUUUUUAUAAUUUCAAACUUCAUUUAUAGCUCUUUUUCCCUUUUUACUUUUAUCUUGUUUCCUUUUUCUAGUAUAUUAUUGUGAAUUUUGAGUAUGGUAUUCAACUGCAUUAUUUAUUUAUUCUUCAUUUUUUUCUUGCUUCUUUAGACACUUCCUGAGGGUGACUGGUUUUGCCCAUCCUGUUGUUGUGGAAUUUGUGGUGAAAACAAAUUUGAUGGAGGCAGUGAACAGGAUAAUGUUGUUUUCAGUUGUUAUCAAUGCGAACGUCAAUGUAAGUUUUAUUUCUGUUUAUGGUACUUCUAUUACAUGCAUGUGCAUUUGUAUAGAUGGAUAUGCUCAUUUGAAAAGUUUGUAGUUACAUUUUUACAAUUUAAUACAGAUCAUGUAGGUUGCCUAAGGAAAUGGGGGCAUGUUAAGUUGGCAAGUUAUCCUAAUGGAACUUGGUUUUGCAGUAAACAGUGUAAAAAGGUAUGUAUGACCCAUCUUUCUUCUUGAUUACCUUUUCGCUCCAAAAAGUGUUGUCUUGGUAUAUAAUUGCAUUUAUGCAACUUCAAAUUACGUUUCUUUCUACUUAGAGGGAAUUCAUGCGAGCUCAUAUUGAAAUAAUUCUAGCUGAAGUUUUAUAAAUAAACUUACUUGUUUCUUCAUUAUUAUUUUUUUUAAGGUAUGCUAUUGCUUUUGAGCUUCAUAUUAGAAUUACUUACCAAUAUGUGGUCCCAUGUUGUUCUAUGAAUGGAUAUAAAAAGAAGAAACAAUUGAAUAUAGAAAUAAAUUUUUUUCUCCAUUUUUCUUAACCAGAAUUGAUUUUUCUUAUUAAUUAGAGGAAUAAUUUUUUUAAUUUUGAUUUGAUUUUGCUCCGCUACUAGCAAAUCUAAAGCAUUAUGCAUUUCAGUCUGGGCAGUUUAUAUGUAAUUUCAAGCACAAGAACUCUUAGAUAAUAGGUCUAAAAAGGCAGAUAGAAGAAGUAAGAAGAAGUGGCAUAAAUAUAUUUUUUUCAAGAGGUAAAAUAGUGAUAAAUCUUGCUUUUGUAAAGGCUAUCACGUACAUGAUGGGGGCUCUACAAAAAAAUAAAUACAUAAUUCCUUAGUCCAUUACUGAUGUAAAGCCUCUGAUUGUUCUGAUUUUACAGUUGUCCAGAUGUGGAAAAAAAAGGCUAAUAAUAAAUUCUUUUAGAUUUUCUCUUUUUGGAAUUAGUAAUCAAUGGACUAAUUUUCAUAGUUUCUUCUAUUCCUAAUGUGCAAGAAUCUGGAGCAUAUUUUUGAAAAUGGUGGAACGUCCUAUGUGGAAAUAUUGCCAUACACUUGGUUAUGCAUUGUACUGCUAAGGGGCUUUCUAUUUUGCAUUUUUUGGAAGGUUCUUGAUGGGAUUAAUAUGACUUGAAUGAAUGAACAUGGUGGUUGAUAAAGGGCACAUAAAUAUGGUAUUAGUUGAGGAUAAAUUUUUAUUUAUUGAUCAUUAUUGGGUUAGAUGUUUCUAAAAGCUAAUAAUACUAUCAAUAUGCAUGCUUUUAAUGCCAUCAUCAGCAGAUGGUGUCAGUAACUACUUUGUACAGUUUUAUUGCAUGAAAAACCAAACAUUAAAUUGAGUGCUUGUUUGGCACAUGGAUGCUUUCUGUUAUAUAUUGCUACUUGAACAUGAUAUAAGCAAACACACUUGUUAUUACAUUAUGAUACUUGUGCUACUGUUGCAGAUAUUUUUGGGCCUUCAGAAGCUUUUAGGGAAAUCAUUUCCAGUAGGUGUGGAUAAUUUAACCUGGACCUUGCUGAAACCCAUUCGAAGUAAAGGUCUUGAGAUUGAUUUACCUGAUAUUGAGGCCUUGACAGAAGUUUACAGCAAGCUCAAUAUUGCUCUUGGUGUCAUGCAUGAAUGUUUUGAGCCCGUUAAAGAACCUCAUACAAGGAGAGAUGUUGUUGAAGAUGUUAUUUUCUGUAGAGGGUGAGAUAUUCUUAUUUCUGCACUAUCUAUCUUGACAACCUUCUUUUGUAUGCAUUUUUAUUUUUUUAUUUUUGUGUGCAAGUUUUAGGAUCUUUUCAGUUUCCUUUCAUUUUCUGAUUCGUUUGUGUGAAGUUUCAGCUAAUUCAUUUUUCUAUCUUUGUUGUUGACAUGUUAUCAUUGUAUGUAAUGAACUUGAACUACAUGCUGUUUGAUCUGAUGAAUACCUUUUCUGUUGUUCCUUAUCAUUCGACUGGAUCAUAAAUUGUGAACUUGUUUUUAGUAAAAUGUAUAUUUUGUGUUCCCUUUUUCCCAUAUGCCAAUUUUAUGAUGGUUAAAUUGGAAAUCCACCUACAAAUUCUGUAGAAAUUAUACCAUUACUUAGUAGGUUCUUGACUCUGUCUUUUUAAAAAAUGUCUUAUGUAUUUGCCCAUGUUUAAUGUAAAAAAAACUUAGUAAAAAGUUAAGCAGAAAUGAAGGCUAAGACUUGAAGGAUAAAAGUUUGCUAAUUCUAUAUUGUUAAUUACAUGUCAAGGAUGAGCAAAUGGAUGUAUACCUAUUUUUUAAGGGUAUGCAGGGAAAAGAAAAGUGUACAAAAUCAUGUUAGUUACAUUAAAGGAAGGAUCAUGGAACGGUGAAGGAGUCAUUUCUUAUAUUAUUUAAGGAAAACCGUAUAAAGGUUUUGACUUAUCACUAUUGUUUCUGCUAUUAUUUUGAGAUAUAUUGUCUGUAUUUAAAUCUUUAGGUUGUUACAUGGCUAGUGUCAUCAGAAACAAAAGCAGUGGAAGCCUGAUCCAGUUUUUCCUGUUCGUUCAUUUUUCUUAAUGGAUCACUGGUUGGUCCACAUGAUAUUGUUUGUAGGAGAAAAAUUACUUUCAUUUGGAUUUCACUAUCACAUUAUGCUUACAAAUAAAAAGUGUUUCAUUUGAAGUUUGAUGCAAGUGGUGUGGAACUUUCAGGUCAGAUCUCAACCGUUUGAACUUCCAAGGAUUCUAUACAGUGCUCUUGGAGAGAAAUGAUGAGCUGAUUAGUGUGGCUACUGUAAGGUAGGGCUUACAGGAUUACAGAUCCUAAUGUAGCUACCUUUUUCUUACUUUUUUAAAUAAUGGUAAUCUGACAUUCUAUUUUCCUGUUCAAGGGUAUAUGGAGAAAAGGUGGCAGAAGUGCCACUUAUUGGUACUCGAUUUCAAUAUCGUCGACUAGGAAUGUGUCACAUUUUGAUGAAUGAACUUGAAAAGGUGAUUAUUCUCUUUAUUUGUGUUGGAGCUCAGCAUAUAUACAUACAUAUGUAUAACUUGCAAACUUUUUGUGGACUUCAUUGGUCUGUAAUUUAGUUAGAUCUUUCAUUGAAGUGCUACUUUGUAAUGUCCCUGUAAAUCUCAUUUCUCACAAAUAUAACUUGUUAGUGUAAGUAUAAUGCUUGAACUUUGAUUGCUGACAUCACCAUGCAAUCACAGUUAAAAGUUCAGUAUCAAUUUGUUUAGAGUUGGUCAAUCAUUUUUUAUCACCACCUCAUUGUAAUACCUGUAUUGAUGGCUGGAAUGGUCAGUGCGAAAUCUGGUGUCACUGUAGUUGAUUCAAAUAUGACAAUUAUAUCAAGGGUAAAUUUCCAAAUGACCUGAGAGGUGUAGGUGGGUGGGAGGCUGAUUCUGCCAAUUGGAUUAAGAUUGACACGCAUGGAAAGAAUAGCAUUCUCCCCAUCUGUUUUUACAAUUCUGAAGGGUAACUUUUAUUUUGUCAAUUUCCUAAUAUUAUUUUCUGCAUUGAUUCUGCAGAAACUCAUGGAAUUAGGAGUGGAGAGGUUGGUGUUGCCAGCUGUUCCUAGUGUGCUAAACACAUGGACUACUUCAUUUGGUUUUUCAAAGAUGACGGAUUCUGAAAGACUAAGGUUUUUGGAUUACAGUUUCCUGGAUUUCCAGGACACGGUAAUGUGCCAGAAACUCUUGAUGAAGAUCCCUUUAGCAAAAUCAAACCAAUCGACUGGUAUGUUUGCCAUCCUCUCAGCUACCUUAUUGAAGUGCGAAUAACAGUCUGCUAGCUGGCAUGCAUCCCCUUAUAUGUUCUUUUGCAGGAGCUUGGUCAAAGCAUAUUAUUGAUUUCAAUAAGCGUGGUGCCAUCUCUGAAGCUCUUAAAUCAGAACAAGUUGAAGCUGAAAUUGUUGCCCCAGGACCAUCGGAGUAUGUCUCACCUCUAAUUUCCUGUAUUUAUAAAAUUUCAAUGAAAAAGCAUAGAAGGGCUUACAUGGUAGUGCUUUAGAUCUAGACUGAGGUUAAGAAAUGGAGAUGGAUUUCCUAUUUCAAAAAUUUCUCUUAUUGGUGAGUUUUAAUGCCAUGAUGUAGGAGAAUGUGAUAGUGGAUGGGCUGUAUGCUUUAGCAGUGUUUUCAAAAUAUACUAAGAAGCUAAAUAGUAUAGUGAAAAUUAUUUAGUCUGCCUAUUGCUCAAUAUAAGAAUAAGAAAGAUUUGAAUAAUAAAGCAAGACUUUGCUUGUGUAUAUUGAAAUUAUUUCCACAGGGUGCCCUAAUGUUUUCUUCUAGAUUGAAAGUUGUGCUCUAUGACAAAGGAAGGAAGAAUCUCAAGACAAUAUCUCCAUAAUUUCUGAACCUUAAUAUCAUUGUCGAUAUUGAUAUUUCAUUCCUUGCAUGUGACCUUCCUUUCCCUUGUCAUAGUAGCACGUCUAAAUUGCAUUAGCCAAAAAAAAUCCAUAAAAUUUCUCUGAUUUCUCCAUAACAGGGCCGUCCACAACAAGAUUUCUUCCAAAAGCUCACUCUUCUCUCAUCCCCUAAAAUAAACCAAAUCUCUUUAAUUUUAUUAAACCCAAGUACUUCAAACACCAACCCAAAAGAUGUCCUGAAUCUCUUCAAGCCACCACUCUCCUCAAUUGCCAGUUACACUUGUACUGCGAAGAUAUUAGUUUCUCUCAUUAUUCAUCCUUUUCUGCUGGAAUCUCCAAAUAACUACUUACCUAAGGAAGCUUAACUUAUACAAAUACCAAUCUCAAACCCCAACCAAACCCCUCAUCUAGUCAGGAAUACACACCAUCAUUCAAUCAAGAAGAUGAUAUUUGAACUCAUCUUCCAUACCUUUCCAAAGAAGGGGAUUUCAUCAUGGUACAAGAACUGUGGUAAAUGAAUUAAUAAACUUUCCUCUUUAAUAAAGGGAAAUCCCAAUCUGGCUUUUUGGAAAUAUUGACAAAUAUUCUUCUGCUCUAAGAAAAAUACUCUGGUAGGGUGGACUAGAAUGGAAGAAAUUAAUUCUAUUAAUGUUUGUACCAUUUAAAUGGUCAAUUGCAACUAUUGUCUGUUCAGAACAACUGGAGCAUGACAAAUUAUGUACUAUAUCAUUCAAGUUUCAUAGAUCAGGGCAUGACAUCAAAACAUCCAACUUCCUUCUAAUUGACGACAAGAAUUAUGCAAUGGUGCUUUCUAGUCAUGCAACAGAGAAAAAGUUAAUUAGUACCCAACUUAGCAUGUAAGAAAAAUUUUAACUCGAAAAUGCCAAUUUACUAUUGUAAUUGAAGCACGUGCUGUACUAGAGCAUUAGAGCAUAUUUUGUCUAAAUGACUGCAUAACACGAUGCUAUGAAAUACUAACAUAUGUAAUUUGUGAGUAAAAUAAAUAGAAAUUUCAAGAAAAGAAAUUAGGCCACCUAGUACUGCCUUUUAAAUUUAGAUCAUAUGGGAGUUCUACAUGCAUGGUCUUUCCAAGCUUUAGUUGAAAGGAGGUUACCAUUACCACCAUUAUAUGUGACAGACACUAUUUUUCAGAUGAAAAUUUACUAGAAAAAUAAACAAAUUAGCCACUUGUCAAGACCCCUCAGUGCAAUAUCAUUCUAAUCAUAGGUUAUUGUACAAAGCGCUAAUUUUCACUAUUUGGGUAGGGAAUCCUGCUUUUCCAGUCCAUUUUGUCAAAAAGAUUGGAGACUGCAAACGACAGAUGUUGUUGCUCGAUAUAUGUGUUUGAAAAAGGGGUUCAUUUUAGGUGUUAUUAUCUUUAUGCCUUGAUCAAUGUGUAUAAAUGUUGAUGUUGAAGUCAAUUUGGUAAAAACAGUUAGAUCCACCUUGUGUUUGCUAGUAAAAUUCAGGCAGACCAUGGCCCACCACCAUUUGUCUCUUCUCAAGGAUCUAUACAUCCCAUAUAAUUGUCCUUGAUACAUUGCAUCAUUUUGCCGUUUCUGUGCUCUCUAUUUGUUACCACCAUGCUGCUAGUAAAUUGCCCUUUAACAUUUGUUCAUUUAUUUCACAUAUUUUUUAUGUUCCAAGUUUCAUAGGCAUAUAGGUUUUUACUUGUUAGAUGUUUACUUGAGCAAUACUAGCAACGUGAAACACAAUUCCCCUUUCAGAUGCCUCAUGUUGAGUUAUUUGUGGUCCACCUGAUUUGAGCAACUUCAUUCCCAUCUGAUCCAUUGUCCCUUGAUUAUGGAUGAUUGGCACCUUUCUAUUUCUUCCUAAUUCCUUUCUUUCCUCAUUUGAAGUUGCUGAUUAUGUUACUGACAAUGGUGAUUUUUGUCAGCAGUACUUCAAGCAAAGGCGGUGAUGGUAGCAAUAGCCUGCCUGCAACCCAACAGACUGAUCCUGAACAUAAACUGGGCCUCAAUGAAAAUAAUUUAGAGUGCUUGCUCAAAGAUGACAAUCAUAAGGGCAGAGACAUUGGCAAUGGAUAUUUCAAGUGCUACAAGCGAAGGAGAAUACUAUCAGCCAGUGGGAGCUGACUUCAUUCCACGUGCACAGACUAACACAACUAAUUGAAUCUAAAUGCAACUAGUUCCCCAGCGACAUGAAAAAUCAGUAAAUUUGGCUUUGUUCUGUGAGCCAGUCAUUUAGACUGUGUCCCAGGACUUCAAAAAUUUUGACUCAGAAAUCUAUAGAUUGCCUUUUUGUAAAGGAUGGAGUGAGUCACAGGGGCUUGAAUUGUGCUCACUUUUAUUUUAUGUAUAGGUCGGAGAAUAGUUUCAUGCAUAGCUCAUUUUGAGUACUUGUUUCACAGACGAACUUGGAGUAAAACCAAUACUGGGUAUAUUUACAGUAAGAAUGAUGUCCUUCUGUGUUGUCUUACUGAGAAUCAUCCCUCUGUAUGAUAUGUCAUACCAAUUGUGUUCCAACUGGUGACAGCAACCCAGUAUCUUUUUCAUGCUCUUCUUGUGGCCUCAUUUUGAGGACCCGUCUCUUGACACAUUGAAUUGAAUACUUCAAUGCAUGGUAUUCAAUAAUUCACCUGAUCAAACCGUUCAUUUAUUCAUCUUUUUGGUAGGUUGAUCAAGUUGUUCUUUUAUAUGCUCCAAUAAUUCUGCUGUGGACACCAGUGACCUGGAAUCAUUAUUUCUAUUGCCUGGAAAAUUGACUUCUUAGCAUACUUUCCACUAAGACUAUUAACAUCAUUCUUGUAUCUUCUUAUCUUUCUUUUUUCUUUGGUGGUUGGGGAAGGUGGUGUAGUUCCAUUAAUUAAUGGAGGUUUCCUUUGAUCUUAGCUUUUGGGACACAUACAAACACAUUCCCUUCAUAAGAACAAGAGGAGUCAAGGGUGGUGCCCACUUCAUAAUAACUACGAGGGUCAUGUCUUUAGUUAAUAAAGAUAAUGCUAGGAUUAAGGAGACUUUUCAAUGUCACUUUUGAAACUCUGAUUGGCUCCUAUUCUUUUCAUGACAGCCCAUUUCUUUCUUCUUGUUUGUCUCUAUAAUCAUAUACUGCUUCAUUAAUAAUCGAUUUCAAAUCUGGGUCAAUCUAAUGAGCACUACUUUAAGGGCUUUUUCAACUAGCAGAAAGAUCAUCUUACGUAUAUUUUUCCAAAAGGGGGAAGACCCAAAAAUUAAAAAGGGAAAGAAAGAGGGAAAAGAUAGGGGGUGCUGUAUGACAAUAAAUUGAGGGAUGAUGAAAGGUGGUGGAAUCACUAAAAUUGAUUCAAAAGAAAAGCUUUUACCCUUCUUAAAGCUUCUGAUUUUAAACCCCUUGGUAAAAAUCAACAAAAUGGCUUACAAAAAAAAACACUGAAAAAAAAUGUGAUUGUAAAACAUGUAAGCAUCUGCUACAUCAUUGUCUUGUCCUCGUGAAAUUUACGAAAAAGCGUUACUCACAUGGUAGCACUAGAGUCAAACAUACGUCAAGCUUUCCCUUCUAUCAAUGCCUUGCAGGUGUCAUUUUCCUCAAUCACGGAACUCAGUCUUUAGACUUCUCUCCAUUGAAAUUAUGGGGUGCAAGAACAACAUUAGCAUUAUGGUUCUGUGCUGACUACUCUUCUCAACUUGAUGCUUUUUCUGAGAAUUGUGUCAGUAAAAAUGUAUGUGUCCUUUCUCCUUUGUAGAGGGUAUGAUAUGCCUAAUACAAGGACAUUUUUCACAUUUAGUUAAGUCCCUAGAAGUAGAAUACAAGUUAUUCUUUGUGUCCCUCCUCCUCCCUAAAAAGUUUAGGUUUUGAUUCCUAAGACAAUUUAACAAAAACAGAUCACUUUUUUUUUGUGGGAAAAGUACUAAAGUAGGUAUCCUAGACUUCUCGUGCCUUCAAAUCCAUGCUCAUUUCUUCAAAUUCUAUAAAUUUUCCAUCUCCUCUAACAGGCUGCAACCCUCAAAAGGACUUACUCUUCUAAAUAACCAUUGCUGAUAUGUUGAGAACUUUGUAAUCCACAAUCUUGAAGUCCAAGCCUGGGGCAACUAUUAAUUGAACCUUAUUUAUUUUUAGGGGAACACACCUAGAAGACAAUAAUUGUAUCUCAGCUACUGAAAGAAAUUCUCUUGCCCAGCUUUGAUGUGACCAAAACUUAUUAGAUCAUCUGUAAUACAGUUAUCUUUAAUGCAGAUACAGCUAGCAUUGUUGGGGGGGGGGGGGGGGGGGGGGGGGGGGGGCCCCCAAAAAGGGAAACCCCCCCCAAAAAUUUUGAACCCCCCGAAAAAAAAAACCCCCAAACCCAAAAAGGGGUUUUUUUUAACCCCCAAAAAAUUUUUGGGGGGGGGGAAACCCCUUUUUUUCCCCCCCGGGGGGGGAAAUUUGGGAAAAAAAAAUUUUUUUUAAAAGGGGGGGGGGGAAAAAAAAAAAAAUUUUUUUUUUUUUUUUUUGGAAAGGGGGGGAAAUUUUUUUUGGGGGAAAAAAAAAAAUUUUUUUUUUCCUUUUUUUUUUUUUUGAAAAAAAAAAAAAAAAAUGGGGGGGCCCCCCCAAAACCGGGGGGGGCCCCCGACCCCCCCCCCCGGGGGGGGGGGGGGGGGGAAAAACCCCCCCCCCCCUUGCCCCCCCCCCCCAAAAAAAACCCUGAAAAAAAAGGGUGGAAAAAAACUGGGGCCCCCCCCAAAAACGGGGGCCCCCCCAAAAAGUUUCCCCCCCCCNNNNNNNNNNNNNNNNNNNNNNNNNNNNNNNNNNNNNNNNNNNNNNNNNNNNNNNNNNNNNNNNNNNNNNNNNNNNNNNNNNNNNNNNNNNNNNNNNNNNGGGGGGGGGGGGGGGGGGGGGGUGCUCAGUAAAAGGUAAACCCACUCAUAAAGUUUGAUACACUCUGAAAAUCAUAGCUACAUAACUCAAUAUGCAGUUCUUUUAAUCCCAUGAAAUCAUUCUGGGAUGCAUGAAUCUCUGAUUGUACUACUGCUGUGGAGGAGAUUGAGGAGAGAAUGAUGUUCUAUGAAUGUGGGUGAAGGAAAGCAAAGAACAUUUGAUAUUCAUUUUGAUGGAAAGGGGGCAGAGUUGCUUUUGGGCAUACAGCAAGUAUUCUUUUGUUCCUUUUCUUUUGUAUUGAAAAUGAGAAUCAAAAUUGGAGGCGCCUGCCAAAACCAGGAGUGGCCACAUGACCACACCCCAAGUGGAGUGUACUGGGGCUAAAAACCUCACCCACCUUGUCUCCUCUCCCUAAAAUAAAGCUCUGAUAGCAAUGGCUCAGUACAAUCCUGGCCCCAUCCCAACAACUGGCGCCUCCUCUAUAUGUUUCCCUCCUUCCUAUUUUAUACUUUUGCUUUUGCUUUCUUUCCCACCUUUUUCAAAGCAAAUCUUUCAUGUCCAUGAUACUAUUCAAUAUAUAUAUUGUACUGUCAUCCCAAAGUGCCCAAAUCACCUAUUUGAGGGGAAAACCCAUAUGCUAACUAUAAAAUAAAUAAAUAAAAUUAUUUGGGCUGUCAACUCAGUGCCCAAAUCACCUAUUUGAGGGGAAAAAAAACCAUAUGCUAGCUAUUAAGUAAAUAAAAAAAAUUAUUUGGACCGUCAUCUCAAGUGCCCAAAUCACUAUUUGAGGGGAAAAAACCAUAUGCUAACAAGGGAGUACUUAAUGCUUGGGAAACUACUAAGUCAAAUCUGUCAAAUUACUUCUUUGACAGAUAUAAAUUAUACACAUAAGGGAGAAAUUGAAUAUGGGUUAAAACCCUUGGAAAAAAAAAGAAGAAUGACUGGUAUUGUCCAGUUGCUUCUUUUGACAAAUAGAUAUUGGUAAGCUGGAGGUGAGACAUUAGAGGGAAACAAAAGGAACAUAUAUGGGAGGGGGGUGUUGUCCAGUUGCUUCUUUUGACAAAUAGAUAUUGGUAAGAUGGAGGUGAGAGAUUAGUGAAACAAAAGAAACAUAUAUGGGUGGAUUGGCGUGGGGGGAGGGAUGUAAGGACAAAAAACCAUUUCAGACAGCCAUGACCUCAAUGCCCAAUAAGAAAAAACUGGAUUCAAAGGUCCAAAGUAGCUUCACAAGCCACCGUCAACCAAUCUAUGAUAAUAACUCACGUGAACCAGCAUAGCUACCUUCACAUGCACACAACACAACAAAAAAACCCCUCUUUUAUAUGCACUAUGCAGGCCUCCAUUAACUCUUCCUCUCUCUUUUAGCUUUACUUUCCUUUCUUUUUCUUUUUCUUUUUCUUUUUCUUCUUCUUCCUAGAGCUGUGAAAUGGAUUUUCCUUCUGCUCCAUCUUCUUUCUAUGCUUUUGGGUCUUGUUUCACAUUCUUAGUUCUAGUUCUGGUUCAGCCACACAUAGCUUCAUCAGCUCUGCUACUGGGGUUGAAGAACCACAAUAACCACCACCAUAACAGGAGGCCAUUUCUUCAGGCUAACCAAAGCACAUGUGCUCUGUUUAUGGGCACCUGGGUUCGUGACGAUGCAUAUCCCUUGUACCAGUUCUCUGAUUGCCCCUUCAUUGAUGCUGAAUUCAACUGCCAAAUGUACGGUCGACCCGACACUGAUUACCUCAAAUAUCGUUGGAAACCCACCAAUUGCGAGCUUCCAAGGUGCUUGAUUUUCUUCUCUUCUUUCACCAUUGCUUCAGUUCGCUUGCCCAUUCUCAUGACCUAUGGUUUUUGCGCUUGCAUUGUAGGUUCAAUGGACUCGAGUUUCUGCUGAGAAUGAAAGGCAAGACUGUGAUGUUUGUAGGUGAUUCUCUGGGGAGAAACCAAUGGGAAUCGUUGGUUUGCAUGAUUUCGACUGCAGUGCCACGAUCACCAACCCAGAUUAUCAGAGGAGACCCCCUCUCAACCUUGAAGUUCUUGGUGGGCAUUGGAUCUUAAUCACCCUGUUAUUCAAUAGUUCAUUUCAUUCUUUUUCCAAUUCGAACAUACCCUAAUUGGAAUUGUUUUGGGAAAUGCAGGAGUAUGGUGUGGCUGUCUCAUUUUACAGAGCACCAUAUCUGGUGGACAUAGAGGCAGUUCAGGGGAAGAGAGUCCUAAGGCUGGGUGACAUCUCUGGAAAUGGUAACGCAUGGACAGGGGUCGAUGUACUGUCAUUUAACACAGGUCACUGGUGGAGUCACAAGGGAUCCCUCCAAGGGUUAGUCCCGAUUUUACCAAAAUUACAUGACAUAUCAGUAUAAAAGAAGUCGACUUCAUUCUAAUCGAGUCAUUUAAUUUUGAUGGGAAAUGGGUGAUUUCAUAUUGUGUGAAUUUGCAGGUGGGAUUACAUAGAAAUGGAUGGGACAUUGUAUCAAGAUAUGGAUCGUUUGGUUGCUUUUGAGAAAGGAUUGAGAACGUGGGCGAGAUGGGUUGAUACCAAUGUUGACAGAACCAGAACCAGAGUUUUCUUUCAGUCCACUUCUCCCACCCAUUACAAGUAAGUUCCUCUCUCAAUCAUGUGUUAUGCUAGAUUUUCUUCCAGGCUUUUAUUAGUAGGAGAAGAAUUUGAAAAACUUUAUCGUUUUUUAGAACUGAACACUUUGCCUCCUUGAUCUUGUGCCUUUUGUGCCUUUUACUGAUGGUAGGGCAUCAACCCAUAAUUCCAUUGAAAAAACUAUUGGCACCCACCAAAUGAUGAAUGUCUUAAGCACAUUAGGUCGAUCCCAUUAGAUUCCCCGAAAAUUAGGUUAUCCCAGUCGGUACAAAUUGAAUAGAAGCCUCAGAAUUCCUUCACCAUUCCUCUGAUAUGGUAGAAGAGCAACGAGUACUGUCUGAUUUUAGGCUGUGUCCUAAUAAAUAUAUAGCUCUUGAUCAUGGACCCUAGUUCAUAAAAUCAAGAAUCAUAUUACCCAGCUGAGAAAAACUGUGAUUUUUCUUGGGGGUCACCUAACUUGUGGCAGAAAAUGCUUGGACUGCCCACUUGCAGGUACCAUUAUUUAGAGGAUACUAUUACUUUCUCCCUUUAUGAUUCGCUACGUGGUCUCCAUGCCCUGCACUGUAAAGGCAGUAGGACUUCUGUUUAUAUAUUUUUCAACCCAGUAGGCACCAGACUGCUUGUCUGCUUGUUUUCUUUUGUCCUUGUUGUACUAUGGUAAUUAAAUGCUCUCAAAUAACAAACUUUUUCCAAUUCACCAUUUCCCAUAUCCCGAAACUUCACCAAUGGAGAUAAGGUUGUUUGUAGCCCUUCUUUCUUUGGUUUAUGAUGAAAGCAACUAGUAAAAAAAUAAGGCCCUGAUGUUGAUUUCUAGAACUCAUUAAUGAGGGCCCAAGGUUGAUUUCCAUGGAUUGUAUGGGGUUGAAUGAAUCAACUCCUCAAACUUCCUUGUCUCCAUACAAUUGCAGAGCAUGUUGUCCUCUCAGGCACAUGUGCAGUAACUUUAUUUCACAUUUAAUCUUGUAAAUGCUAGAAAAGGUAAAGGUUAGUCCAGUUGAUGGAGGAGCAUCCAGUGAUGAUGUUUUUUGUCAUUUUCCAAUCACUCUUUCUGUCGGUGGCAUCGCAAAAAAGAGACAAAACAAUACUCGGUUUAUUAAGAUUAUAAAAACCUACCUUGGGAGUUUCAAAAUAGUAUCAUAAUUAUGCUAAUCAUAGUUGACAUUGCUAACCCAAACCAAGUGGAAGCACUAGUCCCUUUUGAUUCCUCAUUAACUGUGAUUCAAUUGUUGAAAAGCUCCUAAGAACCAUAGCAUUUUGUCUUUAAAAAGUCUUGUAACUUAUCCACUUGAAUGGUCUCUUUGAACAAAGCUGAGAUCAUUCUGAUCUUGUAUCAAACUUGAAGUGAUGUAGAGAAUAAAUUUUGAAUGGGGACUGAAUGAUGUGGGUGAAUGAAAUUGGCAGCCCAUCUGAAUGGAGUGCUGGGGCAGUGACAACAACAAAGAACUGCUACGGUGAGACUGCGCCAAUGAGUGGAAUGACUUAUCCAGGAGCAUACCCAGAUCAAAUGAGGGUGGUGGAGGAAGUAAUGAGCCAAAUGAGUGGCCCUGUAUAUUUGCUGGACAUAACAUUGUUGUCUGAGAUGAGGAAAGAUGGGCAUCCCUCAAUCUACAGUGGGGAUCUGAGCCCUGCGCAGCGAGCUAACCCUGAUCGGUCUGCCGACUGUAGCCAUUGGUGCCUUCCUGGAUUGCCUGAUACUUGGAACCAACUAUUCUACACUGCUUUGUUCUUCUAAUCUGCUAGUGUUUGUCAUUUCUUCUUUAUAUAUAGUCACACAUCCCAUGAGAGGGUGCCAAACUGCACCUCUCUCUCAUGUAAAUUAGUCCAUUGGAGAUGUGUAUUGUUUCUGAAAAAUAUAGUUAGUUUCCUCUUCUAGGUGUUCUUAUCAUCAAACAUGUAAGCUUCUCGCUUAGUUGGUAACAGAUGCAUUUGGGAAAUCUUAGCUCUUCUUGAAAUCAAAGAAGAAGAAUGGAACUCUGUAAUUUGUUCUGAAUUAACUUUCAUUGGCUUCAUUCUAAGCAAAUGAGACUCCAUAUUUGAGAUUUCCUUGGACAAUCUUCUCCCAUGGGGUACCCUGAUGAAUGAAGUAGUCAACAGAAGAGGCUUGGGGAUAGGAAACAGGGCUCCCCAUUUUCAGGGUGACUCUUUUCGAGUACAGAGCUGAGACAACCCUGUCAAUAGGUCAGCCUGGAUUCAUUCUGAGACUAGCCCGGGUUUAUAGGAGUAUUUUCAGUGGAAGUAUUGCAUGCCUUGACUUGCUUAUUGACUCAUUAUCCCUCAAUUUAAGCUGAAACACAUUUUAGUUUUCCUAUAGACACUGAUAACAUGAAGUAUACCAUUUUGAGUGAAUUGUGUAACAGAGGGAAGCUUCACAAACUAGUGUUUAAACCACCACAAGAUACUGAAAACACACUUCAAAACCAUGUACAACAACAGAGAAGGAAAGCUUACAACCUUGUACUUAAACUAGAAAAUACUGUCUGAUACCAAAGAUUUCAUGGACUACCAUAUAGAAUGCCUUCCCACUUCUACGAUUGCGCCUAAAGUUUAUAAGUAUAUUAUACCCUGGAAUCCAUGCAUUGAAUUGUCCUUCCAAGGGUGAGUCAGGGUGCGGUUACUUCCAUAAUCCGCGGCAUAUUAUCAAUGAUCUUUGUUGGCACAUUUGCAGCACUGACUGUGGUUAACUUCUGGUCAUAAGCUGAAAGAUGGACUCCUAAUGCCGCCCUGCCAGAAGGAUCAAGGUUAUUUGACCACGCAGAAUCCCAUUCAACUGCUUUGGCAGUGCUGCAUGCAACGCUUGCUCCUCCCGGAACAGUCAGCCUAGCUGAGUUCUGUAGAACAGAAAUUGACAAUGAAUAAGCAUGAUGAAGUUAGUUUUAUAUGUCACGUAUGUGACUAGUGUUGUAUUACAGGAUUAGGUCAGAUUCGAUCAGAUCACCUGUGGGAAGAACCUCUCAAAGAUCAUUCGGUAAUAGUAGGCUUCUUUUGUGGUAGGGGUAUUGUGUGGGAAGAUAUGUGAAGCAUUGAGCAUCAUUUUAUCGGUCACCUGAAGGUAGGAGUUACAUGUUAAUCAUGAGUUAGACCAAUCAAAUAUCCUUGGAAAAAGUAAAAAUCCAGAUGAACAUCAGAUAGAUAUUUACAUGUUGUGACGCAUGGGCUUUGAGCCCAUCAAUCCAACUGUAGCCGACACCAUCACUGAAUUGCUCUUUUUGCCUGUAGAGAAUAUGCUGCAGGGAAUCAAAUCAUUGACUGAGCUCGUUAGUUUCAUUUGUUAAUCUGAUCAAUGGGCACGAAACAGUAAAAGAACACUGGAAAUUAUGAUGUUACACCUUUGGCAGAUAGGGUUGUUCCUCAUCAUCAAAAGCCCUCCUCAGAACCCAUUUCUCAAUUCGCCCUUGUUCUGGCUUUAUCUGAAACAGAUUUGAAGCUGUUAUCAGAGAAUCUACUUGAUAAACUUAGAAUUUUUUGCAACCCACAUUAAAAUAAGCAAUCUAAUUGAUAAUUGAAUUUUUUUUUUAAUACCAUCUUCCACUCAGGGUCAAUAUCCAUUGCAACUUUAAUGAAUUCCUUGUCUAAAAAGGGGACCCGGGCUUCCAAACCCCAUGCAGAUGUUGAUUUAUUAGCUCUCAAGCAAUCAUACUGGUAGAGUGCCUUUAUCUGCAUACAAACAAGGCCAUGGAAGACUUUACUUCAAUCACUUUGGAUUGAAGGAUGCAGAUAUAAAACCAGACGCCUUGCAUAAAAUCUGUUACCUUGCGACAUGUUUCCCUAUGGAACUCUUCCUUGUUGGGCGCCUUGUGAAAGUAUAAGUACCCACCAAAAAUCUCAUCAGAGCCCUCUCCGGAUAUCACCAUCUUCACUCCUA